RNAcentral lists this long non-coding RNA (132733 nucleotides) under Triticum aestivum (bread wheat). Its description in RNAcentral is "long non-coding RNA (TAES_LNC003296)". The stretch from base 62638 to 62752 matches the Rfam family "MIR1120/MIR1122 microRNA precursor family". Lineage: Eukaryota; Viridiplantae; Streptophyta; Magnoliopsida; Poales; Poaceae. The record is from RNAcentral.
AACAACAUCGAUCAAUUUCUUUUUUUUAUUUGUACACCUUCUCACAACUUUAUCUUCAGUUGUGAUGUGAAUAUUGACACUGAUCUACGAACCAUUGAAAUGCAUUAGCCAUGGUAGCUGUGACGUCCCGUUACGUCCAACAGAGUCAGGCGUAACGGAAGCCGUCACUUCAGAGUUGCAUCAGGAUCAGUUAAGGAAAACAGUAUCAUGUACAAGACGCAGCAGCUGCCAUGAGUAGGCAAGUUUUUAUUACAUAGACACCUCAAGUGUCGACUAAGCCUAAGUGACCAUGACGAUAGAUCGUCACCCAUUUCUAGUGCGAGCCUUCUAGACCAACCAUGGAGGGCAUCUACUCUCCAUAGUCUUGAUUGCCAACAUCCUCAUAAUCAUACUCCACUUCCGAAUAACCAGAGUCGUCAAGAUCACCAGACUCAUCAUAAGUACCAUUCUCUAGUGCCUCAGAGUUCUCAUAACUCCCUUGUUCUGAGAAAAAACAUAAGCGCAACUGAGUACAUAUAAAAUACGUAAUCCGCAAGUCGCAGGGAAAAGUGGAUGUAUGAGUUUUUUUAAAGAGGAAAAACUUUAUCGGCCAUGGCUACCACCACCGAGCCAUUAGCUUAAAAUACUUUGUAGGUCAAAAAAAUUAUUUUCCCUUAACCUAUUAUGUUGAAAAUUAAUUUUAUUUAUAAAAUCUACUAGCGACAGAGCAAUGUGGGAUCUUACAUCCUGUGUUAGAGAAAAACCCACACGACGCACUUCCAACCCCGAAAGCUGGGAGUGAUAUCACAUUUAUUCUGAUCAGAGGUGUACUGCUUUGCCCAUAGCAUCACUAGGUCCAAGUCGUCCAUGCGCUACUCGUGCGCACGACUAGACCAAGGAACCAAAACCUUUAACCAGCCCGUAGACUACCUCUGCUUUUCCACCUUGCCUUACUAUAGGUCCGCGGGUCUAGUCCCCUGACCGGCGGUCCCACCCUAGGGUGACUGUACCUACCUGGGUACAACCACCUUCUCACUCAUGCAGAGGUAGCUACUUGGCAUGGGUAGUCGGUUCAGCCCGUCCCAUUCCAGGUCUAUGGUCAGUAUGGUUUGUGCCGCUUUUGACGUAAGCGCUAGUUGGUUGUGUCCUAAUGUAAUACGCUAUGUAGAGGAGUCUGCCAUCCAAGCCAACCCUAAACGGAUUGCCUUCACCAACAUGAGCUCCCCUACCCACCAAAUUUUUAUUUAUAAUGUAACCCUGCCCGAGUCACGACUACUUAAUAUAGAUACUUCACCUGAUCUGGUCCAAUUGCCAAAUCAGUGGAUCCACCUGAUCCAAAUUUCAUUUUAUUUAUGAAAUGUAUUUAUUUUUAGUUCUUAUGCAAAAUUUUGGAAAUGACCCAUAGCCCGGAAAACAUUUAUCAAGACAUGAUCAAGGAGAUGACGACUUGCCGGGUAGCGCUCCGACCAACUCGGAACCACCAGAUGUGGGUCCUAUGCCUGAUAAUUAUUUCACAAAGAAGUUUAUAUUUUUCCCUAAUCAAGAUCCAAGCAUCAAGUAACACUUCCAUACGGUGCAAUCCAUUUUAAUUAAAGAGGUAAUGAUACAUGCUAGUGUGUAAUUAGAAGCAAAAUGCAUACAUCACAUCAAGAAGUACUCCCUCCGUUCCAAAAUAAUUGUCUUUCUAGCCAUCUCAAAUGGACUACAACAUACGGAUGUAUGUAGACAUGCUUUAGAGUAUAGAUUCACUUAUUUUACUUCGUAUGUAGUGACUUGUUGAAAUCUCUAGAAAGACAAUUAUUUCGGAACGGAGGGAGUAGUACGCACGUGCACAUCACAAAGAGCAAGCAAGCAAGCUCAAAAGGAAAAAACGUGUUUAGCUGGUCGAACCCAACCCCGGCAGAAAUAUCAUUUCUUUUUUCUCCAACUAGUCAUCUUCCCCAGCUCUCUACCUCUCUCUCUCUCACUGUCACUGGUAUGCUCAGCCACGAACAGAACCAACUCCAUCUCUCUCUCCCUAACUACAGAGCAGGUCGCCGCCGGCUCGAUCUGCCACUUCCGGACAUCUCCGGCGACACCGUGGACACCCACAGAAUCCCCUCGACUCCCUCUACCAUAUCCCCCCAUUUAUUUGAUCCGCCGCCGCCAAAAUCGCCGCCACCCUCAAACCCCAGCGUCGUCUGCAUCGGGUCCGAUGGGUUCACCACGGGCCGCAGUAGCAAUGGCAUAUCCCUGCCUACAACCUCCUCCAGCAGAGCUGCACGCACGAGGCAUGCAACUACGGCCGUCGGGAGCGAGCAUCUUAACCGGCGCGGCUCCGGCAACAUGGCCGCUACCGGCGCCUGGCUCGCCUUUGUCUACUGCUACUAGUGUAAGUGUCAGUCCAAAUUUCUCUCUGUGCAGUGUUCUUACCUCUACUGCUAGUGUUUGUGCUAUGACUCCCCUUACUGCCAUGCUUCUUGUUAAUAUCAAGACCAAGGAAUUAAUCAAGCUUUACUCGAUGGUGUGGACGUGGUCUCCAGAUUUAUUCUAUAUUGUUUAUUCAAUUUUUAGCUCUACUACACUAUCCUCGCACUACUAUGAUUCUUUUUUAAUUAAGCUCAUAACUAGGAAUUAACCAGUGAAUUCCUACUAUUACCGACUUGAUCAAAAAGCGACAAGUUAAUUGCUUCUGAUAGUUAGGUGCUGCCACAAACUAAAUCUAAAUGUUGCUUCUACUGUGUGUGCGCGUGCACUCAUUUCUGGACCCUACAAUAGUCAAGUGAACAUUGACAUUGAUCACUCAAAACAUACUUAGAAAGGGGAUCAGGAAAGGGAAAAUAAAAGGAUAUCAGGAAUUUAUUUGUACAAGAUUUGCACAAAGUAUGUUUAUUUAUUUUUCUGUUUUCAGAAUGAGGCAUGUGCAAAUGAGACAUGGCAAACAUUAGCCAAACAAUGUUCAAUACAACUAGGAAGGGAUCAUUAAGAUGAGUAGCAUACACAGGAAGCUUGAGCUAUUAGCUGUACAUGUAAAUCUUAGCAAGUUAAUAUUUGGGGUUUAAUUCUCAGCAUGACAUGUCUAUUAUAUACAUAGAUUUAGUACAAGACAGAGAUGGACAUGCAUAGUACACAUGCAUCACUAAACCACCAUGUACCAAUUUGUCUUCAUCUAAUUUAUGUGCUUUCUUUUUCUAACCAUCAUUCUUCUUUUUACAAAGUAACUAGAGUCCAAAAGAUCAGGUGUUCAUGUUCUAAGCAAAGAUGAAGAUGGAUCAAGCAAACAAAGCUGCAAAAGCAAGGCACUUGAAUAGUACCUGAUGGCAACUCAGCAUCCGACCAAAAGAGUGGAUGGGGAUGGUGGGGAGAGCUUGGUUCUCUCUUGUGCGUGUUGUGUGCAGUAGAGGAAGUCAAAGGUGAAAGGAGGAGGCUGCUAUUUAUAGUAGUGUAGGGUGCUAGGUCGGUUUGGUAAAAGAGAGAUGUGGCUGACAUGCAUGGUUGCAUGAGCAUGCAAGCCUCCACAUGUAAUCAUGUGAGUUGUACAACGGACAAGUGUAUAGUGCAUGGUUCGACACGAGAUGGCAUAUAAUUUGUGUGUAAGGAAUGAGACAAGGGCCUAAUUAUAAAUCUGCAAACAAUAAGGGAGUUGGAGAAGAACCAUUGUACAUGGCUAAAUACUAACUUUUUUGGUUGCAAUAAAUUUUUGAUAUUAGUGUUGUGGUCAAUUAUAAUUAUUCAACUAACUAUGCCUUGUGACACUGGUGUAACAUAGCGCCGUCAAAAAUAUUGUUAUCUAAUUUUGAGGGUUUUUACAUCCCUUCCCCCUUCGAAAAAUUUCGUCCUCGAAAUUUGAGUUGUGACUCGUAUAGGCUGGCCCAAGUCUAACCCUCUCAGCCUAAUCAUGUAUAGGCUAGCAUUAAAGAUUAUACACUCAAUGCAUAUGGGAUUGUUGUGGAAGACAGGCUCAACAAUUAUUGGGCCUCCGAGUGAGUCUACUUCUAUGAGUUUGGCUAGGGAGGUUCGGUCCAGACUACAUGUCUCAGCAAAGUGUCGGGAUAUGAAAGGAUAUGUUGCCCUUGAUGUAAUAAAAUAAAUAAUAAUAAUACUAAGACUACUGCAAGAGGGAUUUAUAGGUUACUGAUGACCCACAAGUGUAGGGAAUCUAUCGUAGUCCUUUCGAUAAGUAAGAGUGUCGAAUCCAAUGAGGAGCAGAAGGAAAUGAUAAGCGGUUUUCAGUAAGGUUUUCUCUGCAAGUACUGAAACUGUAGGUGAUAGAUAGUUUUGUGAUAAGAUAAAUAGUAACGAGUAACAAGUAAAUAAAGUAAAUAAAGUGCAGCAAGGUGGCCCAAUCCUUUAUGUAGCAAAGGAUAAGCCUGGACAAUUUUUAAUAGUGAUAAAGGAGCUCCCGAGGAAAAAUUGGGAAUUAUCGUCAAGCUAGUUUUCAUCACGUUCAUAUGAUUCGCGUUCGGUACUUUGAUAACUUGAUAUGUGGGUGGACCGGUACUUGGUUACUGCCCUAACUUGGACAAGCAUCCCACUUAUGAUUAACCCCUAUUGCAAGCAUCCGCAACUACAAAAAGAAGUAUUAAGGUAAACCUAACCACAACAUUAAACAUAUGGAUCCAUAUAAGCCCCUAAUGAAGCAACGCAUAAACUACGGUUUAACCUUCUGUCACUCUAGCAACCCAUCAUCUACUUAUUACUUCCCCAUGCCUUCCUCUAGGCCCAAAUAAUGGUGAAGUGUCAUAUAGUCGACGUUCACAUAACACCACUAGAGGAAAAGACAACAUACAUCUCAUCAAAAUAUCGAAUGAAUACCAAAUUCACGUGACUACUAAUAGCAAGACUUCACCCAUGUCCUCAAAAACAAACGUAACUGCUCACAAAGCAUAUUCAUGUUCAUAAUCAGAGGAGUAAUAAUAUGCAUAAAGGAUCUGAACAUAUUAUCUUCCACCAAGUAAACCAAUUAGCAUCAACUACAAGGAGUAAUCAACACUACUAGCAACCCACAGGUACCAAUUUGUGGUUUUGAUACAAGAUUGGAUACAAGAGAUGAACUAGGGUUUUGGGAGGAGAUGGUGCCGGUGAAGAUGUUGAUGGAGAUUGACCCCCUCCCGAUGAGAGGAUCAUUGGUGAUGACGUUGGUGAUGAUUUACCCCUCCCGGAGGGAAGUGUCCCCGGCAGAAUAGCUCUGCCAGAGCCCUAGAUUGAUUCCGCCAAGAUUCCACCUCGUGGCGGCGGAGUUUCGUCCCGUAAGCUUGCCCACAAUUUUUUCCAGGGUAAAAGUGAUGAUAUGGCAGAAGAUGGACGUCGGAGGCCCACCAGGGGGCCUAGGAGAUAGGGGGCGCGCCCCCUGUCUCCUGGACAGGGUGUGGGCCCCCUGGCAUAUUUCAGGACUUUUGGAGCUGUGCAGAAUAGGUUUCCAACGUUUGCUCCUUUUCUAGCUAGAAUUUCAGCUGCCAGCAUUCCCCCUCUUCAUGGUAAACCUUGUAAAAUAAGAGAGAAUAGCCAUAAGUAUUGAGAUAUAAUGUGUAAUAACAACCCAUGAUGCAAUAAAUAUUGAUAUAAAAGCAUGAUGCAAAAUGGACGUAUCAACUCCCCAAGCUUAGACCUCGCUUGUCCUCAAGCGGAAGCCGAAAUUGAAAAAUAUGUCCACAUGUUUAGAGAUAGAGGUGUCGAUAAAAAUAAAAUAUGGACAUGAGGGCAUCAUGAUCAUUCUAAUAACAACUACAUACAUAAAUUUUGUCAUAUGAUUCUCUAUGCUCAAGAUACAAGCAAUUCAUAAUGUCAAGUAUGGUUCAAAAACUUCAUUGGGAACUAACAAACUAUGAUCUCAGUCAUUGAAGCAAUUGCAAUUUAUCGUAACAUCAGAAAGAGUCAAUAAUGGAGCUUUUCAGCAAGCUCACAUACUCAACUAUCUCUUAGUCUUCUACAAUUGCUAACACUCACACAGUACUUGUGGUUAUAGAGUUUCAGCCGGACACUGAGAAAGAUAGGGGCUUAUUGUGUUGCCUCCCAACGUAUUCACCUUUAGGUGAUGUCAACAAUAAUAGCCCAUGCUAACUUACAUCCAAUUGGAUAUAUAUAUAUCAUGAUCUUUCAAACACGAGGAGCUUGCCAAAGGAUAAAAUGAAAAAGGGACAGGUGAGGAUCACCUUGACUCAAGCAUAAAGUAAAAACAUAAAGUAAAAGAUAGGCCCUUCGCAGAGGGAAGCAGAGGUUGUCAUGUGCGUUUAGGGUUGAUGAACAAAAUCUUAAUGCAAAAGAACGUCACUUUAUAUUGCCCCUUGUAUGUGGACCUUUAUUAUGCAGUCCGUCGCUUUUAUUACUUCCACAACAAGUUCGUACAAAGCUUAUUUUCUCUGCACUAAUAAGUCAUACAUAUUUAGGUAGCAAUUUUAUCGCUUGCAACAUGACAACUUACUUGAAGGAUCUUACUCAAUCCAUAGGUAGGUAUGGUGGACUCUCAUGGCAAAACUGGGUUUAAGGGUAUUUGGAAGCACAAGUAGUAUCUCUACUUGGUGCAAGGAAUUUGGCUAGCAUGAGGGGGAAAGGCAAGCUCAAUAUGUUCGGAAGGUCAAUGACAAUAUACUUUAACUGAGAUGUCGGAAAACAUAGACCAUUACGUUGUCUUCCUUGUCCAACAUCAACUAUUUUAGCAUGUCAUACUUAAUGAGUGCUUCACAAUCAUAAAAGAUGUCCAAGAUAAUAUAUUUAUAUGUGAACCCCUCUUUCCUUAUCACUUCCUAUUAAUUGCAACGAUGACCAAGGCUACGUUCAUCAACUCUCAACAAUUUUUAUGCCUCAUACGUUCUAUGUGUGAAGUUAUCACUAUCCAUAAGAUCAAUAUGAACUCCAUUAUUCUUUCUACUUUCUCAAGAUCAUAGCAACAUAGCAAGGCCCUUGAAUCGACACUAAUCUUUAUUAUAGAUAACUCACGGACUCGAUUACAAAAAGAGAUCAAAAAGCAAAACUCGAAACUACUUGAUACCUAAAUUUCAAUCUACUAGAUCAAGAUACUACUAAAAGGAUCGAACUAAAUAAAACGGUAAAGAUAGGAGUGUGAUGGUGAUACGAUACCGGGGCACCUCCCCCCAAGCUUGGCAGUUGCCAAGGGGAGUGCCCAUAUCCAUGUGAUUAUGUCCUCGGAGGUGGUGAAGUAGGAGUUGUUGAUGAUGUAGGCUUGUCGUCCGUCUUCCAAGGCAUAGGCUCUCCAUCAUAAAAGGAUGAACGAGUCUCCGGGAUCCUUAAAUCUGCAGCCAAACUCAUUCGCUUGAAUCUAUAUUCAUACUCACAGUUCUGAUUUUGUAGGUCAUAGAUCUGGGAUUGGAGGUGCUCGAUUUUCUCUUGAAGCUUGAAGAUGGUCUCCCAAAUGACUUUAGCAUCUAGCUUGUGGUUGUUGGUGAACUCUGUGAUCAUCAUCUAGUUGGCGUUGAGUCCACGCUCCACCAUCCCUUGGCACUUUAAAACUUCCUGUUCCAUGGCUUCGAGCUUUGUCUCCACGCUCCCGGUAUGCCUUGGUCCCUCCACAUCGCGGAUGUGCAGCACCCCCUCACGCAUCUCAAUGGUUUGAGGAUGAUGCAGCACCUCCGCGAGAUAGGGGUUGAUAACCCUCUCGAAAAACUUGUCCUUGGGAGCGCUUGGAGACGCCAUGAUGCUCUAGAUCUGAAAUAGUAACAACUCGAAACGAAAACAGUGGAUAUUUGCGUGAUACGGUGGUCAAAACCUUCGGGAGUAUAUAUAAUGAAUUUUUAUCGACCAAAAUACAUAACGUGCAAGAAAACGGAGUCCGGGAGGCACACGAGGUGCCCACGAGACAGGGGGCGCGCCCUACAAGGGGGGGUGCCCUCCACUCUCGUGGGGGCCUCGUGUCCCUUUCUGACUACUUCUUUCUUCCUAAAAUUCUUAAAUAAUCCAAAACUGAUAAAAAUUGCCAUUAGAGUUGUUUUGGAGUCGGUUUACUUACCGUACCACAUACCGAUACCUUUUCGGAGUCUAGAACGUUCUGGAAAGUGUCCCUUAUGUAUUCCUCGGGGGUUACUGUUUCAAUAAUAUUAGUUUCAACAUUGAUAGGAUUACCUGAAAUAUAAUGUUUAUUUCUUUGACCAUUUACCACCCUCGGAUUUGUGCCUUCGAAGUUGUUGAUUUUAUAGCACCAGAACGAUAGACCUCCUCGAUAACGUAGGGACCUUCCCAUUUUGAGAGAAGUUUUCCUGCAAAAAAAAUUAAACGAGAGUUGAAUAAUAACACAUAAUCUCCUAUAUUAAACUCACGCUUUUGUAUCCUCUUAUCAUGCCAGCGUUUGACUUUUUCUGUGAAUAGCUUGGCAUUCUCAUAUGCUUGGGUUCUCCAUUCAUCAAGUGAGCUAAUAUCAAACAACCUCUUCUCACCGGCAAGUUUGAAGUCAUAAUUGAGCUCUUUGAUAGCCCAAUAUGCCCUAUGUUCAAGUUCAAGAGGUAAAUGACACGCUUUUCCAUAAACCAUCUUAUAUGGAGACAUACCCAUAGGAUUUUUGUAUGCAGUUCUAUAGGCCCAUAAUGCAUCAUCAAGUUUUUUGGACCAAUUCUUUCUAGAUCUAUUCACAGUAUUUUGUAAAAUUAAUUUGAGCUCUCUAUUGCUCAACUCUACAUGACCACUAGACUGCGGAUGAUAAGGAGAUGCUAUUCUAUGAUUGACAUCAUACUUAGCAAGCUUCUUACGGAAAGCACCAUGAAUAAAAUGUGAACCACCAUCAGUCAUAAGAUAUCUAGGGACUCCAAACCUCAGAAAAAUAACUUCUUUAAGCAUUUUAAUAGAAGUGUUAUGAUCAACACUACUAGUUGGAAUAACUUCUACCCACUUAGUAACGUAAUCAACAACAACUAAAAUAUGUGUAUAACCAUUAGAGGCAGGAAAAGGUCCCAUAUAAUCAAAGCCCCAAACAUCAAACAGUUCAAUAACAAGAGAAUAAUUCUUAGGCAUUUCUUGACGUCUACUAAUGUUACCUAUUCUUUGACAUUCAUCACAAGAUAAGACAAACUUACGAGCAUCUUUAAAGAGAGUAGGCCAAUAAAAACCAAAUUGUAGUACCUCGUGUGCAGUUCUAUCUCCAGCGUGGUGUCCCCCAUAAGAUUCAGAGUGACACUUGCAUAGAAUCUGUUCCUGUUCAUGCUCAUGCACCCAACGUCUAAUAACACCAUCUACUCCUUUAUAAAGGUGUGGAUCAUCCCAGAAGUAAUGUCUUAAAUCAUAAAAGAACUUUUUCUUUUGCUGGUAUGUGAAACUAGGCGGUAUAUAUUUAGCAACAAUGUAAUUAGCAUAAUCAGCAUACCAAGGAGCAGUACGAGAAGCAUUGACGACCGCUAAUUGUUCAUCAGGAAAGCUAUCAUUAAUAAGCAGUGGGUCAUCAAGAACAUUCUCUAACCUAGACAAGUUGUCUGCAACGGGGUUCUCAGCUCCCUUUCUAUCGAUAAUAUGCAAGUCAAAUUCUUGGAACAAGAGAACACAUCUAAUGAGUCUAGGCUUAGGAUCUUUAUUUUCCAUAAGAUAUUUAAUAGCAGCAUGAUCAGUGUGAAUAGUAACUUUGGAAUCAACAAUAUAAGGUCUAAACUUAUCACAUGCAAACACAACUGCUAAGAACUCUUUUUCAGUAGUAGCAUAAUUUCUCUGGGAAGUAUCAAGAGUCUUACUAGCAUACUGGAUAGCAUUCAAUUUCUUAUCGACUCUUUGCCCUAAAACAACACCUACAGCAUAAUCACUAGCAUCGCACAUAAUUUCAAAAGGUAAAUUCCAAUCAGGCAGCUGAACAAUAGGUGCAGUGAUCAAAGCUUUCUUAAGUACUUCAAAUUCUUCUACACAAUCAUCAUCAAAGAAAAGGAAUAUCUUUUUGCAAUAAAUUAGCCAGAGGCCUAGAGAUUUUAGAAAAGUCCUGAAUGAACCUCCUAUAAAAACCGGCGUGACCAAGGAAACUUCUUAUACCUUUUAUGUCCUUGGGACAUGGCAUCUUUUCAAUAGCAUCAUUGGCCUUAUCAACUUCAAUACUUCUCUCAGAGAUCUUGUGCCCCAAGACAAUGCCUUCAUUAACCAUAAAGUGACACUUUUCCCAAUUCAAGACGAGACUAGUGUCUUCGCAUCUCUGUAAAACUCGAUCAAGAUUGCUCAAACAAUCAUCAAAAGAGGAUCCAUAGACUGAGAAGUCAUCCAUGAAUACCUCACAAAUCUUUUCACAAAAAUCAGAGAAUAUAGCCAUCAUGCCUCUUUGAAAGGUUGCAGGUGUAUUACAUAAACCAAAAGGCAUAUGUCUAUAAGCAAAAGUACCAAAAGGGCAAGUAAAAGUAGUUUUAGAUUGAUCCUUCGCUGAUACAGGUAUCUGAGAGAAACCAGAAUAACCAUCUAGAAAGCAGAAAUGUGCGUGUUUGGAUAGUCUUUCUAGCACUUGAUCAAUAAAAGGUAAAGCAUAAUGAUCUUUCUUAGUAGCUUUAUUAAACUUACGGAAAUCAAUUACCAUCCUAUAACCUGUAAUAAUUCUUUGCGGGAUCAAUUCAUCUUUAUAAUUAGGAACAACGGUAAUACCUCCCUUUUUAGGAACACAAUGAACAGGGCUUACCCAUUCAGUAUUAGCAACGGGAUAAAUAAUACCUGCCUCAAGGAGUUUUAGUAUCUCCUUUCUUACCACUUCUUUCAUCUUGGGAUUUAAUCGUCUUUGAGGAUCUCUAACUGGUUUGGCAUCUUUCUCCACUGAAAUUUUAUGUUGACAUAAUGUGGGACUAAUGCCCUUAAGAUCAUCCAGAGUAUAUUCAAUAGUUGCUCGGUGCUUCUUCAGAGUUUUCAAUAAUCUUUCUUCUUCUUUCUCUGAAAUGUUAGCACUAAUAAUAACAGGAUAUAUUUCUUUUUCAUCAAGAUAAGCAUACUUAAGAUUAUCAAGUAAGGGUUUAAGUUCAAACACGGGAUCACCCUUGGGUGGAGGGGGAUCCCCAAGAAUUUCAACGGGAAGGUUAUGUUUCAGCAUAGGUUCCUGUUUAAGGAACACUUCAUCUAUUUCCUCCCUUUCCUUCAUAAACAUAUCAUUUUCAUGGUCUAGCAAAUAUUGUUCUAAAGGAUCGGUUUGAGGAACAGCAAUGGAAGCAAGACCAAUAAUUUCAUCCUUACUAGGUGGUUCCCUUUCACGAGGUUGUCUACUAAACUUAGCGAAAUUAAACUCAUGAGACAUACCAUCAAUGCCAACAGUGACAAUAUUCUUUUCACAAUUGAUCUUAGCACUAGCAGUAUUCAAGAAGGGUCUACCAAAAAUAAUGGGACAAAAAUCAUCUUGUGGGGAACCAAGAACAAGAAAACCAGCAGGGUAUUUAACUUUCCCACAAAAAACUUCAACAUCUCUAACAAUCCCAAUAGGUUUAAUGGUAUCCCUAUUAGCAAGCUUAAUAGUAACAUCAAUGUCUUCUAAUUCAACAGGUGCAAUGUCAUGCAUAAUUUCUUUAUAUAAAUCAUAAGGUAUAGCACUAGCACUAGCACCCAUAUCACAUAAGCCAUGAUAACAAUGGUCUCCUAUUUUAACAGAAAUAACAGGCAUGCCUACAACAGGUCUACGUGUCUUAGUAUCAGGUCUAGCAAUAUUGGCAGUCUCACCCAAGAAAGAAAUAACAUGCCCAUCUAAAUCCUCAUCCAAGAGAUCUUUAACCAUAGCAAUACUAGGUUCAACAUUAAUUUGCUCAGGAGGUGUAUAAGUCCUAGUAUUACUCUUAUGAACAACAGUCGAAGCAUUAGCAUGAUCUUUUAUCCUAACAGGAAAAGGAGGUUUUUCAACAUAAGCAGUAGGAACAAUAGGAUCACUAUAGGUAAUAGUCUUUUCUUCGACUGUAAUAGGUGCAACUACUUUCACUUCAACAGGAGGAUUAUAUUUAAACCACUUCUCUUUAGGGAGAUCAACGUGAGUAGCAAAAGAUUCACAGAAAGUAGCUACUAUCUCAGAGUCAAGUCCAUACUUAGCGCUAAAUCCACGGAAAGCAUAGGUAUCCAUAAAAGAUUUAACACAAUCGAACUUAGGUGUCAUACCUGACUCCUUACCAUCGUCGGAACCCCAAUAUUCAGAGUUGCGUUUAAUUCUUUCCAAUAAGUCCCAUUUGAAAUCAGUAGUCUUCAACAUAUAAGAACUAGCACAGGAAGUAUCGAGCAGGUUGCGAUUAUCAAGAGAAAGCCGAGCAUAAAGGUUCUGAAUAAUCAUUUCCCGAGAGAGCUCAUGAUUGGGGCAUGAAUAUAACAUUGACUUAAGCCUCCCCCAAGCUUUAGCGAUGCUUUCUCCUUCGCGAGGCAAGAAAUUAUAUAUGUAAUUACGAUCACGAUGAACAAGAUGCAUAGGAUAGAACUUUUGGUGAAAUUCCAACUUCAAUCGCUUAUAAUGCCAAGAUCCCAUAUCAUCACAUAUCCUAUACCAUAUAAAUGCAUCUCCCUUCAAAGAUAAAGGGAAGACCUUCCUUUUGACAACAUCAUCGGGAAUACCUGCAAGCUUAAAUAAUCCAUAAACUUCAUCCACAAAGAUAAGGUGUAAAUCGGGAUGCAAUGUUCCGUCUCCUGCAAAUGGAUUAGCUAGCAGUUUUCUAUCAUACCCGAAGGAAUCUCAAAGUAAAUAUUUUCAUAAAGUUCAGUAAGUUGAGAAGCAACUCUUUGCUCUUCUGGUUGGGGUGAAGAUACCCCAAACAAGCCCCUCAAAGGAUUAGUUUCCAUAGUGACAAGUAACAGAAAAUCUCAGCACACUAUAUAAAUGUUUCUUUACCAAGUUCCACUCACCAAAAGCGCUACACUCCCCGGCAACGGCGCCAGAAAAGAGUCUUGAUGACCCACAAGUGUAGGGGAUCUAUCUUAUUCCUUUCGAUAAGUAAGAGUGUCGAACCCAACGAGGAGCAGAAGGAAAUGAUAAGCGGUUUUCAGUAAGGUUUUCUCUGCAAGCACUGAAACUGUAGGUGAUAGAUAGUUUUGUGAUAAGAUAAAUAGUAACGAGUAACAAGUAAAUAAAGUAAAUAAAGUGCAGCAAUGUGGCCCAAUCCUUUAUGUAGCAAAGGAUAAGCCUGGACAAUUUCUAAUAGUGAUAAAGGAGCUCCCGAUGACACAUUGGAAAUUAUCGCCAAGCUAGUUUUCAUCACGUUCAUAUGAUUCGCGUUCGGUACUUUGAUAAUUUGAUAUGUGGAUGGACCGGUACUUGGGUACUGCCCUAACUUGGACAAGCAUCCCACCUAUGAUUAACCCCUAUCGCAAGCAUCUGCAACUACAAAAGAAGUAUUAAGGUAAACCUAACCACAACAUUAAACAUAUGGAUCCAUAUAAACCCCUAACGAAGAAACACAUAAACUAGGGUUUAAGCUUCUGUCACUCUAGCAACCCAUCAUCUACUUAUUACUUCCCCAUGCCUUCCUCUAGGCCCAAAUAAUGCCGAACUGUCAUGCAGUCGACGUUCACAUAACACCACUAGAGGAAAAGACAACAUACAUCUCAUCAAAAUAUCGAACGAAUACCAAAUUCACAUGACUACUAAUAGCAAGACUUCACCCAUGUCCUCAGGAACAAAUGUAACUACUCACAAAGCAUAUUCAUGUUCAUAAUCAGAGGAGUAAUAAUAUGCAUAAAGGAUCUGAACAUAUGAUCUUCCACCAAGUAAACCAAUUAGCAUCAACUACAAGGAGUAAUCAACACUACUAGCAACCCACAGGUACCAAUUUGUGGUUUUGAUACAAGAUUGGAUAUAAGAGAUGAACUAGGGUUUUGGGAGGAGAUGGUGCUGGUGAAGAUGUUGAUGGAGAUUGACUCCCUCCCGAUGAGAGGAUCGUUGGUGAUGACGUUGGUGAUGAUUUCCCCCUACCGGAGGGAAGUGUCCCCGGCAGAACAGCUCUACCAGAGCCCUAGAUUGAUUCCGUCAAGGUUCCGCCUCGUGGCGGCGGAGUUUUGUCCCAUAAGAUUGCCCACGAUUUUUUCCAGGGUAAAAUUGAUGAUAUAGCAGAAGAUAGACGCCGGAGGCCCAACAGGGGGCCCAGGAGAUAGGGGGUGCGCCCUAUAGGGGGGGCGCCCCCCUGUCUCCUGGACAGGGUGUGGCCCCCCUGGCAUAUUUCUUUCGCUCAGAAAUUCUUAUUAAUUCCAAAAAGUUGUUUCGUGGAGUUUCAGGACUUUUGGAGCUGUGCAGAAUAGGUUUCCAAUGUUUGCUCCUUUUCCAGCCAGAAUUCCAACUGUCGGCAUUCCCCCUCUUCAUGGUAAACCUUGUAAAAUAAGAGAGAAUAGCCAUAAGUAUUGAGAUAUAAUAUGUAAUAACAGCCCAUAAUGCAAUAAAUAUUGAUAUAAAAGCAUGAUGCAAAAUGGACGUAUCAGUUACCCGUGACCACGUCCGAAGCUGCAUUCACUUGUGUCGCAUCGAUGUGUUUCAGGUGGUAUGGUACACGUGCUAGACCACUAGGACCACGUCCGCGGCUAGCCACAAGCACAUUCGCACGUACUUGUGCUGAAUUAGCCCGAUGCUUGUUUUGAGGUGGGACAGUUCCACUCGUGCCAGGUUGUGGUUGACUCUUACUCAGGCAUUUGUUUUGUAGUGACCCUUUUGUCCACAACCAAAACAGACAACACUCGCCUUUGGGCAAUCUCGAGCGAUGUGUGGUCCACCGCACACAUGACACUUUAUAGGGGCUUUAGGAGGCAUAAAGGGUGGUCUAGGGGCUUGAGGGAGAGGAGGACAGAUGGGUCCGACCAUUGGUGGGCGGACUAGGCCAACAGAGUUGUAUCCACUCCUCAUGAGGAACCUCUGGUCCAUUCUAGAUUUCUUUCUCCGUUCUUCCUCUAUGGCUAAUUGCCGAUUCUCAAUAAUAAUGACUCGAUCUACUAGCUCCCGAAACUUAGUUAUAUUUAUAGGGGCUAUGAUCAGCUGUAUGGAUGGCUUCAAUCCUUCUAUGAACCGGUACACCCUUUUGGUCUCAGUGUUUGUGUCUUCUGAUGCAUAGCGGGAUAGUGAGUUAAACUCAUCUAGGUACUCUGCGAUGGUUUUAGACCCUUGUUUAAGGCUUAGGAAUUUCUUACUUUUUAGUUCCAUCGCACUUUGCGGGACAUAGUUAUCUCGGAAUCUCCUCUUAAAUUCCUCCCAAGUAACUAUGUGGUUUUCGGGUAUGAUAAUUUGGACAUUUCUCCACCAUGUGGCAGCAGGACCAAUUAACCGAUGGGAUGCAUACCGAACUUUUUCUUGAUCCGUGCAUCCCACAGUGUUAAGUUUCAGCUCUAUGUCCAUCAACCAAUCCUCUGCGGCUAAUGGAUUGUGGCGGUUGAAAAGGUUGGUGGUCUAGUCUUUUGGAAGUCUCCAAUCGUGACACCUUGUUCUGGGUUUUUAGUCAGUUGGCCUCUCGUCACACUGAACAUCUGCUCCAUGAACUUAUUCUGGUGUUCUAGAGAGUCUCGAUGAGACUGCUCCAUCCACUGAUACAUUAGAGCAAGUUGAUCGGAUCCAGGGGCAUGAUGGGGUAAUGGUGGAGGUGGAGGUAACGUCACUCUAGACAACAAAUCUGCCAUGUUCCUUAGCCACUCGGGUGCUAAAUCUGAUGGGUUCCCAUUGUCUUCGAAUGACUGACUACCAGAUGCCAUCGCUACCGAUCUGGUGGGCAAGGCAUAGGUUAUAACGAUAGCUACUACAUGUGAAAAUAUUUUAUUUAUUUGAUUAGAGGUGAGAUUUUAGCCCACACAGUACACUUCACGCUUCCUUUUUUGGAGCAUCUAUUUAAACAGUGCACUUAACAGCGACAUACUAGAAAAUUUUGCGAAACAUUUUUUUACUUGUUGUUGGCCGAAGAAUAAAAGCAGUCAAACAAAGUGAUUCUUUUUAUCAUGACAGAGGCAAGAGAUUAAUCACAAUUCAAAAAUAGAGCCACUUGCACAUGCACAUGCACACACAAGUUCUUCAUGUACCGGAUUAAAAGCAUUCAAUCAUCAAGUGCGUGACAUACAUCAAUUGAACUCAUGAAGUGCUAGGAAAAAUGUAGCGGCAUCAGCACAUAAUAUAUAUACUAGCCCAACACGUGAUGUACCAAGGCAUGGACUGGAAUGAAGAGAUCACCCGAAAAAAUCUACCAUACAUCAGACGCCAUUAUGAAGCAUUGGCAACAACGUGGCAACAACAUCACAUACAGUAUUCCAUCAUACAGAGCAAGGAGCAUAAAAAGAACCAGAAUUUAAAAUGACAUGGCAUAUGCGUCACACGAGAUCACCUAGUAGUAGAAUAUCAGUACAUCCAUAAGUCCACCGGUCCACAUGAAUACAUCACAUAACAUAAUCGCAACACCACACAUGACUAUUUGUCGUACCAUCAGGUUACCAUGACUAUCUAUAUAUGUACCUAGAAAAAAAGUAUAUAUGUCUCCCUAUCUGCCUGUCGGGACCAAUCUGGGUAAAUAUGGUUGUGUAAACUCUAGAAGGGUAGCUAUGUCUACAAGACCUUUCUAAUUAUGUACAAAAUCCAAAAGGACAACCUCCAUGCAUCUGCCUAAACAUCUAAUAAGUGGUGGAACUAACUCUGCGAGGAGUAACUAUCUAGCAUGAUGCCACAACCUUGUUAGAAAACUAACUACUACUACUAAUAGUACGAAGUCAAUCCUCCCUGAUGAGAAGACUAGGUGAAAUGGUGAGGAGCAAGUCGGGGUUGAGGACAGAAGUCGGUGAAGGUAUAGACUGACUGGGUGCGGUGCCUCUGAAGAGUGCCUACUUGGUCUAACAGGUCCUGAACAAGCUGAGGUGUAGGUGGACACCUGUACGGUGUAGAGGGACGAGACACUGCUCGAGCGGGGGAACCCCUAAAAACUCUAGGAGUUGGGCAGUCUGCACGAGGGGGUGGAACUGCUUGGUACAAAUGAGGAAGAGCGGCAGUCAGAGUUAGUGGUGGUAAAAACGUGAGAGGUAAAACAGGAGGACGUGGUGGAAGUGGAAGGAAAGCAAAAGUGGACGCAAAAUGGUGAAGGAGCGACAGUGGGUGGAGGUGCUGACGAAUUCCCUGAUUACUCUUAUUGAUGAGCCAAUUGCCUCUACCACGCAAACAAGGAGAAGGUGGCAGGCAUGGAAAAUAUGUAAAGUGGCAUUCCAUGCCGCACCCUAAAGUGCUGAAGCAAAGUUGUAUUGUGCGACACUAUGCCUAGAUGGGACAUCUAAGCCCUCGGGUAUGUGCACUGUGACUAAGUACCCCGUGGAAUGAUACGUCUCUAAAGUAUCUAUAAUUUUUGAUUGUUCCAUGCUAUUACAUUACCCCUUUUGGAUGUUUAUGGGCUUUAUUUUACACAUUUAUAUCAUUUUUUGGGACUAACCUACUAACCGGAGGCCUAGCCCAUAUUGCUGUUUUUUGCCUAUUUCAGUAUUUCGAAGAAAAGGAAUAUCAAACGGAGUCCAAACGGAAUGAAACCUUCGGCAACAUGAUUUUUUGGAAGAAUAUGAUCCUGGAGACUUCGAGUCCAUGUCAGAAGAUCCUCGAGGGGGCCACGAGAUAGGAGGUCACGCCCCCCUUACAGGGUGGUGGCCUCCUAUCUCGUGGGCCCCUCGAGCACCUCCCGACUGACUUCUUUCGCCUAUAUAAGCCUACGUACCCUAAAACCAUCAAAAAUCAAGAUAGAUUGGGAGUUCCGCCGCCGCAAGCCUCUGUAGCCACCAAAAACCUCUCGGGAGCCUGUUCCGGCACCCUGCCGGAGGGGGAAUCCAUCACCGGUGGCCAUCUUCAACAUCCCAGCGCUCUCCAUGACGAGGAGGGAGUAGUUCACCCUUGGGGCUGAGGGUAUGUACCAGUAGCUAUGUGUUUGAUCUCUCUCUCUCUCGUGUUCCCUCUAUGGCACGAUCUUGAUGUAUCCCGAGCUUUGCUAUUGUAGUUGGAUCUUAUGAUGUUUCUCCCCCUCUACUCUCUUGUGAUGAAUUGAGUUUUCCUCUUAAAGUUAUCUUAUCGGAUUGAGUCAUUUAUUUGAGAACACUUGAUGUAUGUAUUGCCCUGUUUAUCUGUGAUGGCAAUGAGAUAUCACGUGCCUCUUGAUGUAUGUUUUGGUGACCAACUUGCCGGUUCCGCCCAUGAACCUAUGCAUAGGGGUUAGCACACGUUCUUGACUCUCCGGUAGAAACUUUGGGGCACUCUUUGAAGUACUUUGUGUUGGUUGAAUUGAUGAAUCUAAGAUUGUGUGAUGCAUAUUGUAUAAUCAUGCCCACGGAUACUUGAGGUGACAAUGGUGUAUCUAGGUGACAUUAGGGUUUUGGUUGAUUUGUGUCUUAAGGUGUUAUUCUAGUACGAACUCUUGAAUAGAUUGAUCUAAAAGAAUAACUUUGAGGUGGUUUCGUACCCUACCAUAAUCUCUUCGUUUGUUCUGCGCUAUUAGUGGCUUUGGAGUGACUCUUUGUUGCAUGUUGAGGGAUUUUUAUAUGAUCUAUCUAUGUUAUUAUUGUUGAGAGAACUUGCACUAGUGAAAGUAUGAACCCUAGGCCUUGUUUUCUAUCAUUGCAAUACCGUUUACACUCACUUUUAUCAUUAGUUACCUUGCUGUUUUUAUAUUUUCAGAUUAGAAAUACCUAUAUCUACCAUCCAUAUUGCACUUGUAUCACCAUCUCUUCGCCGAACUAGUGCACCUAUACAAUCUACCAUUGUAUUGGGUGUGUUGGGGACACAAGAGACUCUUUAUUAUUUGGUUGCAGGGUUGUUUGAAAGAGACCAUAUUCAUCCUACGCCUCCUACGGAUUGAUAAACCUUAGGUCAUCCACUUGAGGGAAAUUUUCUACUGUCCUACAAACCUGUGCACUUGCAGGCCCAACAACGUCUACAAGAAGAAGGUUGUGUAGUAGACAUCAAGCUCUUUUCUGGCGCCGUUGCCAGGGAUGUUAGCGCUUGAAGGUAUAUCUUUAGAUCUUGCAAUCGAAUCUUUUUGUUUCUUGUUUUAUCACUAGUUUAGUUUAUAAAAGAAAACUAUAAAAAAAUGGAGUUAAGUUUGUCUCAUAUUAUCUUUUUAAUAUCUUUCGUGAGCAUGAUGGAAAGGAAAAUUGUGCUCAAGUGCUAGAAGAAGAAUGCAUUAAAAUGCUUGGUAGUAAAUCUUUGAAUGAUGAGCAUGAUUGCAAUGUUGUUAGUAUGAAUUCCUUGAAUAUCCAUGAUGCUAAUGAUAUGCAAAGCCACAAGCUUGGGGAAGAUAUGUUUGAUGAAUAUGAUAUAUUUUGUCCCCCAAGCUUUGAUGAGCAAAUUUAUUUUGAUGAUAGCAUGCCUCCUAUUUAUGAUGAUUAUAUUGAUGAAAGUGGGUUUGGAAGAGUGACAACUUUAGGAAGUAGUGAUCCCACUAUUUUGGAGGAUGUUGAAUCUUAUUACGAUGAACAUGAAAGUGGAUUUGGAAGAGUGUAAACUUUAUUUAGUGAUGAAUCCACUAUUUCGGAAGAGGUUCCAAUUGAUUAUGAGAACAAAGUUGCUAUCUAUGAUGAUUAUUGUGAUGACUUGUAUGCUAUUAGGAAUAAUGAUAACCAUGAAACUUGUCAUCAUGAUUUUAGUUUUGAAUUGGAUUAUGCCUCACAUGAUAAUUAUUUUGUUGAGUUUGCUCCCACUAUUAUUCGUGAGAAGAAAUUUGCUUAUGUGGAGGGUAGUAAAUUUUAUAUGCUUCUAGAUCAUGAAAAGAAUGCUUUAGAUGCUGGUUAUAUUGUUGAAUUCAUUCAUGAUGCUACUGAAAAUUAUUAUGAGGGAGGAACAUAUGCUUGUAGGAAUUGCAAUAACGUCAAGUUUCCUCUCUAUGUGCUUACAUUUUUGAAGCUAUGCUUGUUUUACCUUCCUAUGGUAGUUGAUUAUUGUUCCCAUAAGUUGUUUGCUCACAAAAUCCCUAUGCAUAGGAAGUGGGUUAGGCUUAAAUGUGCUAGUCAUAUGCUUCAUGAUGCUUCCGUUAUGUUUCAAUUCUUAUCUUUUUGUGAGCAUCAUUGUCAUCAUCAUGCCUAGCUAGAAAAGCAUUAAAGAAAAGCGCUUGUGGGAGACAAUCCAAUAUUUAUCCUUACUGUUUUUGUGUGUCCACAUGAUUAUGCUACUGUAGUAAUCAUGUUUUAUAGCUUUUGUUUCAAUAAAGUGUCAAGUAAGACCUUUAGGAUAGCUUAUGGUGAUAGUUGUGUUGAUCCUGCUGAAAAUCAGAAACUUUUUCACCCAGUAAUUUAGUUUUUUUAAUUCACAGAAACGUUCGUCUAGUCUGAUUCUUUUUUCUUUGGAUUGGUACACAAAUUUCUUAGAACUUCCUAAUGUUGUAGGAUUUUUGGAGUUCCAGAAGUAUACGUUUGAUACAGAUUACUACAGACUGUUCUAUUUUUGACAGAUUCUAUUUUCUAUGUGUUGUUUGCUUAUUUUGAUGAAUCUAUGAGUAGUAUCGUAGGAUAUGAACCAUAGAUAAGUUGAAGUACAGUAGAUAUUACACCAAUAUGAAUUUAGAAUGAGUUCAUUACAGUACCUAAGCGGUGGUUUUAGUUUCUUAUACUAAAGGAGCUUACGAGUUUUCUGUUGAGUUUUGUGUUGUGGAGUUUUCAAGUUUUGGGUAAAGAUUCGAUGGACUAUGGAAUAAGGAGUGGCAAGAGCCUAAGCUUGGGGAUGCCCAAGGCACCCCAAGUUAAUAUUCGAGAAUAGCCAAAAGCCUAAGCUUGGGGAUUCCCCAGAAGGCAUCCCCUCUUUCGUCUUCGUUCAUCGGUAACUUUACUUGGAGCUAUAUUUUAUAUUCACCACAUGAUAUGUGUUUUGCUUGGAGCGUAAUUUUCUUUUCUUAGUAUUUUCUUGCUGUUAUUUAGAAUAAUGUUUUGCAUCUUUAGUUUCAAUAAAAAAGUCAAGGAUAGCCUUUGCCAUGCUUAUUUUGCUAUUAUACAUGUUGCUGUUUGAAAACAGAAAGUUUACUGCUGUUGCGAAAAUUCCCUAGAAAAGUCAGAGAAUGGUAUAAUGUUGAAACCUUUUGCAUGAUGAGAUCUGAUAAAUUUACUACAGUGGGAAUUUUAUUUCAUAAUUUUUGGAGUUAGGAAAGUAUGGAUACUCUUGCAUUUUUUACAGACUGUACUGUUUUGGCAGAUUGCUGUUAUGUUUGCAUUGUUUGCAUAUGUUUGCUUGUUUAAUAAUUCUAUUUGAGGAUAGGAAUAUUAAAUAUGCAGAGGCAUUUAGUAUGAAAUGUUGAACAAUAAUUUUAUUGAUUUGUUAUAGUAGAAUAUGAUAAGGUUUUGCAUUGGUUUGUACUAACCUAUCUCACGAGUUUUUGUUGAGUUUGUUGUGAAUGAAGCUUUUGAGAAAUAGAGAAUUCAUGAUAUGAGAGAAAUUAAGGAGACACAAAAGUUCAAGAUUAGGGAUGCCCAAGGCACUCCAACAUAAUAUUCAAGAAGUCUCAAGCAUCUAAGCUUGGGGAUGCCCGGUAGGCAUCCCACCUUUCUUCUUCAACAACUAUCGGUUAGUAUCGGUUGAGCCUAAGUUUUUGCUUCUUCACAUGAGUUGUGCUAUCCUUAAAAUGUCAUUUUAUUUUAUUUUGUUUGCUAUUUGAAUAAGAUACCAAGAUCUAAAAUUUCUUAAUGUUAGAAAGUCUUCACAUAUUUGCACAAUUAUUCGACUACUCAUUGAUCUUCAUAUAUCUUUCGGAGUAGUUUGUCAUUUGCUCUAGUGCAUCACUUAUAUCAUUUAGAGCACGGAGGUGGUUAUAUUUUGUAUAAAUUGUUGACCUCUCAUGCUUCACUUAUAUUAGUUUGAGAGUCUUUUAGAGCAGCAUGGUAUUUGCUAUGAUUACAAAGUUGGUCCUAGAAUGAUGAGCAUCCAAGUUGGGUAUAAUAAAAACUAUCAUAGAAAGUGAAUUGGAUGCUAUGAUCAACUUGAUGCUUGAUAAUUGUUUUGAGAUGUGGAGGAAGUGACAUUAAAGGCAUGCUAGUUGGGUGAUUAUGAAUUUAAAGAAUGCUUGUGUUGAAGUUUGUGAUUCCCAUAGCAUGCACGUAUGGUGAACCACUUUGUGAUGAAGUUGGAGCACAAUUUUAUUUAUUGAUUGUCUUCCUUAUGAGUGGCUGUCGGGGACGAGUGAUGGCCUUUUCUUACCAAUCUAUCCCCCUAGGAGCAUGCGCGAAGUGCUUUGGUUUUUGAUGACUUCUAGCAACAAGUAUAUGAGUUCUUUUGAUUAAUGUUGAGUCCAUGGAUUAUACGCACUCCUUCACCCUUCCACCAUUGCUAGCCUCUCUUGUACCGUGCAACUUUUGCUGGUACCAUACACCCAUCAUAGUCCUUCCUCAAAACAGCUACCAUACCUACCUAUUAUGGCAUUUCCAUAGUCAUUCCGAGAUAUAUUGCCAUGCAACUUUCCACCGUUCCGUCCAUAUGACACGCAUUACUUUUGUCAUAUUGCUUUUUGCAUGAUCAUGUAGUUGAUAUUGUAUUUGUGGCAAGGCCACCUUCAUAAUUUUCAUACAUGUCGCUCUUGAUUCAUUGCAUAUCCCGGUACACCGCCGGAGGCAUUCAUAUAGAGUCAUAUCUUGUUCUAUCUUUGAGUUGUAAAUCCAUAAAAGUGUGAUGAUCUUCAUUAUUAGAGCAUUGUCCUAGUGAGGAAAGGAUGAUGAAGACUAUGAUUCCCCACAAGUCGGGAUGAGACUUCGGACUUUACAAAAAGAAAAAAAGGAAAACAAGAGAAAGGCCAAAAAGAAAAAAGAAAAAAAAAGAGAAGGCCAAAGAAAAGAAAAAAAAAGAAGAAAAAGAAGAUAGAAAGGACAAUGCUACUAUCUCUUUUUCCACACUUGUGCUUCAAAAUAGCACCAUGAUCUUCAUGUUAGAGAGUCUCAUAUGUUGUCACUUUCAUAUACUAGUGGGAAUUUUUCAUUAUAGAACUUGGUUUGUAUAUUCCAAUGAUGGGCUUCCUCAAAAGUGCCCUAGGUCUUCAUGAGCAAGCUAGUUGGAUGCACCCCACUUAGUUUCUUUUGUUGAACUUUCAUACAUUUAUAGCUCUAGUGCAUCUGUUGCAUGGCAAUCCCUACUCACUCACAUUGAUAUCUAUUAAUGGGCAUCUCCAUAGCCCGUUGAUACGCCUAGUUGAUGUGAUACAAUCUUCUCCCUUUUUUGUCUUCUCCAUAACCACCAUUCUAUUCCACAUAUAAUGCUAUGUCCAUGGCUCACGCUCAUGUAUUGCGUGAAAGUUGAAAAAGUUUGAGAAUAUUAAAGUGUGAAACAAUUCCUUGGCUUGUCAUCGGGGUUGUGCAUGAUUAAAUACUUUGUGUGAUGAAGAUAGAGCAACAGCCAGACUAUAUGAUUUUGUAGGGAUAACUUUCUUUAGCCAUGUUAUUUUGAGAAGACAUGAUUACUUUGAUUAGUAUGCUUGAAGUAUUACUAUUUCUUAUGUCAAUAUGAACUUUUAUUUUGUAUCUUUUGGAUCUGAACAUUCAUGCCACAAUAAAAAAAUUACAUUGAGAAUUAUGCUAAGUAGCAUUCCACAUCAAAAAUCUGUUUUUAUCAUUUACCUACUCGAGGACGAGUAGGAAUUAAGCUUGGGGAUGCUUGAUACGUCUCUAACGUAUCUAUAAAUUUUGAUUGUUCCAUGCUAUUAUAUUACCCCUUUUGGAUGUUUAUGGGCUUUAUUUUACACAUUUAUAUCAUUUUUGGAACUAACCUACUAACCGGAGGCCCAGCCCAUAUUGCUGGGUUUUUUUUGCCUAUUUCAGUAUUUCGAAGAAAAGGAAUAUCAAACGGAGUCCAAACGGAAUGAAACCUUCGGCAGCGUGAUUUUUUGGAAGAAUAUGAUCCUGGAGACUUGGAGUACACGUCAGAAGAUCCUCGAGGAGGCCACGAGAUAGGAGGCCGCGCCCCCCUUACAGGGUGGUGGCCCCCUAUCUCGUGGGCCCCUCGAGCACUUCCCGACCGACUUCUUUCGCCUAUAUAAGCCUACGUAUCCUAAAACCAUCAAAAAUCAAGAUAGAUCGGGAGUCCCGCUGCCUCAAGCCUCUAUAGCCAGCAAAAACCUCUCGGGAGCCCGUUCCGGCACCCUGCCGGAGGGGGAAUCCAUCACCAGUGGCCAUCUUCAUCAUCCCGGCGCUCUCCAUGAUGAAGAGGGAGUAGUUCACCCUCGGGGCUGAGGGUAUGUACCAGUAGCCAUGUGUUUGAUCUCUCUCUCUCUCUCGUGUUCUCUCUCGUGUUCCCUCUAUGGCACGAUCUUGAUGUAUCCCGAGCUUUGCUAUUGUAGUUGGAUCUUAUGAUGUUUCUCCCCCUCUACUCUCUUGUGAUGAAUUGAGUUUCCCUCUUGAAGUUAUCUUAUCGGAUUGAGUCUUUUAUUUGAGAACACUUGAUGUAUGUAUUGCCCUGUUUAUCUGUGGUGACAAUGGGAUAUCACGUGCCUCUUGAUGUAUGUUUUGGUGACCAACUUGCGGUUCCGCCCAUGAACCUAUGCAUAGGGGUUGGCACACGUUCUUGACUCUCCGGUAGAAACUUUGGGGCACUCUUUGAAGUACUUUGUGUUGGUUGAAUUGAUGAAUCUGAGAUUGUGUGAUGCAUAUCGUAUAAUCAUGCCCACGGAUACUUGAGGUGACAAUGGAGUAUCUAGGUGACAUUAGGGUUUUGGUUGAUUUGUGUCUUAAGGUUUUAUUCUAGUACGAACUCUUGAAUAGAUUGAUCCGAAAGAAUAACUUUGAGGUGGUUUCAUACCCUACCAUAGUCUCUUCGUUUGUUCUCCGUUAUUAGUGGAUUUGGAGUGACUCUUUGUUGCAUGUUAAGGGAUUGUUAUAUGAUCUAUCUAUGUUAUUAUUGUUGAGAGAACUUGCACUAGUGAAAGUAUGAAUCCUAGGCCUUGUUUCCUAUCAUUGCAAUACCGUUUACGCUCACUUUUAUCAUUAGUUACCUUGCUGUUUUUAUAUUUUCAUAUUAUAAAUACCUAUAUCUACCAUCCAUACUGCACUUGUAUCACCAUCUCUUCGCCGAACUAGUGCACCUAUACAAUCUACCAUUGUAUUGGGUGUGUUUGAGACACAAAAGACUCUUUGUUAUUUGGUUGCAGGGUUGUUUGAGAUAGACCAUCUUCAUCCUACGCCUCCUACGGAUUGAUAAACCUUAGGUCAUCCACUUGAGGGAAAUUUUCUACUGUCCUACAAACCUGUGCACUUGCAGGCCCAACAACGUCUACAAAAAAAAAGGUUGUGCAGUAGACAUCAUGGAACACGGGUCAUGAAACACUUUGUAGUACGGUGCAAGCAACACAACAAGAAUACGAAGAAGCACAAUCAAGAAUAGAGCAAAACCACAGUACUCGACACCCGUACGACACAAUCUACCACUCAACAUCCUACAUUAAGAAAUUAAGAAUUUAGUACUGAUUUAGGACAAAAUAAGUACGUAUAUUCUGAACACAUUUUACUUGCAUAAUUCUAAGUAUGAGGUUUAAUUUAUUUAAUCUACUCUUGACUUGAGUCACUUUUUUUCAAAGAGUAUAUAUAGGAGACGUAGAACUUGAGAUGACAAGAGAUGGAUUUUUUUGAGAAACUUUUAUUUUCUUUAGGUAAGGAGGGAACCUGUCUUUUCUAAGGCUUAACAGACUCUAACUAAGUACAUGACUCUUUCCUUAACGAUGCUCUGAUACCACCUCUUCUGUGACGCCCUGUUACGUCCAACAGAGUUAGGCGUAACGGAAGCCGUCACUUCAGAGUUGCGCCAGGAUCAGUUAAGGAAAAUAGUAUCAUGUACAAGACGGAGCAACUGCCAUGAGUAGGCAAGCUUUUAUUACAUAGACACCUCAAGUGUCGACUAAGCCUAAGCGACCAUGACGAUAGAUCGUCACCCGCUUCUAGUGCGAGCCUUCUAGACCAACCAUGGAGGACAUCUACUCUUCAUAGACUUGAUUGCCAACAUCCUCAUGAUCAUACUUCACUUCAGAAUAACCAUAGUCGUCAAGAUGACCAGACUCAUCAUUUGUACCAUUCUCUAGUGCCUUAGAGUUCUCAUAACUCCCUUGUUCUGAAAAACAACAUAAGUGCAGCUGAGUAUGUAUAAAAUACGUGCUUCGUAAGUCGCCGGGAAAAGUGGAUGCAUGAGUAUUUUUAAGAGGAAAAACUUUAUCGGCCAUGGCUACCACCACCGAGCCAUUAGCUCAAAAUACUUUGUAGGUAAAAAAAAUAUUUUCCCUUAACCUGAAAAUCAAAUUUUAUUUAUAAAAUCUACUGGCGACAGAGCGAUGUGGGAUCUUACAUCCUGUGUUAGAGGAAAACCCACACGACGCACUUCCAAACCCGGAAGCUGGGAGUGAUAUCACAUUUAUUCUGAUCAGAGGUGUACUGCUUUGCCCGUAGCAUCACUUGGUCCAAGUCGUCCAUGCGCUACCCGUGCGCACGACUAGAUCAAGGAACCAGAACCUUUAACCAGCUCGUAGACUACCUCUGCUUUUCCACCUUGCCUUACUAUAGGCCCGCGGGCCGAGACCCCUGACCGCCGGUCCCGCCCUAGGGUGACUGUACCUACCCGGCUACAGCCACCUUCUCACCCAUGCAGAGGCAACUACUUGGCAUCGGUAGUCGGUUCAGCCCGUCCCAUUCCAGGCCUAUGGUCAGUACGGUUUGCGCCGCUUUUGACGUAAGCGCCAGUUGGUUGUGUCCUAAUGUGAUACCCUAUGUAGAGGAGUCUGCCAUCCAAGCCAACCCUACAUGGGUCGUCUUCACCAACAUGAGCUCCCAUACCCACCAAAUUUUUAGUUAUAAUGUAACCCUGCCCGGGUCACGACUACUUAAUACAGAUACUUCACUUGAUCUGGUCCAAUUGCCAAAUCAGUGGAUCCACCUGAUCCAAAUAUCAUUUUAUUUAUGAAAAGUAUUUAUUUUUAAUUCUUAUGCAAAAUUUUGGAAAUGACUCAUAGCCCGGAAAACAUUUAUGAAGACAUGAUCAAGGAGAUGACGACUUGCCGGGUAGCGCCCCGACCAACUCGAAACCACCAGAUGGGGGUCCUAUGGGUCUGAGAUCGACUCCUGAUAAUUAUUUCACAAAGAAGUUUAUAUUUUCCCUAAUCAAGAUCCAAGCAUCAAGAAACAAUUCCAUACGGUGCAAUCCAUUUUAAUUAAAGAGGCAAUGAUACAUGCUAGUGUGUAAUUAGAAGCAAAAUGCAUACAACACAUCAAGAAGUAGUACGCACAUGCACAUCACAAAGAGCAAGCAAGCAAGCUCAAAAGGAAAAAUGUGUUUAGCUGGUCGAACCCAACCCCGGCAGAAAUAUCAUUUCUUUUUUCUCCAACUAGUCAUCUUCCCCAGCUCUCUACCUCUCUCUCUCACUGUCACUGGUAUGCUCAGCCACGAACAUAACCAACUCCAUCUCUCUCUCCCUAACUACAGAGCAGGCCGCCGCCGGCUCGAUCUGCCACUUCCGGCCAUCUCCGGCGACACCGCGGACACCCACAGAAUCCCCUCAACUCCCUCUACCAUAUACCCCCAUUUAUUUGAUCCGCCGCCGCCAAAAUCGCCGCCACCCUCAAACCCCAGCGCCGUCUGCAUCGGGUCCGAUGGGUUCACCACGGGCCGCAGCAGCAAUGGCAUCUCCCUACCUACAAACUCCUCCUGCAGAGCUGCACGCACGAGGCGUGCAACUAUGGCCGUCAGGCGUGACCAUCUUAACCGGUGCGGCUCCGGCAACAUGGCCGCUACAGACGCCCGGCUCGCCUUUGUCUACUGCUACUAGGGUAAGUGCCAGUCCAAAUUUCUCUCUGUGCAGUGUUCUUACCUCUGCUGCAAGUGUUUGUGCUAUGACUCCCCUUACUGCCAUGCUUCUUGUUAAUCUCAAGACCAAGGAAUUAAUCAAGCUUUACUCUAUGGUGUGGACGUGGUCUCCAGAUUUAUUCUAUAUUGUUUAUUCAAUUUUUAGCUCUACUACACUAUCCUCGCACUACUAUGAUUCUUUUUUAAUUAAGCUCAUAACUAGGAAUUAACCAGUGAAUUCCUACUGUCACCGACUUGAUUAAAAAGCGACAAGUUAAUUUCUUGUGAUGGUUAGGUGCUGCCACAAACUAAAUCUAAAUGUUGCUUCUACUGUGUGUGCGCGUGCACUCAUUUCUGCACCCUACAACAGUCAAGUGAACAUCGACAUUGAUCACUCAAAACAUUCUUAGAAAGGGGAUCAUGAAAGGGAAAAUAAGAGGAUGUCAGGAAUUUAUUUGUACAAGAUUUGCACAAAGUAUGUUUAUUUAUUUUUUUUGUUUUCAGAAUGAUGCAUGUGCAAAUGAGACAAGGCAAACAUUAGCCAAACAGUGUUCAAUACAACUAGGAAGGGAUCAUUAAGAUGAGUAGCAUACACAGGAAGCUUGAGCUAUUAGCUGUACAUGUAAAUCUUAGCAAGUUAAUAUUUGGGAUUUAAUUCUCAGCAUGACAUGUCUAUUAUAUACAUAGAUCUAGUACAAGACAGAGAUGGACAUGCACAGUACACAUGCAUCACUUAACCACCAUGUACUAAUUUGUCUUCAUCUAAUAUAUGUGCUUUCUUUUUCUAACCAUCAUUCUUCUUUUUACAGAGUAACUAGAGUCCAAAAGAGCAGGUGUUCAUGUUCUAAGCAAAGGUGAAGAUGGAUCAAGCAAACAAAGCUGCAAAAGCAAGGCACUUGAAUAGUACCUGAUGGCAACUCAGCAUCCGACCAAAAGAGUGGAUGGGGAUGGUGGGGAGAGCUUGGUUCUCUCUUGUGCGUGUUGUGUGCAGUAGAGGAAGUCAAAGGUGAAAGGAGGAGGCUGCUAUUUAUAGUAGUGUAGGGUGCUAGGUCGGUUUGGUAAAAGAGAGAUGAUGAGAAAAAGGGUUUCCCCCCGCUUUAUAGAUAAAGCAUCACCGAACAACCGAAUCCUGCCGAUACAAACACACACACCACACACCACACACACCCAAGGCUGGAUACAAGGACGCUGAUAACAGCAACACUACCCCGACAAAAUCCUAGCCAACAUCAGAUGAACACAAUCAGUACUACUACGAUGAUGUCGGGGCCCUCAACCAUGGGCGGGCCACCGCGAAGAGGAGAAGCCGAGUAGGACGAACAAUGAGCUCCAAAGGGGCGCCUUCAGCAAGGAAACGACACCAUCGUGUCGCCACCGCCCAAUCCAAGGAUUAGAGUUUCCCUCGGAGCACUCCGACGACAAAUGAGAUGCCGCGACGGCGCCUUCAAGAAGGGGACGACGCUGGAACGCCGCCGCCGUCGGCCUGGCAGAGCAGAACGGGUUUUCACCCCGGCCAACACUCAUCGUCACCGGAUUGGAUGAACGACCCACCCCGGUCAACACGCCGCCCACACGACCAUGCUGACCGGACAACGCCCGAGCCGCGUGCUCCGCCCAAGAGCACCCCGGCUACCACCAACCGGGCCGCCGCCACGGCAUCCGAGCCCCACCCUCAACCAGGACACACCGAACGGACGCGGCUGACCAGAACGAAGCGGAAGCUCGCCUUCCACCCCAAAGUCGACACCUUGGCAUGAUCGGUGACCUCGGCGGCCGGAUCAGGGCCAGGGGAACUCCGGCGGCCACCCGCGGCAGCCGCCAGAUGCAACGGAGGGGGCACCCUGCCCCUUCCCGGAGUCCCCUGCCACCACCAGUAGGCCUCGCGCGCACCACCACACCAUGGCGCCACCCCGGCCUGACGAGCCCGUCGCUGAGUCCAAAGAAGAGGGAGGGAGCUCACCCGAGUCCGACGCAGACGAACAGCCGCCGGAGAGAGCCGCCGUUGCCGCGUGCAGAUCGGACAACCACCAGGCCGCAGCAGCGCCGCUGCAGCCCACCCCACUCCGAGGUCAAGACCGACCUCGGCCACCGCCCCGCGCCGCCCGCCGACAUCCAGGAGCCGGAUCCGGGAGGAUGGGGCCGGAUCCGCGCGAGCACGCCACCGCCCAGAUCGGGAAACCCCGCGGCCGCCACGCCGCAGACGAGCUCGCCGUUCGACGUCGCGUCNNNNNNNNNNNNNNNNNNNNNNNNNNNNNNNNNNNNNNNNNNNNNNNNNNNNNNNNNNNNNNNNNNNNNNNNNNNNNNNNNNNNNNNNNNNNNNNNNNNNNNNNNNNNNNNNNNNNNNNNNNNNNNNNNNNNNNNNNNNNNNNNNNNNNNNNNNNNNNNNNNNNNNNNNNNNNNNNNNNNNNNNNNNNNNNNNNNNNNNNNNNNNNNNNNNNNNNNNNNNNNNNNNNNNNNNNNNNNNNNNNNNNNNNNNNNNNNNNNNNNNNNNNNNNNNNNNNNNNNNNNNNNNNNNNNNNNNNNNNNNNNNNNNNNNNNNNNNNNNNNNNNNNNNNNNNNNNNNNNNNNNNNNNNNNNNNNNNNNNNNNNNNNNNNNNNNNNNNNNNNNNNNNNNNNNNNNNNNNNNNNNNNNNNNNNNNNNNNNNNNNNNNNNNNNNNNNNNNNNNNNNNNNNNNNNNNNNNNNNNNNNNNNNNNNNNNNNNNNNNNNNNNNNNNNNNNNNNNNNNNNNNNNNNNNNNNNNNNNNNNGGCCGUCUCGCGCCAGCCGCGGAGCACGAGGGGGAGGAAGAAGAGGCCCCGCCGCCGCCCCCACCGGCCGGGCUUCGCCCGCCGGCGUCGCUGGGCGGCGGCGAGGGAGGAGAGCAGAGGAGGGGGAGGUGGGUUACGGCGGCUAGGGUUCCCCCCUGUCGCUCGCGAGAGCGACACGGGAGGGGACGGGGGUAGAUAAAUACAUAUGGAGCCGAGUCGUAAAAGAGAGAUGUGGCUGACAUGCCUGGUUGCAUGAGCAUGCAAGCCUCCACAUGUAAUCAUGUGAGUUGUACAACGGACAAGUGUAUAGUGCAUGGUUGGACACGAGUUGGCAUAUACUUUGUGUGUAAGGAAUGAGACAAGGGCCUAAUUGUAAAUCUGCAAACUAUAAGGGAGUUGGAGAAGAACCAAUGUACAUGGCUAAAUACUAACUUUUUUUGUUGCAAUAAAUUUUUGAUAUUAGUGUUGUGGUUAAUUAUAAUUAUUCAACUAACUAUGCCUUCUGACACUGGUGUAACAUAGCGCCGUCAAAAAUAUCAUUAUCUAAUUUUAAGGGUUUUUACAGUAGCCAUGAUAGUUUCAUUUAUAUUUGAUGGAAUGUUGUAACGAGAUAAUUUUAAGGCAAGACACAUGAAUCAUAAGUUGAAACCUUUUUUUUCCUGCAGGAACCAAAGUUGAAACCUUCAUAGCUUCACAGUACAAUUUCAUUAAAAUUAUGCGUACAUAUAAACAAAUCAUGAAGGAUUGAUAGUAAUGCCAGAAACAAUUCAACUUCGUUUCGCCGACAUGUUGGACAUCCUUCAAUCGGCUUCACCUGCCAUGCAGCAAUAUUGAGUGCACAACACAACUGCAGGGAAAGAUUCACCCCGGUCGUUGCGCCACAGUAGUAAUGACUAGUGAGCAGUCAAAUCAUAGAGCCCCACCUUUGCCAUAGUAAGUUGCUCGGACGAAGCAACCAUCAUUUCUCUGUUCCUUAAAUCCACUGGUACUCCCAUAUUCCCACAGUAAUAAGUUGCUCGGGCGAAUCAACAAUCACUUCACCUUUCCCUCAGUAAGUACUAGUACCUCCUUUUUUUACUCUAGAAACAACCACAAGCGAAUAUUGGACGGUAGCAGCACGACAACUGAAUAAAAAAAUUCUAUAGUAUGAGAAUAAUUUUGAACGUAAGCCAUUGAUUCACUCUAUCCAAUGGUCAUAGUUCGAAAAUCCAAACAAAACCAAGCAUUGGAUCAACUCUUUUAGCACUCAGAUUGUUGCCGCCUACUCAACUGCCUCCCCACCUAUAUAUCCGCUGACGUGUGAUGACCACAUGAGCUAUCCGUUCAGAUCGUAUGUUAAAAAAUAGAGGUCGAUAACUAAUGCAGCACCUCGGGCCAACGCGGCCAUAUCGCAUUUUGCACGAGAAAUUACGCACCAUGUUUCGUUGACAUGUGGUCCUGUUCUAACAUGUCAGUGAGACGAUGGCAAGUCCUUUUCUACUAGUAUUUCCGAACAGACGUGUAGGCCGGGGCACCUCUUAGUGUACCGUGGCAAACUGGCAACCGUCCACCGACUCUUCGCCUUUCCCUCUCGAUUUGGAACUGCUGUCGCACGCUCUUCCUACCUCCUUCAUUUGCCUUGACCCUUCCUUCUGCCAUUGUUUGAUCGUCUUCUCCAUGGAGAGAACAGGGCCGAAACGACCCCGUUAUUCUUGCCUCGAUCUGAAAGAUGACAUGGUGUGAUGUCAUCACCUCGGCUAGCAUGGCAGGUUCGUUCAAAACCAUUCUCGACUCAACUAAUAACAUCAUUAAAAGGAACCCAAGGGUCCAGGAGCGGUUUGAUCUCCCCUAUCUUCUUCGCUGUGACCCUGAUGACUGGCGUGGGACGACGGAGGCCUCACCUUGUGUAAGUUGAUGCCGCUUGAUAAUGAUACGUAUGAUGUUAAGAUGCCAUCGCUUGAGGGCAAGGAUUGGGCAGGCGCAAAUAGAGAUUGGGUUGUUUAUAUUGGGUACAACUGCGAGUGGGAACUUGUGAAUGUGUACACUCGUCACCGGGUUCCACUUUGAAAAAUCUCAGCAGACUUCCCAAAGGUUGAGCACAUCGGUAUUCUACGCACGUUCAAAUACGAUCAUGGUGUCUGUCUUCUAUGGAAGAUAGCAAUUCGUCGAGUUCCCAACCGCUCUUGGAAUUACAAGAACUAUGAAGUUGUUGUUAUCUUCGACAAGCUUGUUGCCAUCCUUUGUGGUUCGACUCAAUGGAUAUUGCUCAAAAAUCAGUUUCUAUACAAGGAUGUGUACUGUGAUGCAAUUCAAUACGAGGGUCCUGUGUUUUUGCAUGGGAUACUCGUAGUUUCGAUACGUUUUUCUUCCGCCGUAAUUAUAAUUGUUUCAUCCACAUGCAUGCAGGUUUGCAAGUCUCCCUUUACUAAUUAACCUUCUUCUUGUGUUUCCAAGGUCCUGUGAACAUUCCACCACCUAUACUUGAAAAUUUUUAUAACCAAGGGGGAGAUGACGAUGGUGAUGAUCACGAGCAUGAGGAUGAGCAUAACUUAUAUACUUAGUGGCGCCUAGCAACUAAUUCCGAUGGAUCACCUCUUCUUGUCUGUAUACAGCGCACUGAGUUUGUUACUACUGAGGGAGCAUGUGUUGUCUCCCAUGGUCGCACUCUCCAGACCUAUUCCAACACUCGUUGCAUGGUAUUCAGGAUGGAUACUAGUGUGCUAGCGCCAACACCUUCUCCCUGGUACAAUAUUGAUAGUCUUGGAGAAAACUUGCUCUUUCUUGGACAAAACUAUCCGAUGAUGGUGAAAGGCGAUCCAACUGUCGUUGACACAAUGUUACUACCAUUUAUGAGAAGCAAUUGUAUCUAUACCUCGGACAUUUGGGUGGUUCCCUACCCUGGUACUGAUAUAGUAGGCCGCUUCAGCCUGGAUGAUCACUCCUGCGUUGGUCUCGAGAUUGACAAUAGAUGGCCCGUCCUAGAGAAUCACUUGUGGUUCAAAGCAAGUGUUUCCAACGCCGAGGAUUGGUUGAGUUGAAGUUCAUUUCAUUGCUUGUUAUUUGUUGUGUGAUGAAAACUUUAGUAUUUAUAAUGUAUCCUCAUUGUCAUUGUGGGUUGAUGACCUUCUGUAUGUAAUAAAAUGAUAUGCCUGUGAUAAACUUACUAAAUUUAUGAAUGGCUUUCGAGUCGCUUCUCUGAGUGAGUGCUGCGACGAGGCAAAAAAUAUUUUCCGAAUACAUAGUUGUACGUGCAUUGCAAUAGGUUAUCGGAUGAGGCCAAUCAAUAAUAGUAGUACACUAUUUGUACUAGCUUCACAUGCUUUGCGCACCAAGCGGGUGGUUCUACUAUAGCUGUGAAUCCCAUCAUCCUAGGUCCUCGGAUGAGUCCAGUAGAAAUUGCAUUCUGAUGUUUGGGUUCAAACUUUCAGAACUGCUGCACUAUCUCUACGUCUACGUACACGUAUUACAACAAGUUUUAAACUUGAGACCAGCCACCCACCCGCACAAAGAACACUUUUUAACCUAGCACAGACUCCAGGAAAUUUGGCCAUAGUGUAAGGUGGGCCAUAUGUUAAUGUGUCGCUGUACGUAACCAGCACCUCGAAUCAUCGAUACUACUACUAUAUAAGUAGUAGGAGUAGUAGGGUGACAUGGGCCAGAACAAGCAUUCACGUCCAGGAGUACGACACACGCCACCAGCACGACUUCCAUCUGACACCAUAUUUCUUGGAGUCCGUGCCACAACAAUCUCUUCAACCUCGUCGUUUCUCUAACUCAACCAUCGCGCGUCAGGCGAGGUGGGGGUUUGCCGAUAGUCAGUUUUCUCAACUGCGGUCCCACUUGUAAGGCCAACUCCAACGCACGACCCCAAGCGGACCUCCGUUUUGCUCAGAUUCUGACCGUUUGGGUAGGGCAAUGGGGUUGUGUUCCGGCCAUUUUUAGGAUGUGGUGGCCACGCGCCGAACGCGUGGACGCAUCCCGGCCGCGUACAUUUUUCUUGGCAAACACAUAUCUUUUUUUCAUCAUUGAUUUUUUGGUACAUGGAAAUACAUCACCAAAAUUUUGACUAGAAAAGCAAGACCAAAGAAAACAAGAGCCACAAGAAUACAUUUUAGAAGAUAUCCAACUUCCAUAACUGCUCCUGUAAGUUGGAUUAGUGCCUUCUCAAUGCAUUCAUUGUUGAUCUACAAAGGCUCGAUCUUGCGUCCUGCUUUCUUCUUUGAGUGUAAAGAAGUAGACAUUGCUUCCUCGCAUCUAGUCUCAUGUCUAGCCUCUAUUCUAUCAACAAGUGCACAAGUCUCAUCUCUAGCCUCUAUGCUAGCUAAAAUUGCUAGAGAAUCUACUAAAUUGCGCUCUAUCAAUAUAUCGAUGUACUCUUCUUCCCAAUACCAAAACUUGCAUCCAUUCUACACAACAAAAUUUUAAGUUAGCACAACUAGUCUAAUCCGAGAGCACAACCGAGGAUUUGGUCGAGUUCUUCCUCCUUUUGCCGACACGUGGGACAUCCAGCAUCCAGGUCGUGUCAUGCAAGAAAAUAGAGUGGUAGUCGAAGCCACGUGAUGUACAUUUGGGUUAAAAUGUAAAUAGAAUCUUACUACUCUUGAGUAACUCCAAAAGCGACAACCGAAGAUCUUUAUUGAAUUUGUUUUUCAUCACCAGCACAUCGAGGUGAAAGAUGUGCAGGUUCAGUGGGUCCUCUUGCAUUUUCACUGACAUGUGGGACCACAUAUGAGCAAACAGACGAUGGGCUCCACACGUCUGCUGGCUGGCUGAGAAGAAAGAUAGAGGAGGGCUGAGCACAGACUCUAGAAAAUUUGUUCUACAUAACCAGCACCUCGAUAUUUGUGUGUGGUUGUUUCUAGAAUAAAAAAGAAGGUACUCCUAUUUAUGUUACUUCCACUACGCCUAGCCUAAGGUUAGUAGGUGACCUUGCGCUUGGCUCUUCGCCUCUUCCAGAAGUCGAACGUUCUACAGUAGUACUUCUGGCAAUCUGACACCAAAUGAACUGCUGCACGUCCACCGCUUGUAAGUAAAAGUUUCUCCUCGUGCUGCGAGCCACCACACAUGCGUUGGCGAGGGAGAAGGCGUAAUCAAGCUUCUCGUCGUUCUGCGACUUGACGGGACACAUCAAAGUUAUUUAGUAUGUACUCUCUCAAAAAAAAGGGUUGACCAUGUCAUGGCUACCAUCCCGUGCUCCAUCGUUGAGUACGUGCACUAUUCACAUGCCAUCGAGGAGAAAUAAUAUUGUGUAGUAGGUGUCAUCAAAGUGCAUGACUCACUUACGCAUUGCUUAUCUGAUUAUCUCCAUUUUCUUGCAUGACAUGUGCACCUUGAUGCUAGAUGUCUCGCGUGUCGGGAAACGGAUGAACAAAGCUCACGUAAAAGAAAAGAGUUGAAGAACAUAGAUUUCAGACGACCGAGAAGGAGCAAGGAACCUCGUGGUGGAGCGUCUGCAAGGAACAUUGCAUGUUUUCCCCUGUUUUUUGCCGCCUUCCCACCUAUAAACAAAUAAAAGAACUUGAACUCUUCGCUAACCACUAGAAAUGAUGCAUCAGGAUGCUAAGUUGAAGAUGUUUUAUAUUUUAUAUUGAUAACCACGCAGCCAGCCACACAUGUAUAGAACGCAUGCAGCCACGCAUGUACACACGCCAACACACUAACUCCAUCCGAUCCAACUCAUGCACAUACGCGCAUAGUAUGGAGCACACAAUGCACGUACACAACACGUGCAUGCACACACACUCGGCCGCAGAAUGCACGUGAAUAACACAUGCUUGUGUACACACUCGGCUGCAUGGAGGCGUGCGCCAUCUGUGGCGACGUCCAGUUUGUCGUGCUAAGGAGAAGCUCACACGCAACGGCGCCUACACAUCUCUUGCAGCACCUCUUUGCCGUCGUUGCUCAACGACUAGUCAGAGACGAAGACGACCGCAGCCUCGGCCUUAGAGCUAGCACUGAUGGAAAAACACGCACGUUGCAUGCACAUGAGCAUGUACGAAGUGCCCAUGAUGUGGUGCAUCCCCAGUUGCCUCUACUCCUUUAGCGCAUGUUGUCUAUCAAGGCGGCUGCAUGCCUAAUGAUGAUGUGGAUGAGAUCUUCUAGGACUCAUAUGAUGACGAGAAAAAUUAUGAGACACAAGGUGACGUACACCAUCAAGGUCCACAGUCAAGGGGUGCUAAAUGCUAAGUGCUUAGAUGUGCUUAGAUGAGGUGCUAAGUGCAUUAAAUGGCUUAGUAACUCAAUUCUUCAUUGCAUAGGUGCUUAGUUUAUUGUUGCUAAGCUUGCUUUAUUUAAUUAGCUAUAGACUCAAAAAUGUCUUUCCCGUUUCUUCCCGCGGUCACCAAACUAGUAUCUCUCUUUUUAGUUAACUUGCCACAUCAUAUUUUAUGCCUCCGUGGCAGGCUUAGCAACUAUACAUGGUGGAGCACUGGUAGAGGCCCAGGCUAGUCAUAGUGGGGAGUAACUUAUACUGUAACAUAUUACUAUGUUACUCUAAACAUCUCUAUAAACCGGAAAGGAGGGAGUAGAAACAUAGACUAGUGUCAUAUGCAGAGUAUGGGAGAACAUGAUAUUUCCACAUCCGGACAGCCCAAGUUGGCUUCUCACCUUCUUGGCCCAACAAAAACCCCUCCCCCUCCCGCGCGCGCUUCCCGCCCGGCGCCAGCUGAGCCCGCCACUCCACAUUGAUGGCAAGUCAGGGCGACGCAACCUCUCACUACUUCCUCCAUUGAAGCGGCACGCCGACCGAGGGCACCACCCGCUGCACGUCCGACAUUUCAGACUACACAGUGGAGAGUAACUUUAGAGCAAGUACUACAAUUAGAUGACAUAAGCAAGCUAUAAGGAUUUAAAUAUAGUAUUUGUGCUUAGUUGAAGGAGAGAGAAGAGGAGAGAGAAGAGAAGUAGAUUGUAAACUUGUAACCGGUUGUAGCAGGAGGCCCAACAUACUUUGUUAGACAAAAGGUGGGGCCAUUAUUAAUGAUAUAGUAUUUAUAAUAAAGGGACUAACGGACACCUUAAUUACUCCGGUUUUUUCAAACAAACCUUGGUGGGGCUAUUAUUGACUUGGACGUGGGGUUUGGGGGCCAAAGGCCUACUAUUAUACUUGGUCUUACUCGCACGACCGACCUGACAUGCUCUACCCUAGCCGCCGCUGUAUCAUAUGGUUUCGCACCGUUCCAGAUCUUAGCGUCUCCACAUAAUUCUUCUCCAGCCCUUCUUCCGGCGUGCUCCGCGAGAAGGGACAGCAGUCCUCCGAACCCCGCCUUUCGUGAUCCUGUACGGGAGAGGGGCGAUCAGGUUUUUGGGUAGCACACUCCUGUGACUGCUGCCAGCGACGACUUCCUUAAUGACAGCCUUCUUCCCCGACCUCGGUAACCUCUUCAUCAGCGGCAUGAGUGACAACAUCAACCACAUCGGUUCUGCUCCCACUGUACAGUAUGUGAUUCUGUCCUCCUGGUUUAGUCCGCGUCAUUACUUUGAUGUUUUCAAUUGUCGUCAUGAUCUAUUUACUGCUGAUUCAGAUUAAUUCUCAUAGUAAAUUGCUCAUAUAAUUCAACAAUCCAAUCCAAAAACCUGAUUAUAGGCAAUUUACUCCGAGUGGUUUUGCUGCACUUUUGAAGCCGCCUACUUUUAUGGGGGUGCAAUAUAAAAGGUGGCACACAAGAGUAGUAUAUUGGUUUCAGAUCAUGUACUACUAUGACGCCACUAAGGGUAAGCAUAAGGGCGAUAUUAAUCCUACACAGCAGGAAGCUUUUGAGAACAUGGAUACCCUCUUCAAAGCCGCCCUGCAGAGUGUUCUUAACGAUUCCAUUGUGGAUUCAUAUAUGUCGUUUGACAGCGGCAAAGACAUGUGGGUUGCGCUCGAGGCCACGUUUGGGCCCUCGGGCGCUGGCAACGAGUUGUACGUCAUGGAGCAAUUUUGUGACUACAAGAUGACUGAUGAGCGCUCUGUUGUUCAGCAGACUCUUGAGAUACAGUCACUCCCUAAGGAACUUGAGUACUUUAAGUGUGUGUUGUCGGACAAAUUUGUUGCUGGGACCAUCAUUGCCAAGCUUCCACCUUCGUGGAACGAUUUUGCUACUUCUCUGAAAAACAAGAGACAUGAGUUUUUUGUUUUGGAUCUCAUUAGCACUCUUGAUUUUGAGGAGAAGGCGAGAGCAAAAGACACACAUGCUCGGGUCACUGAGGGAGCUUCUAGUGCCCACCUGGUACACGAGAACAACUUCCAGCCCAACCAGCCCCAAAACAACAAGAACAAAUCUAAGGGGAAAGGCAAGUUUGAUGCAAAGAACAAGCUGUCACAUUCUACCAACUUCAAGAAGAAUUCUCAUAAUACGAAGGGAUACAAACCUCAAUUUUGGUAGCACCGCACAAAAUUUAUAUGGCUGCAUCUACCUGCUGCCAGCUAACCUCAUGGUGCUCCAGGUAUUCCUACAUUCGUAACUAGGUACAAUGACCACCGCAAGAUGAAAUUAGCUUAUUCGUACGUUGACUUGCUGAAUGCAGUGCGGAACGAUCCUAUCAUGUGUGCAGGAGCAAAUAAGCAGUGUAGUCGAAGGUGGAAAUCAACCAAGGACUUAUGAAAUUAUAUAUAAUCUUCCUCAGGCAGGUCAGUAUCCCCUUCAUCCAGAUGAUCGUGUUUUGUCAUGCCGAGCUAUUGAUAUAUGCUACUGUUUUGCAACACUGUUUAAGUAUAGCUACUGUUUUUCUAUCUUUUCAGAUUCAGGACAAUGAAGAUGAUUUCAGGGGAACUGCAUAAUAUGGACUCAUGUUGGGUCAUCUCUAUUGCCUCAUGUGUUUGCUGCAAAUGUGUCAGCAUCAAUUGCAAGAUGAGGCAGCUAGCUAGUUGUGGAGUUGCCAACAUGCUCAAAGUGCUCGCAACAUUGAGAAGAAACAAGCAUGCCCAGAAAAUUAAUGCGUGCGCAGGGAGGCCCUUUGCUCAGAGAAGCAUCGAUCGAUUUUCUUUAUUUCCACACCUUCUCACAGCUUUGUAUUGGUUAUAGUAUGGUGUAUCAUUGAGAUGCAUAAACAUGCUGAACUUUUGUUCUUCUGAAUGUUAGUAUGCAUACCGUAUCUUCUGAAGCUUAGUUUAAUGUGAGUGUCUGCAUCCAGUACCGCAUCCUCUAAUUUGGUGGAUGCCAAGUUGAAAAAGGUUACCAAUGAGUAGCCAUAAGCUAGAGGCGUCUCUUUUUUUUCUUUCGAAUGGGCAAUAAGCUGGAGAGUGUCUCGGGCGGCCUCUAGCACAAGGCCCUCUAGUACGAAAACGGGCAGCCGACUGGGCCAAUACAAAAGCCUAUCCGUCUUAAAGCCCAUUUGUUUUUGUUUUUUGCAAGGAGAAGCCCAUGUUUCUAGAAGAGGGGUGAUGCGGAGCAUCCUACGGUCAUCUCCAUGUACACCUUCAUAGCACAUCAAGCCCCAAGUGGACCUACCGGAGUUAAGGUGAACCCGCUCUUCUUCGAGAAUAUCAUGAAUAUCCAUUGGACUUGCUUGCUACCUCACCAAAGAGCUCUAUGUGUCCUUAGAUAUGAAGACCGACGACCACAAGCUGGUGAGGAACACCCCAAAGGAGUAGGAGAAGGACCCCAAGGCCACAAGGAGAAAGAAGGAGUGCAACAAGACCAAAUCUGCACCUCCCAGGCGACCCCGUGCCCACGGGCCCCGAAGACCCCGUGUGCACGGGCUACUCAGGGAGCUGGCGCUGGAGCACCCCGUGCGCACGAGCCAGUACCGUGCCCAUGGGACCCCCGUGCGCACGGGCCCAACUUACCCCGUGCGCACGGGCUCAUCAGGAUGGGCGGCUGUGAUCCCCAAUCCGAGCCCCUCUUCACUCACUUCGACCCCAAGACUAUAUAUUCUGUACCUAGACCAUUUGUUAGGGGAAGCAAAGUAGUUGAUACACAUUGGUGAGCUUUGCUCCAUGGAUUCACUCCUCUAGGAGAUCAAGACCUCCUCUUGGAGUGACCAAACAUCAAGACCUCCUUCUUGGGGAAGGAUCCCAAUCAUAGGAUCAUCAAGCCCUCAUCUCCUUCAUAGGAUUUGGGAUGAACUCUACCAUGUAUCUUAUUUCCCUUUGUUGUUCAUGUACCUUGUGGAUCUUAUGUGUUUGAUUGUCUAGUGGAUGUGUGAUUUGACUUGUUCUUGAGUGCUCUUCUUGUUUUCCCUCCUUUGUUCAUCUUGUUCUUGGGGAUUCCACCUCCAAUUCAUGAAAGAUCUUCUCUAUAGGGUUCCACCCUACAUCAUAUGGUAUCAAGAGCCAGGUUUCUCAUGAAAUUGGAGCCCCCCUCUUAGUUUUCUAGCAUAAUUUUGCUUGUUCUUGCCCAAUUUCGAAAAUCCCCACAAAAAUCUACAUCAUAUGGUAUCAUGAGCCAUGGUUUCUCACGAAAUUGGAGCCCCACUCUUUGUUUUCUAGCUUGAUUUUGUUGUUCUUGUCCUAAAUCCGAAAAUCCCCACCAAAAAUAGCCCCAAUUUUUUUUUGUGAUUUGUUGGUUUAGUGUGAUUUUGUUGGAUUUGAUCCAUGAAUUUGGUGUUUAGCGGCUUCUGAAUCAUCAUGCCAAGGUGGAUAUCAUUACAUCAACAUUACAUAAUAGAUGGGGAUACAUACAUAAGGCAUACAAUGCCACACGAAUACAUCAUCACAAUACAUAAGAGCAUCAUCCGACUACGGAUGAAACACAAACAGAAGCUCAAACGACAUCCACCCUGCUAGCCCAGGCUGCCGACCUGGAACCUAUCCCCUGAUCGAAGAAGAAGCAGAAGAAGAACUCAACGCAAGCAAGCAUCACUCUCGCGUCAUGAUCAUCGAUUAACUUGUACCUGCAACUGUUGUUGUAGUAAUCUGUGAGCCACGAGGACUCAGCAAUCCCAUUACUAUGGGUAUCAAGACUAGCAAAGCUUAAUGGGAAAGGAAGGGGUAAAGUGGUGAGGUUGCAGCAGCGACUAAGCAUAUAUGGUGGCUAACAUACGCAAAUAAGAGCGAGAAGAGAGCAAGCAGAACGGUCGUGAAGCUAGCAAUGAUCAAGAAGUGAUCCUGAACUCCUACUUACAUCAAACAUAACCCAAAACCGUGUUCACUUCCCGGACUCCGCCGAAAAGAGACCAUCACGGCUACACACACGGUUGAUGCGUUUUAAUUCGGAUCUGGUGUCAAGUUAUGUACAACCGGACAUUAACAAAUUCCCAUCUGCCUAUAACCGUAGACACGGCUUUCGAAAGAUUAUACCCUGCAGGGGUGUCCCAACUUAGCCCAUGAUAAGCUCCCGCGAUCAACGAAGGAUAUACCUUCUCCCAGGAAGACCCGAUCAGACUCGGAAUCCCGGUUUACAAGACAUUUCGACAAUGGUAAAACAAGACCAGCAAGACCUCCCGAUGCGCCGACAAUCCCAAUAGGAGCUGCACAUAUCUCGUUCUCAGGGCAACACCAGAUAAGCUAAGCGUACAGGUACCGACGUAACCCAAGUUGCCAAGGGAUGGUCCCGCACGGUGCUCUAGUUUGGACCAACACUUAGACAAGCAUUGGCCCGGGGGGACUGUAAUAAAGAUGACCCUUGGGUUAAUUACUCCCAAGGGAAAUAUAGGUGGUGGUGAGGCAAAUGGUAAAACCAAUGUUGGGCCUUGCUGGAGGAGUUUUAUUCAAAGCGAACUGUCAAGGGGGUCCCAUAAAUCACCCAACCGCGUAAGGAAUGCAAAAUCCGGGAACAUAACACCGGUAUGACGAAAACUAGGGCGGCAAGAGUGGAACAAAACACCAGGCAUAAGGCCGAGUCUUCCACCCUUUACCAAGUAUAUAUAUGCAUUAAUUAAAUAAGAGAUAUUGUGAUAUCCCAACAUAAUCCUGUUCACCAUGGAGCAAUCUUCAACUUCACCUGCAACUAGCAACGCUAUAAGAGGGGUUGAGCAAGGCGGUAACAUAGCCAAACAAUGGUUUGCUAGGAAGGGUGUCAAAGGUUAGAGGUUCAUGGCAAUUUGGGAGGCAUGAUGAGCAAAAGAUAGGUAACGUAGCAAAGCAAUAGAACGGAGCAACUAGCAUAGCAAUGAUAGUAGUGAGAUCCAGGGUAGCGGUCAUCUUGCCUGAAAUCCCGCAAGGAAGAAGAACGAGUCCAUGAAGAAGACGAACGGAUGAAGCUGAACCAAGUGUAGACGAACGAGUCCUCACGAUCGCAACGAAACAGGAACUAUCGAGAAGAAGCACACAACAAGGUAAACACACCACACAUAGACAAGACAUGAUGCACAACCAAGCAUGAUGCAUCUCAAGACUACUCAUGGCAAGAGAUGAUGCAAACAAGAGCAGCACAUCAAAGCAAGUUUAAAUGAGGCCGGGAACAACAUAUAACAAUUCCGGUAAGUCCUCAUAUGCAAGUUUCGAAAUUGGUCCAGAUCUGAAUAAACCUUAUGUUCAAGUUGUUAAACAGCAAGUUAAGAUGCACCAAGAUGAUCUACACAAGAUUCUAGUCAAGUUACAUAUAAAGUUCAUUUAAUUCGGAGCUACGGCCUAGAAGAUAUGAGCAAAACAAGUUAAACAUGGCAUUGGUGCAAAAUGCACCCCAAACAUCAAGCAAACACCUUAAAACAUGGAUGCAACAUGAUAAUAUGAAGCUACAUGCAAAAUCAAGCAAGUUUCAUAUAGAGCACACUCAAAACGGAGCAACGGUUCAACACACACAUACUAUACAAGUUAUAGCAACAAUCUGUCCAAAACAGCAACUAGGCAUAUUGCAAGCACCAAAACAAUAUGCUACAGCAUCACAAUAUGAAAACAAAAGACAUGGGCAUGAUGUACAGGUAAAGCAUAACAAAACAUGAACACUGAGCUAACUCCAGAAAUCACUAGAACAUGCUCAAACACACAUGGCAAGAUUGCAAAUAAUAACAGUUCAGACUUUGCAGAAAAUAACAUCAGGUUGCAAUAUUUAGAGCUAUCAAACAAUAUGUUACAGGAACUUAUCAUGGCAAAUAAAGGCAUGGCAUGAAUCUACUAAUUGCAUAGAUCAAAAGUCCCUUACUGACCAUGAGCCAAAAAGGGUCAGAAAAUAUGAUGGCACCCAUGUAAACAUAGCAAGUUAUAUUACACAUUCAAACAUGGCAGGAACAACGAUAAGUAGGCAUGUAGAUGAGCUUGUACCACUCACCACAGAGCAAUACAUGGCAUGGCAAGGCAACCAACAGUAAGAAGACAUGUUUGUGAAGCUAAGCAUGGCAAUAGCAAGUUCAUAGGGUACAUGAAUCACUAGCAACAAUCAUGGCAACAACUGAACUUAAUGUUAACAGGCUGACAGCAACAAUAUUUAGCAACUUUGGAGCAAUAUUACAACAAUCUACAGCAAGCUAUAAAUGCAACCAGGGGCAUGGGUGGACAGAGCAUGACAUGUAUAACAAAACACCCUUAAUGGACAUCUCCUGAUUAUGCAUAGAAUGAUUUGUAGAAGCAGGUUUACAUAGCAUCACGAAAUAACAGAUUCAGCCUAGCAAAACAGUACAGCAAGUACACUACUUAACAAGCUCGAUUCACUCACCACAAGUCAUUGCAUGACAAGAUAAGCAUAGCAUCAUCAAGAAGGCAUGUUUAUGAAACAAACCAAGGCAAGAACAAGUUCAUAGCAUGUAAGGAUCAACUACAACAACCUUGGCAAAAUUGAAUAACAUGUAAACAAUCUGCCAGGAAACAUUUUGUAGCAAAGGUAGAGCACGAAACUGAUAUGCUAGACUACCCCAUAAUUGCAAACAGAGGCAUAAAUGGACAGAGAACAACCAUAUAUUCAAAACACCCUUAGUGAAGUAUCUCAAAAUAUGCAUGGAUCUCUCUGUAGCAUCAAGUUUACAUGGCAUCAAAAUAACAACAGAACAGGGACUAAAAUCAGCAACAUUACGAAGCCUAGUUUUCGUGCUUGUGCUAGUCACCACAUUGAUCACAAAAAUACAUGGUAAGCACCUCCGUGAAGAAGACAUGCCAUAGAUCAAAACACAUGUAGACAUCAACCUCAUAGGAUGCACACAUCAAUCAUGGCAAAAAUGACAAAAGAGCAAGUUCUGUUAACAGACAACAGACAACAUCAUGAAGCACGCUUGCAACGAUGAUUCAGGCAUCAAGAUGAGCUCAAAUGAACAUGAUGCAAUGGAAUAAAAUGAAGAACUCGUUGAGGCAAACAAUUUGACAUAUUACACGCACGAAACUGAGCUACGGGUGCAGAGAUACAGUGCGAUGAACAUGGCAUGAUUAUGUCAGGGAUUCGGGGACUUAGUGAAAUCGAGGUCAACCUGCGGAUCUGCACGGUUUGCGAGGUACGCCGGAGUUGCCGGAGAACACGCCGGAGUUGCCGGGGACGAUGCUGGGGAGGCGGAUCCGGGGCUAUACCAAGGCCACUUGGCAAGCCUCGGGUCAUUCCGAGAAAGUUUAACACCCGCCCACAACAGGAGACAAAAAGGGGAACGCCGGAGGGCAUAGAAGUGUCGGAUCGCAAAACGGACAACGGGGAAAAUGCUCGGAUGCAUGAGACGAACACGUAUGCAAAAUGAAAUGCACAUGAUGACAUGAUAAAAUGCAGCACGCAAGCAAAUGACAUGGCAAUGACGACAAAUAACUGGCAGACAGCUGGCGCAUUGAAUUCGGGGCGUUACGACACUCCUCCACUAUCAAGAGAUCUCUUCCCGAGAUCUUAGGACCGAGACGGAAGAGAAAAAGGAAGAGGGAAACAAGAACUCAAGAGAAGAAGCAAAGAAUCGAGAGCACUUGAGAAGAAGAGAGGAACAACGAGAAUGACGAGAAUGGAAAGCUCACGGAAUCAGAUAGAUUAUGAAAGCACUCCGGUUAGAAUGAGAUAAGAAACGAAUAAGACUGAAAGGAUUUAGGCAAACUCCGAUUGAACAUGGAAAGAAUAGAACACGAGCUUGAGAGGAUGGAAUGAUACUUGAUGAAGGCAUGACACAAAACCUCCGGAAAGAAUUGAAAGAGUUGAAUGAAAAGAACGGAGAAGAAAAUGACAACUUGUGCCAUGAAUGAAAUAGAAAGCAACCUUAGAAGAAAAGAUUGAAUGGAGUUGUUGAGAAAAUUCAACAACGAAAAGAAUAAGCUUGUCGUGGACUUAUGGAUAACAUCUCAGAAAUUAUGAGGUGAUAACCAGCCGCAAACGAAAAUGAUUGGAUAACUUAGAAGAACGAAGAAAUGCAAAACUCCACUUCAAAAGUAUACAGAGGAUUAAUUGCACUUCGAGACGCAAGAAGAAAAGAUACUUGAACUCCACCCACAAAAUCUUGAUGAACUCUUGAAGAAAAGAUUAAAUCAUGAAGAACCACCAUGAAGAACUCUGGUAACAAAAGGAUGAUGAGAUAGAAGAAGGAAAAUAAUAAGAUGAGCAUUGCGAUGAUUUAGAUAGAGGUUCCGACGUAAUGGCUGAGGAAAAUUUGAACUCCGGAAAAGAAAAGGUGAACAACUUGGAAUCGAGAAAUUAUUCAACAUGAAUAAUCUCCGAAGAAAGGGGUUAUUUACUUGAACGCAAUAAGAAUAAGAUUUAUUGUAUGCUUAUACUUCAUCAAAUUAAAUUGAUGACAAGCAAUGGAUUUUGCAUACUACUUAUUCUUCUUGAAAAGGAUUGAGAAGUGACAAAUCACAAACUUGAGAAGCUCUUCAUGAACCACCGUUAGGAUUGAAAGAACGAAUGGAUUGAUACGAUAACAAAGGAAAAGAAUCUGAAUGAACCGCCGUAAGAAUUAGAAAAUGAUUGAUGAAAGAGAAUGAAUCACCGGGAAGAAUUAGAAGAACCAAUAUGCUCGAGGGGAUUUAGAUGCAAAAGGACAAGGAGAUCAUGAGCUGACUAAAAAACACUUGAACGGAGCACCGGGAUAAUUGGAUAACGGUAGCUGAAACAUGAGGACGAAGAAUUCUUCUAGAACGAUGGCCUCCGGUGAAAAGAAACAUAAAUCAACUCCUGACAAACUCCGAAUGGUUAAGAAAAGAAUAUCUGACAAAUGGAAUAAUUCGAGAGAAUAACAUGAAGCUAGAACCACGAAACUUCGAGAGAACGGACAAGGUUUAGAGGAAAACUCUUCUUCGGUAUUCAAAGCUGAGAAAGACGACGAGAAACACCACCGAAAUUACUGAGAUACUCCGGGAGAAUGGAAAGCAAAGAGGUUGAGCCAACAAUGAAAAGAAUUUGAAAAUGAUCUUGGAGAAGGCAUGUGACUGAUGGAAUCCAUUCUUACGUCAACUCUGAAAAGGAUUUGAUAUAACUCCGGGGGAAUUAGAAGAGUCAGGUAAGAUCCUGGGAGAAGACCUGUGGAUUAGGGCCCACUAACGAGAAAACACCGUUGAAAAGGAUUGUUGAAAAGAUAGAUGAUGCACCCGAACAAUUGAAAUAUUUGAAUGAGGUGACAACCUCGAAUAAAUUCGAACACAGACGAAUCUCCUGAGAUGACUUGAAUACUCCGGAAGGAUAAACUGGCGAGAGGAGAACGAGCAAGGAAAAACACUUGAGCCGAGGAAAAGAAUAUAAUCACUACUGAAAAACUUGAAUUGAAUCCACCGGAAAAAGAAAGGGAUGAAGAAUGACGAACGAGACGAGAAUUCACCAGUUGAAACAAUUGACGAAAGACUGAAGGGGCUCCACACGAAUGAAAAUUAAUGGCCGAGAGAGAGUCAAACUCCGGGAAGAAAAGGGUGGGAGGGCGGAAAAACAAAAUCAUCUUGGAAGGGGAAAUCGACGAAUAUCUUGAAGAGAAAACACCGGUUGAAAUCAUUGAGGAGAGAGAGCAAAAACUUCGCACGAGUAGGAUGGAUACUCGAUUAUGGACUCCGGUUCCGAGAAGAAGAAGGGUGGGCGGGUGGGAAAGAAAACAACUGAAGAUUGAACUCAAAGAUGAAGAGGCUCGAGUCAACUUGACGAGAAAUGCACCGGAUAAAAAGAGCUGAAGAACAACGAUCGAAAAACCAAUUGCGUGAUCCUAAAGAAAAUUUGAAGGGGAACAGAAGUAAUUCCAAACACCUACGUCAAGAUUCCUCACCAGAGCGACGAAGGGGCUGAGGAGUAAAAAUAAUUCCUACUCUCCGAUAUAACUAGACUCCGAAAAUAGUUUUUCUUCUAGACUCAACAACGGCCAAACUACACGAUCAAUCCAGGGGGGCUCCUAAGGUCGGUCGAGGCUCUGAUACCAACUUGUCACGCCCAAUAUGCGACCCUAUCCAAAAGGAACUCGAAGGUCCCACCAAGGAUAGACCCGCAUAUUGAAACGCUUUUGCAAGGUGGAUAUCAUUACAUCAACAUUACAUAAUAGAUGGGGAUACAUACAUAAGGCAUACAAUGCCACACGAAUACAUCAUCACAAUACAUAAGAGCAUCAUCCGACUAUGGAUGAAACACAAACAGAAGCUCAAACGACAUCCACCCUGCUAGCCCAGGCUGCCGACCUGGAACCUAUCCCCUGAUCAAAGAAGAAGCAGAAGAAGAACCCAACGCAUGAUCAUUGAUUAACCUGUACCUGCAACUAUUGUUGUAGUAAUCUGUGAGCCACGAGGACUCAACAAUCCCAUUACCAUGGGUAUCAAGACUAGCAAAGCUUAAUGGGAAAGGAAGGGGUAAAGUGGUGAGGUUGCAGCAGCGACUAAGCAUAUAUGGUGGCUAACAUACGCAAAUAAGAGCGAGAAGAGAGCAAGCGGAACGGUCGUGAAGCUAGCAAUGAUCAAGAAGUGAUCCUGAACUCCUACUUACGUCAAACAUAACCCAAAACCGUGUUCACUUCCCGGACUCCGCCGAAAAGAGACCAUCACGGCUACACACACGGUUGAUGCGUUUUAAUUCGGAUCUGGUGUCAAGUUAUCUACAACCGGACAUUAACAAAUUCCCAUCUGCCUAUAACCGUAGGCAUGGCUUUCGAAAGAUUAUACCCUGUAGGGGUGUCCCAACUUAGCCCAUGAUAAGCUCUCGCAAUCAACGAAGGAUAUACCUUCUCCCAGGAAGACCCGAUCAGACUUGGAAUCCUGUUUUACAAGACAUUUCGACAAUGGUAAAACAAGACCAGCAAGACCUCCCAAUGCGCCGACAAUCCCGAUAGGAGCUGCACAUAUCUCGUUCUCAGGGCAACACCGGAUAACCUAAGCGUACAGGUACCGAUGUAACCCAAGUUGCCAAGGGAUGGUCCCGCACGGUGCUCUAGUUUGGACCAACACUUAGACAAGCAUUGGCCCGGGGGGGCUGUAAUAAAGAUAACCCUUGUGUUAAUUACUCCCAAGGGAACUAUAGGUGGUGGUGAGGCAAAUGGUAAAACCAAUGUUGGGCCUUGCUGGAGGAGCUUUAUUCAAGGCGAACUGUCAAGGGGGUCCCAUAAAUCACCCAACCGCGUAAGGAACGCAAAAUCCGGGAACAUAACACCGGUAUGACGAAAACUAGGGCGGCAAGAGUGGAACAAAACACCAGGCAUAAGGCCGAGUCUUCCACCCUUUACCAAGUAUAUAGAUGCAUUAAUUAAAUAAGAGAUAUUGUGAUAUCCCAACAUAAUCCUGUUCACCAUGGAGAAAUCUUCAACUUCACCUGCAACUAGCAACGCUAUAAGAGGGGCUUAGCAAGGCGGUAACAUAGCCCAGCAAUGGUUUGCUAGGAAGGGUGUCAAAGGUUAGAGGUUCAUGGCAAUUUGGGAGGCAUGAUGAGCAAAAGAUAGGUAACGCAGCAAAGCAAUAGAACGGAGCAACUAGCAUAGCAAUGAUAGUAGUGAGAUCCAGGGUAGCGGUCAUCUUGCCUGAAAUCCCGCAAGGAAGAAGAACAGGUCUAUGAAGAAGACGAACGGAUGAAGCCGAACCAAGCGUAGACGAAUGAGUCCUCACGAUCGCAACAAAACAGGAACUAUCGAGAAGACGCACACAACAAGGUAAACACACCACACAUAGACAAGACAUGAUGCACAACCAAGCAUGAUGCAUGUCAAGACUACUCAUGGCAAGAGAUGAUGCAAACAAGAGCAGCACAUCAAAGCAAGUUUAAAUGAUGCCGGGAACAACAUAUAACAAUUCCGGUAAGUCCUCAUAUGCAAGUUACGAAAUUGGUCCAGAUCUGAAUAAACCUUAUGUUCAAGUUGUUAAACAGCAAGUUAAUAUGCACCAAGAUGAUCUACACGAGAUUCUAGUCAAGUUACAUAUAAAGUUCAUUUAAUUCAGAGAUACGGCCUAAAAGAUAUGAGCAAAACAAGUUAAACAUGGCAUUGGUGCAAAAUGCACCCAAACAUCAAGCAAACACCUCAAAACAUGGAUGCAACAUGAUAAUAUGAAGCUACAUGCAAAAUCAAGCAAGUUUCAUAUAGAGCACACUCAAAACGGAGCAACGGUUCAACACACACACACUAUACAAGUUAUAGCAACAAUCUGUCCAAAACAACAACUAGGCAUAUUGCAAGCACCAAAACAAUAUGCUACAGCACCACAAUAUGAAAACAAAAGGCAUGGGCAUGAUGUACAGGUAAAGCAUAACAAAACAUGAACACUGAGCUAACUCCAGAAAUCACUAGAACAUGCUCAAACACACAUGGCAAGAUUGCAAAUAAUAACAGUUCAGACUUCGCAGAAAAUAACAUCAGUUUGCAAUGUUUAGAGCUAUCAAACAACAUGUUACAGGAACUUAUCAUGGCAAACAAAGGCAUGGCAUGAAUCUACUAAUUGCAUAGAUCAAAAGUCCCUUACUGACCAUGAGCCAAAAAGGGUCAGAAAAUAUGAUGGCACCCAUGUAAACAUAGCAAGUUAUAUUACAGAUUCAAACAUGGCAGGAACAGCGAUAAGUAGGCAUGUAGAUGAGCUUGUAUCACUCACCACAGAGCAAUACAGGGCAUGGUAAGGCAACCAACAGUAAGAAGACAUAUUUGUGAAGCUAAGCAUGGCAAUAGCAAGUUCAUAGGGUACAUGAAUCACUAGCAACAAUCAUGGCAAAAACUGAACUUAAUGUUAACAGGCUGACAGCAACAUAAUUUAGCAACUUUGGAGCAAUAUUACAACAAUCUACAGCAAGCUAUAAAUGCAACCGGAGGCAUGGGUGGAUAGAGCAUGACAUGUAUAACAAAACACCCUUAAUGGACAUCUCCAGAUUAUGCAUAGAAUGAUUUGUAGAAGUAGGUUUACAUAGCAUCACGAAAUAACAGAUUUAGCCUAGCAAAACAGUAAAGCAAGUAAACUACUUAACAAGCUCGAUUCACUCACCACAACUCAUUGCAUGACAAGCUAAGCAUUGCAUCAGCAAGAAGGCAUGUUUAUGAAACAAACCAAGGCAAGAACAAGUUCAUAGUAUGCAAGGAUCAACUACAACAACCUUGGCAAAAUUGAAUAACAUGUAAACAAUCUGCCAGGAAACAUUUUGUAGCAAAAGUAGAGCACGAAAAUGAUAUGCUAGACUACCCCAUAAUUGCAAACAGAGGCAUGAAUGGAUAGAGAACAACCAUAUGUUCAAAACACCCUUAGUGAAGUAUCUCAAAAUAUGCAUGGAUCUCUCUGUAGCAUCAAGUUUACAUGGCAUCAAAAUAAUAGCAGAACAGGGACUAAAAUCAGCAACAUUACGAAGCCUAGUUUGCAUGCUUGUGCUAGUCACCACAUUGAUCACAAAAAUACAUGGUAAGCACCUCUGUAAAGAAGAGAUGGCAUAGAUCAAAACACAUGUAGACAUCAACCUCAUAGGAUGCACACAUCAAUCAUGGCAAAAAUGACAAAAGAGCAAGUUCUGUUAACAGACAGCAGACAACAUCAUGAAGCACUCUUGCAACGAUGAUUCAGGCAUCAAGAUGAGCUCAAAUGAACAUGAUGCAAUGGAAUGAAAUGAAGUACUCAUUGAGACGAACAAUUUGACAUAUUACACGCACGAAACUGAGCUACAGGUGCAGAGAUACAGUGCAAUGAACAUGGCAUGAUUAUGUCAGGGAUUCGGGGACGGUGAAAUCGAGGUCAACCUGCGGAUCUGCACGGUUUGCGAGGUACGCCGGAGUUGCCGGAGAACACGUCGGAGUUGCCGGGGACGAUGCUGGGGAGGAGGAUCCAGGGCUAUACCAAGGCCACUUGGCAAGCCUCGGGUCAUUCCGAGAAAGUUUAACACCCGCUCACAACAGGAGACAAAAAAGGGAACGCCGGAGGGCAUAGAAGUGCCGGAUCGCAAAACGGACAACCGGGAAAAUGCUUGAAUGCAUGAGACGAACACGUAUGCAAAAUGAAAUGCACAUGAUGACAUGAUAAAAUGCAACAUGCAAGCAAAUGACAUGGCAACGACGGCAAAUAACUGGCAGACACCCGGCGCAUCGAAUCCGGGGCGUUACAGAGCCCCCCCUGAAAAUCGACUGACCCAAAAGUCGAUUCAGUCGACUGAAGUGUAGCUAAAUCGGAGCAGAGCAGCAACACGAGCGAGGGGGAGAGCAGCAGCAACAGCGCGAGCGAGCGAGCGAGAGCCGGAGCCGCAGCAGCUGGGCAAGCGAGCAAUCGAGGAGAGCCGGAGCAGCAGCAGUAGAUCCUGGCUCAUAUGGCUGCCAUCGCCGAAGGGGUCUCGCAUUGGGGGAGAGCCGUCGUGGAGAUGUCGCCCGCAGCGCGGGCUUCAAGGUAGCCACUCCGUGGGGGUGCGGGAUGGAGCACUGUCAGCGUGAGGAGGUCGAGUUAAGGAGAAGGUGCGAUGCGAUGAGUGUACAACCUCUUUGGUGGCACCGAGUAGGCCUCGGCUUUGUCCGACGAGUCGGUGAGGAUGUUGCGGUUCUGGUGGAGUAGGUUAAGGCGGCGCUAUGGGGAUGGAGCAGCCGCGAUAGACGAGGCGAUCAUCGGAGCAGCUCCUUGGAGGUGGAGGACGGGGCGGCUGAACUGGCGGGACGACGAGAUGGACGACGGAUCCUCAUACGGGUAGGUGGACGAGGGACGUCGAGCUGUUGUGGUGGACGACAUCGUCGGGGAAGAGGCUCCGGCUGGGCAGUGGUGAGGUGGCGGACGGAGAAGGGUGGGGUUUUGCGGCUGGAGCAGAGAGAUUAUAGCGGCCUGGGAUUUCAAAUGGCGAAAAGGAGGCGAUAGGAGGGGGUGAACCAUGACUUAGGGACGCGAUUGUCCAAAAUGUAGGGUGUGUUACAAAAGUACCCCCCACCGAUUUGAAAUAGCGGCCCUUUCGGCUCGGGGUUAGAAGGGGGAUUUCGUGUGUUAGGAUUUGGCAGCUGGAGGGAGUUUUCGCGUGCGUUGUAAUUUCGGGAUAGUAAGGCGCGGGUUGUGAAGGCGCCAGUUUUGGGAGCAUGAUAUCUGAAUUUUCGGGAUAUAACAAGGCGCGGGUUGAAUUUUAUGGACAUGCCUAACGUGUAAUAUUGUACUCGUGCGUACCAAAUCAAUUCGCACUUCCCUCAACCAAAAAGAAAAUGAAAAAAAUAAAACUAUUCACACCACACAAAGAGAGAGUCUUGCUCCGUUUUACUAUACAAAUGCUAUUCAAAGCUAUUCCCUCCUUCCAUCUAAAUACGGCCUAAUGCGUUUUUCGAUGCUAACUUUGACCAAAUAUUAGAGCAAUAAUAUAUGACAUGCAACUUACACAAAGCACACCGUUAAAUUCAUGUGUGAAAGGAGCUUUCAAUGAUAUAAUUUUCACAUUGUGCAUGUCAUGUACUAUUAAUCUUGUCAAUAGUCAAAGGCGGUCUUAAAAAACGCAUUAUGCCCUAUAUAGAUGGAAGGAGGGAGUAUGAAUCCAUGUUAUGUCCAAUUAAACUUUUUCGCUAGCUGUAUAAUGCAUGUAACCUACUCAUACCAACAUUUUAGUGCAUUCCAAAUGUCUAUACUUCCGCUACAAUUCAAAUUGAAUUUGAAUUUGUUUAUGUAUUUCAAUAAGAAUCUACAAUCAUGAUUGUUGCCAACUUCGACAAUCAUUCGUGUAUUACCUUAAUAACACACCACAUGAUUACUAUAGAGAUAGAUAUGAACUAUGUGUACUACAUGAACUCGAAUUCUAUUUUUUGAAUACACUGGAUGUUGAUUCCAAAUAAUAGUACAUUUGACGUACUAACUAUAUAUUCAUAAUCUAAACCAUGUUCCAUACGUACACCGUGUUUAUCACACAAAGUAUAGUGCCCCGCCCCCUACAUUAUGACAAGUAUUUAGACCUGAGCUGCAAAAGCCACACAUUAGCCCAAAUUAUUAUCAAUGUUUUACAUUAUGAUAUCUUCUUCAAGUAUCCGUAUCCACUUUUUUAUAAUGAAGUAUGAUCUUUGUUCAUGUUUUACACCUUCACGAUCCUCUUCAAUUUGUAGCUAGGUAGCACUAACUUUCUAUCGUGCAUGCACACGCCCGCCCCCUCUUACCCACCCUUAGUGUCCCCUCCAUCACGCACGUUCGUUAUUUCUCUUUAGGUCGUCCACCUGCGAUGUGUGUAGGCCCCUGACUCCUUCUUUCCGGCACACACCGGUCGGUAUACCUCUCUAGCCAAGUGUGCCUACAACAAACACAUAUAUGCUUCCCCUCUUCUCUUCUCACCGUCCAUGCCCCCCUAUGUCCAAUACGGUUCCACGCAGGUGCACACUCCCGCCCCUCUUUUCAUUGACAGACAAACAUGUGCAUAGACAGACAAACAUCCCUCGCCCUCUCUUAUUGAUAUUGCACUCGUACCCUCCAUUUGUCUAGCAGGCCUCUCCCAUCAUUUGUGAGACGCCACUCCAAACCCUCCAAUGCUCUACCUUUGUCUUUCUCCCAACCUUAUUCCUCUGCUACACAUAUCCAUGGAUGCCGAUCGAUAUCCCUCAAUACAUAGCUAUCUCUCUCUCCUUCCCCACACAUAUACUAGUCGAUCGGUCUAUGCCUCCUCCCCCCCCCCACACACCGAUAGUCGAACGUUGUAGGUAGGUAUCCAUGCCACGGAGAAAAACUGCACCUCUGCCCUCUCAAAUUCCAGUAGGCCAACUGCCCUGUAUCUUUGACGUGGGCAAACACAAAUUUGAUGGCACUCUUUAUCGAUCGCGCAGCCACACACUUCAUCCCUGUUUUCAGUUCUAUCAAUAUCUCGCGUCCAUGACUCCGUUUCACACACAUUGCAUAAGUUACGUUUUUCUGUUUGAGAUAUCAUCAACACAUUGCCUCUGUUUCACACAAACCAUCUCUCUCACACCCACCCACAUACGCAUCUGCACCUAAAGAAGAGGUGCAGGCAGGACACACGUACUCACGUCUCGUUCCCGACCACACCCGCGCGGGUACACGGUGGAGUUCGUUUCUGUAUGAAAAGGCAGCCCAUGUGAUAAUUUGACGCAUGUAGCGGUUGUUUACUCGAAGGAGGGUCGGGUACCACGCCUAGACGGAAUAAAGUUUGAGUUGACGCAUUAGUAUUAAAUAAAGUUAUAUAUUUCUCAAUGGCACGCACUACAAAAAAAGACACAUCCGUGAUAUUUUGGGCCGAACAAAUUUUUUUCGUCAUACUUAUGACACUUCUAUGAUGAUAAUUGUGACAAAACCCGGUAUCAUCAUAGAUGUGGUGGGAUCCUACUUCUAUGACAAAAAAUCAUGACAGAAAAUGGGCUUUUCAUCCUGGGCAGGCCAGAGACGCAGCUGCAUGACAUUCUUUGGGCCGUCCAUGAUGGAAAAAACCAUGGUAGAAGCGAGGGCGAGGAAAAUUUCGUGGGGUUCCCAGUUACGGUGGGUGGUCGGGGACUGAGCGAUGUGUGUUUCUCUCAUACACAUACGUGCGUGUGUGCGAGGCAUUAGCUCUAACUGAACCCGAGCGAGGCAUUGGCCUCUAACUGAACCCGAGCGAUUGCACUGCAGGCUAUGCGUUACUGAACCCGAGCGAUCGAUCGAUGGCUGUUAACUGAACCCGAUCGAGCGAUUCCUUCGCCACUGCUGCUAACUGAAGCCGAUCGAUGCUGUCUCUGGGAUGAACAGUGAGUGUUGUGGGGUGGGUGGGGGUGGAUGAACAGUGAGCGGUGGCGUUGCCUCUGGAUGAACAGGACCUCGAUCGAUCGAGCCGGUUGGGGCUGGAUGAACAGGACCUCGUGGUGUAGAGGGCUGGAUGAACAGUAGACGGUGGAGGGGUGCCCGUGGAGGGGUGGUUGAACAGUAGCCGGUGGAGUAGCGUGCGGUGGAGACUGGAUGAACAUGAGCCCGUGGAGGUUGGAGGAGGUCGACGGUAGCCCGUGGAGGCUGGAGGAGGUCGACGGUGGAGAUGAACAGUAUCCCGUGGAGUCUCAUUUUGUGGUACGCCACACCCCUCCCAAUGAACAGGACCACCGUUUCGACAGUAGCGCUCCAACACGAGUCCGUUUCGUCCAUUUUGUGGUACGCCACACCCCUUCCGAUCAACAGGACCCCCGUUUUGACCGUAGGAGUUCCGUUUCCUCCGUUUUGCGGUACGCCAGACCCCUCCCGGUGAAUAGGAUCCCGUUUCGAACAUGGCCGGUCGAACACAAGGCCGUUUCCUCCGUUCUGCGGUACGCCAGGCCUCGUUUCCAUCGCCUGUUCCGUCCAAGCCCUCCCAAUGAACACGACGACGCAUUCCGUUCCAACCCAGCCGGUUGGCUCCCCAUGAACAUGACGACUAUGUUGUUUCUUUGUUCCGACCCAACCAUGUACACAAGCACUGGCCGUACAUAUGCGUGAAUAGGCGUUUGAGACCGCGCCCGUAUGUACACAUACGUGGCCAUAUUUUCUUUCUUGCACACUGGUCGAUGUACGUACGUGUACAUGCUACGUGUGUGCCUCUACUACGACACGUGCGCGCCUCUACAUCCACCAGUAUGUACGUACACGUUCGCGACCAGAAUGACAAUGCUACGUACGCUUCGACCAGGUGGGUCCCGACUGUCAGGCACUUCCUUGCGUGCGAAGAUGUAGCUGGUGGGUCCCAGUAGUCACGGGGGCGAAUCGUUUUUUUUUGCCUGGACGCACUUCCUUGUGUGCGAAGGUGUAGCUGGUGGGUCCCAACAGUUAGGGGGGCGAAUCAUUUUUUUUCGGAUGCACUUCCUUGUGUGCGAAAGAUGUAGCUGGUGGGUCCCAGCAGUCAGGGGGGCAAAUCGUUUUUCCCAGACGCACUUCCUUGUGUGCGAAGAUGUAGCUGGUGGGUCCCAGCAGUUAGGGGGCGAAUCAUUUUUUUUCGCAAAAUACGGUGGCCCGUCUGGUGGGUCCCCGCUGUCAGGUGGAGGAAUAAUUAUUUUGCGCGUAAUAAGGAGGCACUUCCUUGCGGCUAUCGGGGACCCAGCUGUUAGCCUCUCCACGUACAGUACUCUUCCGAUGGAAGUCGGUCGUUGACCACAUUGACCACGCCGCGCCGAGAGCACCACAGCGGUGGACGACGGCGAGGCCUAGGAAGGGGACAACGUGGAGCCGGGGAAAACGCGGCAGUGGAUGCCCACGCGUAGAGGAGUAUGAGGGUUCACUCGUUCGGCUGUGGUGUGAGGCUGUCGUCGCAGCAGAAUAACAGGGGGUGUGGGUGAGUGGAGGGAUGGCCUGGCCAGCGGCAGGAGUAGUAGGGGGCGGUGAGGUCUCCACGGCAUCACAGCCAGCCAUGAGAGGUAGGAGCAGGCGACACGAUCGGCGCUGCUUUGGGCGGCUGGAGCAAGAGACCAGUGGUUGAAGAAGCACGAUGGUCGUUGGAUGGACAUCGUACGGUCACUGUAGCUAGAAUCAUUCAUAUUGACAAAGUUGACAAAGCCCUCCGUCCCCGUCAACUUAGUGGGCCCACAAGUCAGCCUCCCACCAAGAUGGGUCUCAGCUAGCAGGGGGAGUAUUCAUUUUUUUCUGCUUAAUAAGGAGGCACUUCCGGUGGGUCCGAGCUGACAGCGGGGGGAAUGUUUUUUUGUGAAAUACGGUGGCCCGUCAGGUGGGUCCCAGUAGUCAGGGGGAAACGUGUUUUUCGCAAAAUAUGGUGGCCCGUCCAGUGGGUCCCUGUUGUCAGGUGGUGGAAUCAUUAUUUUCCGCGUAAUAAGGAGGCACUUCCUUGCUGCGGCCGUGUACCCAGCUGUCAGCCUCUCCACGUACAAUAUACUUCCGAUGGAAGUCGUUCCUUGACCACGUUGACCACGCCGUGUUCCGUUGCAUGCAUUGCAUCCAUGGGCGUGGUGCAUCCCCACUGUCAGCCUCUCACGUACAGUCAUCUUCCGAUGACUCUCGGUUGUAGACCACGUUGACCACACCAUGUCGAGCACACUAAGGCCGGUGGACGACGGUGAGGCUCCCGACUGGAACAACCCGAAGAUGGGGAAGACGGGGCAGUGGAGUCGCAGAUGGAGAGGAGUGGGAAAUUUGACUGGUACAGGUGCGCAGCAGCACAGCCGCGGUGUCGCCCACGGGAGACAGGAGCAAGAACAGAGGUUGAAGAAGGAGCACAGCUGUUGGAUUAACAUCCAACGGUCCGGCUGCUAGAAUCAUUUGUUGAUUAAGUUGACAAAGUCGUGCGUACACGUCUGCUUAGUAGGCCCACAAGUCAGCCACCAAAUCUGACGGGUCCCAGCUGUCAACGGGAUGAAUAAUUGUUUUCACAAAACAAGGAGGCACUUCCUUCCGUGCGAAGAUACAGCCGGUGGGUUCCAGCUGACAGGUGGAGGAAACAUUUUUUUCAGCUUAAUAAGGAGGAACUUUUCUUGCGUGCGACCAUGGACCUCGUGGGUCCCAGCCGUCAGGCUCUCCAAGUAUAGUCCUCUUCUGAUGACUCUCGUUUGUUGACCAUGCCGCACCGAACGCAGCGACGCGGUGGAUGACGGCGAGGCCCUGGACGGGACCGACUCAGAGAUGGGAAGACACGGCAGUGGAGUCACAGAUUGAGAGGAGGAGAAGGGUUAUAAGUGGUUCUGUUGCGACGUGGGGCUGCAGUCUGUGGAGAAUAAGAGGAGGUGUCGAGGGGUGGAGGGAUAGCCUGGUCGGCGGUGGGGUAGCGCUUUGCUGUGAUGCGUCCUAAGCAGAGCCGCUAGCCGCAGGAGGCUAGACCAGGCGGUCCCGGCGAUGCUGGAGGAAGAAGACGAGAGAUUGAAGGUGCAUGCCGGCCGUUGGAUAUAAAUCCAAUGGUUGUGGAUGUCACAAUCAUUUGUUGACCAAGUUGACAACGCCAUGUGUAGGCUUCGACCUAUUGGCCCACAUGUGAGCCUACAAAAAUGUGGCAUAUAUUUAACCAAUGUUUUCUAGAAUGUAGAGUCCAUUUGCUGGGCUGGGUGAACAAAUAAUUUCGCGUCAAUCAAACCCAUUUAUAUUUUCUAAGAAAUCCCAGCUCAUUUGCACUUCCUUGAAAUAAACAAAUUAGUUGCUCUCGUUAUAUAUAUAAUGUUAUGUUAGAAGGAGCAAUUAAUAUCAAAGAAUAAACCGGAGAGGCACAUUUUAUAUAUAUAUAAUUAACAAAUUAGCGAGUUAUUGCUCAAAAUAAAAAUGAGCGCAUUAUUAUUCAAUUGGUCCUUAAAAUCUUCGCAAGCUUUUGUACGCAAUCACUAGGAUUUUCCUUGCCUGUGAGACAAAAACAACCAGGAUUUUCCUUGCCAACUUCCGUUAAACAUUUACUCUUAUAAUUUAAUAACACGUGGGAUGUUUUUAUAAUGUAUAUAUAAGUCUCUAUAAAAUAUACGAUAAUAGUAAUAAUAUAAAUAUAUAUAAUGUGGUUAGAAGGGAAAACAUAAAUUGGGCACAUGAUUAUAAAUAGAUAAAUAGAACAGAGACCUGUGUUUUAUUAAAAAAUACAUUGGGCUGCCGAUUUAAGAAAAAGCCCAUAGGAUGGUAUGGACCACAAAAAAUAAGUUGAAACCACUGUCUCCGUAUGUCGUGGGCUACAGAUGUUAAAAUACAAAACCUAGGCCUAGCUGAUACUUGUUAGCCCUCUGGAAAAAAUGAUACCAGAUCCCCGAGCGAACUGGAUUAAAGAGGGGGCCGGCAGCACGACUGAAGAAGCACAUCAGGAGCGAUUUUUUUCUUCAGUGGAUGGCUCUUGAUAGUGUUUUUUUACUUGCCUCUGCACCAUACAACUUGUAUUUUUAGCCUCCCAGUCCGUUGUGGUGGACCAGCGGCCCAUUUGCUGGGCGGCCCAACCUACAGAAACUAGCACUCGAUUUUUCAUCAAGCCCCAAAAACAACGCAGUACUAUGUUUGUUUUGAGGCCGAAAACAUUAUGGCAGGGGUUGAGCGGGGGAGAGGGGAAGACAGAGUAAUAAAAAGAUUAAAAAGAGCUGAUGCGUCGUUGCUACCCAAACAAAGCAGGUGCAAUUCUUCUCGGGAAGAAGGUGUGCCGUUGACACCCACACGUCACAUACCCCACAGUAGGCAUACUAACAAGUUCACACACAAAUACAACAGAAAAGGUAAACAUUCGUAUCAAACUCAGGUUCACAGGACACGUUCAUAUUCAUAGCCAACAUUCACUAUCAACAACUCAAAAGAUUCAUAUAUACACAAGUUCAGCAUAUCUAUGCAUCGAAAUGAUUGAUAGACCACACGACAAUAUUCAUACAUAAUUCACAAAAAGAUUCAGAUAUACACAUGUUCAGUAUGUUUAUGCGUCCAAAUGAUUGAGAUCACAGCCAAUAUGAUCCAUGGACGAACUUUAGUUACCUAGGGUAUAGACUGGUAAAUGGUGUUCAGUCGGAGGUACUUCUUGCUAAAAUUAGUUCUUGUACGAGUAAACUUUUGAGUACAUAAGAGGCAGCACAAACAAUCUGAACUUUCCUUGUAGGUUUAUCCUCAAAUAGUGGCCUCGUGCCGAGCGAGGUUUGAGCAACUUGGCCACUAUUUUCAUCCAACUAGUUUACUGGCUCAUCUUGGUCAUGUAGCUCACCAAAAUUCUACAUUGCAGACGAGAAAGGAGGCGGUUGAGAAAAAGAACCACCCAAAUUUUUUGUGCAGUUCAACUGAAAUGGAGCAUCCCUGGCGUGCAGACUGAUUAAGUGCCAGAUGAAUAUACGCGUCAACCAACUUGUCUGGAAUCUUUAGACUCCAUGCCAUACAGUUCGCUACCAUAUCUACCGAUAACCAAAAGGCACAAGUUGGGAUCAAAGACUGGACUAUGUUCUUCUGAGCUAUGCGCCAAGCAAUAUUUUUGGCGUUCACUCUGCUAAUACUUGGGAGUUUGACAACUGGUUGACACCGGUUGAUACUCGAAUGAAUAUAGGCACGUCUUGUCAACAUCGAUGCUUGUCUGAGUGAACUUUGGAGUACAUGGCAGCAACGUAAGUAUCUGCCAUCUGAUCAUUUUGUGCAGUUCUACUGAAAUCACCCAAUGCAAUGAUUUGCCUGCAAGUUCAAGCUCCAAGUUACUCCUUUAUAAAAUCGGCAAACAGUAGCACAAUACCAAAUUACCAAUACAUGACAAGCACAAUAAUCAGGAUAAAGACCAGUACCAACCUGUGUGAGGUAGCAUAUCAAUUAUUAUUUCCUUUGACUGGAAGCCGAGAUAAGCGAAGUGACUGACAGCGAAGGAAGAAAGCAAGCCGAGAUUAGCGACUGACAGGAAAGGAUGGAAGUUGUCGAGGCAAUGAAGCACCCAAAGUUUUUGUGCAGUUCUACCAAAAUCGAGCAUCCCUAUUGGCACAUAUAUUGAGAGAGUGAGAUUACUGUAAUAGUGGGACUAGUUGAUGAAACAUACAAUAACAAAUAGAAGCACCCUCAUUAUCUUAAUUGGUAUAGUUAGCAACAUAGUAGUCUUGCUUAAAGAGAGGUAUUAGUUUAUUUAAUCAGUGCCAAUUAGCUCAACACUCAAAGCAUUGCCAUUUAUAAUAGGUUGAAAAACUUUAACGUGCAAAGAUAAAGGAGUUUCUCAUGAUAGUAGCACAAUACAAAUAGAGAUGACAACAGACUAAUAUGGAUGAAGGCCUUAGGCCCGUACCAACCUGAGAAAAAAAUCUUAUUCAUGUAGUCCCAUAAGAGAUGACAAAGCACAUACUGGAAUCACAAAAUAGUAUAUAUUUUUGUGCACUUCAAAUGUAUGGUUGAAAUCACUCUUGUUUACCAGUGCUGAGAUUAUAUCAAAAGAUUAUCAAGAACUUCCAGCAGAGUUAAAGCACUGGCUGGGAUACAGUUCAUUUUAUUGUCCUGUGUAGUUCCACUAAAAUGUAUGAUUGGCACAACAUGAUCCCUGUUUGCACAAGUAGGAACAUGGUCAAACCUUCAUUAGCUUAGUGAGAAAGGAUAGGAAGACAUUAGCAUAUUACUCAAACAGUAGCAUCGAAUUCAUGAUGGACAAUAUGCAAAACAUUGCCUCAUUGAACCAAUGGUAAUAAAUUGACAUGCAAAACAAUAGCACUAUUAUGUCAUGACACUAAUAAUAUUCCCUCCCUGCUCCACCACAUGAUUCACCUCCAUAGACAAACAUACACACGUACAUGAUUUAGCAUAGGGUCCUACUAAAGAUUUGUUUAACUCCGAUAGAAAAAUUAGGCAGCAAUAAAUUAGUGGUACUUAAGUACUCCUAAUUAAUAAGUGAGACAACAGAAGUGGAAGGGCUCCCUGGAGGAUCGUCUCACAUGUAAGGUAGUCGUUGUCAGAGCCCUUGAAUGGCCUCGACUGAGGCCUUUGGCUUCAGCAAGAUCGGCUUGGUACUGUUUAUUCUUCUUCCUCCUCUUCAUGCUCUGUUUCUCUUUCUCCUCAUCAGUUGGUGAAACCAAGUACAUGAUUGGCCUUCUAAUUCAAAAUUGGUUUUGUCAGUGAGGGAGUACUAGUAAAAAAUAGCAUUAUUUUCUCAUGGCAGUCGGAAAAUAGAGAUGAACACAUGCAUUAAAUAUCAUUCUUACCUAAAGGAAGGUUAUGGCGCCAAUAUGGAUGAUGAGGAUUGGAACACAGAUCUCCCUUUGUGCAGUUCCACCGAAAUGAACCAACUGUUCCAUUCUGACAUUCCAGUUAAACAGCACAAAAGUCACUUCUUUUAAGAAGAGUUUUGUGCAGUGCACCAAAAGGUCACAACAGCACCCAGGUGAAUUGGAUAUCCCUGUUUGCACAAAAAGGUACAGAGGAAAUAGUCAGAGUCUCAAACAAUUACAGGCAAAAACAUUUGGCUAAACUUGUCAUUGCUUAUAACAGUGGCAUGGCUUCAUUUUUACCAGGGACAUUUGAUUAAGAACAACUAAAUAUUUGGUAUAAGGGCAUGGGAAAGUGGGUGCACCAGCAGUCCAGCACCAUGUACAUAAACAGGGGCAUAAAGUGGUGAUUCAUAGUUUGUUGCCCCGAGAAACAAACAUCCAAGAAACAUAUCUGGGUUGGUCCCAUUUUUAUUCACUCUAGCCACCUACUCCUAUGUGUGGAUAGCCAAUCUAGUCCUGGUCAUACCACUGUGUACAACGUUACCCCUAUAUUUCCCUUUUCGACCAAGAGACCGGUUGGAUGACUAGUCUGUACUACUUUCACCCCCUUUCCUUCCUGUUUGUACCAAGUCCGAUGUACAUACUAAAUUCCGCCACCCCCAUUUUAUUUAUUGUUUGGACCAAGUACUCCCUCCGUCCGGAAUUACUUGUCAUCAAAAUGGCUGUGUCUAGAACUAAAAUACAUCUAGAUACAUCCAUUUCAAUGACAAGUAUUUUCGGACGGAGGGAAUACAAGAUUCAACUCCAUGAAGUAGCUUUACCUCUAACACUAGAAAAAAAAUAGGUGACCAUCCGACCGAGAGGGGCUGAGAGGUAGCAAAUGAUGCACAUGCAGUGACAUAGUGAGUUGGGGAAGUAGAGCUAAGGCGGUUUUGAAUGAAGAUAUACCUGAAGGUCGUCGGGAUGUGGAUAGGUGGGCGGCGGGAGGCCGGAUCCGCCCACAGGCAACGACGAAGGGAUACGAGGACCCCCCACACCGGCACUCGGCCAGAGAUAAUGGUGCGGCCGGCAGUGGGUCUCCUCCCUCGCUGUCGACGAUGGCCUAAAUGUUGCCCCUCCUCCCCUUCACUGGCGGAGGGGGAUACGUCCGGAUCUGUAACCAGCGAUGAGGAUAGAAAGACAGUGUUUUUUGAAGGGAUAAAGACAGUGUUACUACCCCUAUCUUGUUUAGAUCCGGAGAGGAUGAGAGUGUGUGAAUAGAGCAACCCUAGCAAGCAAGCGCGGAGGCUCCGGCCUAUAUAUACAUAGUGGGGUAGUUUUCAUUUUUCACUCCACCAAAACAAUCGUUUAAAAUUGUGUACUACUACAUGCCAGGUCGCGGUUUUUUAUUUGUUGAUUGUUUUUUGAGAUAGCUACCCGCUUGUUCCAAGUGGUGUUACGGUGUGCCAGGUCGCACUUUGUAUCGUUCAAGUCUGGUACUACAAGUCCCUCCAUUAAAUGAACAACCACCCCCUCGUAAAAAUUGUGAACAAGCCCGCGGCUAAAAUUAGCGGAAACGUGGGUUGCCCCAACAUGCAUUAUUAUUUAUAUUUUCUACUCCCUCCAUUCCUAAAUAUAAGUCUUUUUUAUUAGCCACACCUAAGACAAUAAUUUUUUUAUUAGUAGUAAACCCCACAUGUCAUAGACACAAAAAUUGUGGCAAGAUUCCCUUAGGCAAGCCAAAGUGUGUCUAACAAUUUGAGCAACUCAAGUUAGGCAAGUGUGGCAAGUGUGGGAAAAAUAAUGUGGCAACAUAAGACAAAUAUAGUCACAAUCCAAACAGCCCCGUAAUUUUUUGUGACAUGCAUGAAAAUUUGGUUAGUUAAAUUUAUAGUCAAAAUUUGGCAAGGUGCAUCAAAUCUACACAUGCAAGUAUCAAAAGGAAAGUCACGGCAUGCAUGCAUGCGUUGUACUCCCUCCGUUUCCAAAUAUAAAUCUUUUUAGAGAUUGCAACAAGUGACUACAUACGAAGCAGAAUAUGUCUACAUACAUCCGUAUGUUGUAGUCCAUUUGAAUUGUGUAAAAAGACUUAUAUCGAGUGCAGUGCUUUGAAGUGUCGCGUCAACUCGUACAAGACCGAGAAAUUUGAUUAUUACAACACCCUCUCCCUCGCGGACUGAGCUCCGGUGCCUUAACUGCACCUGCCUUUGGCUGCAUGACAGGAGGGCCAACCACCUGUUGGGCCCACCUGUCAUAGGCGCAAAGACAGGAGCAGUAAGUAGAAGCUUUCGCUACACGCUCUCCCUCCCGCACGAGGUGGACGGACAUGCAACAGUGGAUUCGAUACUGUAGAAGUAGGAGUAACAUCAUUGUUCGUCUUCUCGAAGAGGCAAAGAUCCAAGCGCAACCCGAACGUGGUAGUUGCGAACGCUCGUGUGGUGCGGUGCCUUGGAGCUCGCAUAUAUGAGUAGUAGCCAGGCUCUUGCAUGAGGAAAAAUUUCUAUUUGAGCCCACUAUUGUAGUACUAGUACUUGCUACUCCCUCCGUCUAGGUGAGUAAGUCAUUGAAUUUGUAGCUAAGAUUCCUUCAUUGAAUUGUUUAGCAAUUAAACUCCAUCAUCCAUUGGUUGAUACUCAUUCUGCAUAGGUCCACGCGCUUAGCACUGUUUCCUCCUGGGGUCACCAAUGUUUAUUUUCUAAUUAAUAGCAUUGCAUGCAAUGAACUAGCCACUGGAAGUCAUUAAAAGCAUGCACACCUCUCAAAUCUUAUUGGUUGAUAUGUCAAGAAACAAGAAACAAGGUAGAAGUUAAUGCACCGCGCCUAAGUGUUUUGGGACUAUUUCGCUUUCGUAAAAUGACUUACACACCUAGACGGAGGGAGUAGUAUAGCCCUGUAAACUGGAAAGGAGUAUUUGCCUUUCUAGAGAUUUCAACAAGUGACUAGACUACACCGCGUGCAGUACUCCCUCCCUUCCGGUUUAUGGGGCUCAAAUCUCAAAUCUCAUGAACCACGGCAUUUUGCGAUUGGAGGAAUGUAUCUCGUACUUUACAAAACUACCCUAAUUAAACUCAUGCAUUAAUUACGUAGUUCUCUCGUUUUCCUCUCCGCCUUGGUCGUGGUGCACAAUAUUGAGCACUCCUAUAUGACUAGCCGCUCUAUCUACAUGCAAUACAUUUCAAAGCAUCCGGGCCUGCGUGCCAUCCACCAAAUGACAGCGAGGUGCUACAGUUGAGACUCACCUGUCACCCCGGUGUGGCCAUCAUGACCCGUCAUAUCACAAAACCCACACCUUUACCAGUAGUGGUAAGGUGGCCUCCAAGUUGGACUGGACGAAGCAACGAUCAUUUCACUGGAACGCUCGUUGAAGCCCUUUCUUCCCUUUCUUGAAGAAAACCUCACUCCAGGCUACUCACUUCUGCCAUUUUUCUUCUGUACCGACAAAGGAAAGGUGGGCAAAUCAGUUAUGCUGCUAUAUUUUCAUUCCAAGAAUCUUCUUUUUGCGAAGCACCGACCAAUUCUCACAUCCUGUUCUUUUCCUGUUUUCAUUGCGAUUGUGGUUUCCUUUCGAUUGCUUUUUGUUUGUCAGUUCAUUGAUGGAUCCUGGAGCACUAGGCAAAGAGUUACCGGUGGGCAACCCCCUGGAGAUAGCGAUCUCCAGGAAGCGAGCACUGACCAACGAGUUGACCAUGUUGGAGGGCCAACCCAUGGAGACGAAGAACUCCAAGAAACAAGCAUUGGCCAAAGAGUUGACGACGUUGGCGGACGAACUCCUCAAAGAAAGUUGGAAGAACAGCAAGGGCCCCACCGUGCCUACCCCAGGAACUCUGAUGGCCACCUAUGCAAGGCUCACGGCCGAGUUUGAGGAGAUAGUCGCCGUUGAGAAGCAGUAUUCCCCUGGCAAGGUGAUGGCCCCCAUCGAGGACGAGGAGAUGGCCCCCGGAGGGAUGAGAUCCCCCGGUGAGCUGCACAAGGUAAAAAAUAAUGGCUUAUUACCAUAGUUGUGGUUUUUGAUUAUUUGCAAUGUGCUUGCUAAUGUGUUAGGGUUGUGCAGGUGCCGGUGGACGUCCUUGAUGAUUCCGAUGUCGCAGCCCGUCCUGUUGGGAUCGCCCCGGAGAUCGAUUCCGAUGCCACUGUCCAUCCAGUGGACAUCGCCCUAGAGAUCGAUUCCGAUGUCGCGGUCAGUCCCGUGGACAUCGCCCCAGAGAUCGAUUCCCAUGCCACUGUUCGUGCUGUGGUCAUUGCCCGAGGGAUCGAUGACAAGAAUUAGUUGGUCGCGCUAAUCCUUCAGGGUAGUUUGCCUUGCCCUGUGUUUAAUUACCAGAAUGAUGCGUGUUAUCAAACCAUCUUAGGGCUAGUGCACUGUCUUGUGUGGGCGGUACUUGCUACUUUUGUUUGAUAGUGAAUCAUGCGAACCCUCUCCGAGUUAUGGAAACAGAUGUAUCCUCACCAAAUUUUGAUGUAAUAUAUGGCAUGCUUAGAUGUAAGUUUGAACUAUUUAUCAUAUCAGCAGGGCUUGUUUGAUGAUUCUUGGUGUUAGUAGGCUAGCUACUGUGCGAGCUAUAGUACUUGCAAAACACUCACCGAAGAGAAACGUUGGGGCUGAUGAGAUCGUGGUAUGCUUAUACUUAUCUGUCGUCGAUUGACCAAUAGCCCUAGCUCCUAAAAUUGUAGGCUUAGCGAUCGAUCAGACAAUAGUCGACACGAAUACAUUCAGGCCUCAUUUGGUUUAUAGGGUAGGAAAAUUGUAGCAAAAGUACAGAGACGUACAACACAAAAUCAUAGCAGUGCAGAGUCGUACUCCCUCUGUUCCAAAAUAGAUGACCUAGGCGGGCUAGUUUGGCCUAGUGGGUUUCAGUGAUAUGACGUGGUACAGUGCCUUAUAGUCUUCGCGUGUGGUAGCAGUAUUGCGGGUAUAGUAAGUUUUCUUGAAGAAGCGGAAUUCAACGAAAUCAUGAUGGUUCCUUCAUCCGAACCACUUACAGUGGGAAAGGUUGGGCCUGCGAUAAGACCGGGGUAGACCAGGAUAAUUUUGUGCAUGGCAGGUGGACCAGGAUGGUCGACGUCCCAUAUGUCGGCGAAUGAAAGUAUUAUUUCCGAUAUAGAGGAAGAGCAAUGAUUAUUCGUUGUUUAUUUUUGAUGAAAACUAUUGUCUCCACUGUUACGACGGAGGAGUGUGAAACACGGCAGCCCAGUGAACUUGGCAUGUGCACCACUCCCUCCUUCCUCAUGUAAGUCUGCCAUACUGUUGACUAUAAGGUUGGCUAUAAGGUUACAACUUUUUCUCACUUUCUCUCUAUCUGUUUCCUCUCAAAUGUUUUUUACCUUUGUUUUUUUAGACACAAUUGUUUUUUAUGCCUUUUUUAGAAUUAUUUUUUAUACCUAGGAGCACGUGUAGAGACGGGCUCUUGCAGAGCCCACUCCUUGACUUUGUUAAUGCCUCUCUCUCCUCCAUAUAAGCUGGCUUAGGCCUUGUACAAUGGGAGAUGCUUAGAAAAAUAAACCAGGCUUCUCUUAAGCACCGGUGCCUAUUUCUACGGGAUAGAUGCUUAGUUAAGCGUCUAUCUUGUACAAGUAAGCACCAGUGCUUAACAAAAGCCUGGUUUAUUUCUCUAAGCAUCUUCCCUAAGCGUCUCCCAUUGUACAAGGCCUUAUAGCCUAGUUUUUUAGUACUUGCUAUGCAUGCAUGCGGCGGGCAGCUGGCAUCUUGAGGGGCCAGGGCGGUCAGAGCGGGCUCUGGAAGCGGUCCGGACUCCAGCAUGGCCCACCUCACAUUAUCACCAUAUAUUUCUUGGAGUUCGUGUGCGACGGGCGGGCGAUCUCUUCUCCCUCCCCUGUUUCUCUCUUCUCAGCCGACGCCCGCCGAGCGAUUAGAUUUCGGCUAUCGACAAUUUAUUCAAUAAUAGUGCCACAUGUCAGUGAAAUUGCAAGACAAAGCGUGUCCCCUCUGGUGAGCGGCGUGCGAGCCGGACUGUCGGGGGUGCGACACGUACGAGUCGUAAGUGUGUCGCCUUUUCCUUUAGAACUUGAGAGGCAUAACAUUUUCGCGCGAUCGAUCGAUAGAAAUCCAGAACAAAAUGACGAGGGCAGUGCUUUCCCGCUCAUUAGGCGGGCUAAUUCCAGUGAUAUGACGUGCUACAGUGCCGUCCACUUGCUCCAUUUUUAUGUAAGCAAGAGUUUACACUCUUAUGCGGGAGGAGUGCAAAACACCACGGAUCUGAUUUUGAUCGAGGGAUAACUGUUCCCUGACAAAUAAUGGAGGACUGUUAGCGAUUAUAGCAUGAUAGUUAGGGCAUCUCCAGCGCUGGCCCACAAAUUUACACCGACAUCUGUCCGAGGACACUGAUGGAUGACAUCUGAUGCUGCCCGCAUACCUUUCGACAACUAUAUGAACUAACCGGACGAAAUUCGUGCAAACAAAGCAAAUUUCAAAUUAACCGGAUGAAAUUCAUUACAUUUUGAAAACUUUUCCUACAAAAUGGAUGAAAUUCAUUACAUAUUUCGCACAAACUGUACUAAAACCUACUGUAAACCUAAUCUAAACGAUCACUGGUGCCCGACCACCAUGUCUGGCCAUGAACCCGAGAAAGCCGGCCAUUGCCUUUGCCUCUCCCUUUAUCCGCCUCGAUAACCUCCUCUCCGGAGCACAAGGUUCUGAAGAUUUCCGCCUCCAUGUCGCCGUCAAGUGCCUAAUCGGUCGCCAAUGUUUACCCCACGAAGCUUGGCCUUGAUUGAAUGUAGUAGUUGUGGCCUUCCUGGGACCAGAGCGGCGGCGACCUACCGUGUACUACUCUUCCUCGCCGCCGGCUACACCCGUGCACGUGCGCCGGCUUCGUUGUCGUGGCGGCGGAGGGCGGCUGGGGGGGGUGUCGGCGAUCUCCUUCGUUUGCUCCUGCGACAGUACGUCGAAGAGAGCUUUGGAGCGCGCCCGGAGCAGAGCCACCGAUGUCCCUCAUCUGCUCCUGCGACAGUACGUCCAAGAGAGCUUCGGAGCGCCAGGAGGCCAUGGUUGGAGUGGUGCCGACGGAAGGAAGGGACCGGAAGAGAAUACGUGUGGGUCUUUGGCUAUGGCUGGGAGCUGGGGCUCAACUUAUUAUAGCGGGCGAAUGGCAAUGAGCUGCGGCAGACAGAUGGACAACUGGCGCAGGAGUAGGUUCGUCGGGCGUGAAUGCGGACACUACUUCAGUGAAUUAACUGUAGAUGCGUUGGGUUACUGACAUGUGGGCCCAACGGGCAUCUAGCCCGCAUGUCAGUGACACACCAAUUGCAACUGCAGUUAAGCACGAUGAAUGCGGCAUUGACGUUCUGGAGAGACGGUGACAGUUUCAGGUGGGAAGCACGCGCUAGCGAUGGAAGGGGUUUCAGUGUGCAGUGGCACUAACAACGGUCGCUCACGAUAGUACAUACUCCAUACCAUACUAUCAUAGUACCCUCUCUAGCUAGGUUGUUUUAUAGAUUGUCGUUGUGAUGGACGAUAUACAUGAGCAAGGCGCUCCGAGUAUGACCGUUGGCGUUGAGCCAGGUGAAUACAUGCUCGGCGUUCGCGUAGGCCUCCAUCAAACGUCUAAACGGUAAUGUCAGGCACCGCCGGGGCGCGUAGGUGAUGGGCUCGCCAUUUGCGUUGUGCCAUGAGCAGGACUUUCAUUUAGAGGGCGACGUGCAUGCAUUAGCAUGCUUUGACAGCAUGAGGUGAGUGUCUGACGUGAAGUAUUUCAUUUUCAUUUGGCUGACGAGGGUGCGUUGCAGCGACGAGUCCGUGGUUUGAUUCCCCACAUACGCAUAAUUUUGGUUUUUAUAGUAUUUCUUUCUCCAUUAACAGGUAGGCCCACAUAGAUAGAUAAAGAACACGAGCUGAUGAGGCGCAUGCGGACUGUUUGACUGGUCAACCAGACAAAUACGGAGCUAUACGCUGAGCCAAUGACCGUAUAAUCACCAUAUCUCGUAUACAAUGAUCAAAGUGAGCUAUCAAGACAAGUUCGAUAACCACCAAUGCAUUUUACUCGGUAAUAAAUGACCAGGAUUGAAGGGGAAUCCAAAUUUCCUUCGUCUUCUAUCCUUGAGCUCUUGACAAACCAAUGCACUAUACGGUUGUCCGGCCACUCCACCCCAGAGCUCUCACCAAGCGUCGUUCAUGCCACCGCACCGCACACUAACCGGUAAGGCAGCGAUGGCAUCCCGCCACGCCGAGUUCCUCACCGCCCACGACCGCACACAAAAUGGUAGGGAAGCGAUGGCAUCCCGCCAUGCCGAGUUCAUCGCCGCUCGCGACCUCACAACUAUGUGGGAGGAAUUUGAAUAUGCCAAGGCCGAAUGGGUGGUAGAGCAAGAGGCGGCCAAAGCCGCACAGAGGGAGCAGAAAAGUCAGAAAGCACUCAAGAAAAGAGAGGCCCGCCGUCGCAAGAAAGAAAAGGACGCACGCGCUCCUGCAGAGAGGUCGGCGGAGAUCCAAGCAUGGUGGGGUGUCACCGAGAAAGCCAGGAAGGAGAACGACGACGUCUGGCCAGCAUGUGAGAAGUAGUAGUACUAGUAGUUAGUGUGUGUGUCUGUGUCUGAGUACGAGCAUGUACCAGUACUACUAGUUACUACUGUAGUUUUUAGAGCAAAUUACCAGUACAUUAGCCUAGACUAAAUGGAAAAAAUUCCUAACCUAUGCAUCAAAUGGCAUCUCUUUCUCUAUAGGAAUUGAGAUGCAUGUCAUCUCACUUCCUAUGAUUUUCAUAUUCCUAUAAAAUUCCUAUCCUAUGAAGAAAAGGAGGCCUCUGUUGGAGUAACUAUUGUAGCUAGCAGUACUGCUGGUACAGUAGUUUUCUUCAAGAAGCGGAAUUCAAUGAAGUCAUGAUGGUUCCUUCAUCCGAGCAACUUCAAAGUGGGAAGUGGGCAUGUAAUUUUACGGCUCAUUAGUCAUUGUUACCGCGGCGCGACGACCGGGGUGACUCUCCCUUGGAGUUUUGCGUGCAUGGCAAGUGGACCAGGAUGGUCGACGUCCCACAUGUUGGCAAACGGAAGUAUUCUUUCCGAUAUCGAGGAGCAAGGAAACCGCGUGGUAUAGUAUCACUGCUGAUUGGUUCUCAAAAAAAUAGUAUCACUGCUGAUUUAUAAUUAUUUUUUAUUUCUGAUGAAUGCUAGCAUUUCAACUCUUAUGACAAAGAGUGUCAAACAUGGCACGUGUUGGAUGUCCCACACGUCAGCGAAAGGAGUGGGACAUGAACAUCGUGGUAGAGCCCAGCAUAAAAAAACAGCAUGGUAGAGCUUCUCCACUUCUUCCAGUUCUGUGUCGGAGACCACACGUAGUAGUACUUAGUGGUAUGAACGAUACAAAGUGCAACCUGGAGAGAAAGACACGUCUAGUUGGAAGGUCUCGGGGCAUACACGUAAACAAAUAUAAAAGUUAAUAUGUACCUCCAACUAAUAUAGUAGCAGUAGAGUACUUAGGCACGUGCUCCAUAACAUCACCGUGCAUUGCACGUACAACAUUUAGUGGCAGUACGUAGUAAGAGACAAAUGUCGUCCAAGAGUUCCCUUCUCGACCUACUUUUGAGUGUUUGGUAGAGUGUAUGGAGGGUGCAUGAGUCCACACUUGUUUAGCACAAAUACACUAGAAGCAUGCAUGAAGAGGGAAAAACUAUGCUGAGAUGAGAACGCAACCAAACACACCCUAUAUGCCACGCAUGUUCAUACCAUCUGUGCCUUUCUACUUCACUUACUGCGCUACAUAACUCAGGUUCGUACGUCCACUCCUAGGUACAUGUCCGUCUCGUAGUUUUAUUCCCACGUGUUCUUCAUAUAGAUGGAACGAUCCUUGCAUAACACGUGCACCUUGAUGCUAGAUGUCUCGCGUGUUGGCAAAAGGAUAAACAAAGCUCACAUAAAAAAAUAGAGUGGAAGAACAUAGAUUCCCGACGACCGAGAAGGAGCAAGGAACCUCGUGGUAGCGCGCUGCACUCAUAAUAUUUAAUAUUAUUCAGCGAUAUAAAAUAAACCAAUCAUCUCCACAGUGGACUGGAAGAGUACGAAACACGGCAGCCCAGUGUAGUUACAUCAUACUAGUACAUGGCUAACCCACGCUAUCACCAUAUUUCUUGGCUUUCGUGCGACACCUAUGUCUAGUAAUCCAGUAGCCUGUAUCGCUUCUCCCUCCUCGUCUCUAUCAAAGUGCGGUGGGCUGGCGUUUUUGCCGUCUAUUGAGGUCGGUUAACUCAUCACAUAUUAGCGACAUGCCAAGAGCAUUCUAAAAAAAUUCCUUUCACGUUCUGUUUUCAAAAAGAAAAAGCCUUUCCCGUACGAAUUUGACUGUAUGCUUUGAGCAACUUGCAUGUCCUAUACUGCUCCUGUUUGAUACUCUAACUUAGCUAGAGGUUAGACUAACUCAUGACUAACCCUGAACUAACUGUAGCCAAAGAGGUUUUUGGGUGACAGGGUUAGAUUGACAAUAAAUGCACUUGAUAGAGAGAGAAAAUUGAUUUUUCAGUGGUCCCAAUGAGAACUAUCUCCAGUUAGCACCUCUUGGGUGGGAUAGUUUUUUUUUGUGGGUUCGGUGCAACUUGCUCCAAUUUAAACCCUCAUGCUUGGAUACUUUAGGGCUAUUUGAGCUCCAACUAGCUCAAACUAACUCUAACCCAUGGAUCCAAACAGGGCAUAUGGCCAGUCUCGACGCGGAGUAGUCGCGUGCACCGGGAAGCGGCGCUCUCUCGGCCAUCGCGCCACUUCAAAGCCGACGCCAGUGAGAGGUCGCCUCCACUCUGGUCGGGUAUUAAUGCGGCACUGAUGCACCAGGGCGGCGCUGACCGCUUCAUGCGGGAAGCGCGCGCUGGCAAGGGAGUAUAUGUUUUGAACCGUUUCAGGUGUAGUACUGGUAGUUUGCAAAACUACUCAAUUAUUGCACUCAGUUUCCUAAGAAAUUGUGGUAAAAACGUUACUCCACAGCCCGCUUCCCUUCUCCUUCCUCUUCCACCGCUCGCGCACGUCCAUGGGAAGCGACCGGUCAACCCUUAUAUAGGAGUGCUAGCAUAAAAAGAUGCAUGCAUGACCACUAAAAUUUCCAUAUUAAAGCGCCGCUCCGGCGGGAGUAUGGCGUAUGUUGUUACCUUCGACCGGGCCAUGGCUACCGAGCGACGACGACCAGAGAAGAGGCGGCGGGAGGGGAUUGAAUGCAGCUACUGUUUGGGUUCGCCUUCCGACUCAAAUAAAUGCGCAGCAUCACGUGUACCCACGGGUGCACAAAUUGUAACAUACGUGUCUGCUUAAGUGGGCGUCACGUAACUGGUGUGUGUGUGACAGAGAGAUUCUGAGAGACAGAGUGCGUGUAUGCGACUCUACUCUUCGGACAUGUACUCAACCUUUUGCAUCGCGAUAUAAGUAUAAUGGUAUUUACUUUAGCUAGUGAUUUACGUGGCCAUGUUAACGUGGUUGUGUCAAAAAAAUGUCACUUCCUGCUUGUGAUUUGUGUUAUAUAAUUACAAGUAAGAUUCUCGUGCAUUGCACGGAACAUCAAUAAGCAUUUUUUUACAAAACACCUGUUGUGAUUGACCCAUGAAGGAGUAAUCCCAUGUGUAAAAACUAAUGAUAUCUCGAGAAUUUUAUCGGAAAACUGGUAUCUCGAGAAUGUCAUCGAAAAAAAUGAAAGAUGAGAUAUAAGGCGAGGAGGAGUGGUGGUGGUCGGAAUGGGCGGAGGCAUGGGGAUGGACGGCGCGGGCAGGCGGCAGCGGCCACCAUGCUAGAUUGUUGCAGAGACUUCCUUUUUUAAUUGCUGAGCAAUGAGGUUGUGGGAGAUAAGGAUGUGGAGAGAGGUGCGGGUAUCUUUUGUAAAAUUAUCAUAGUUCACUUUCUAUUCGUCAGAUUUAGAUCAUACGGUCUGUAUUACAAGAUGCCAGGCACACCAUCAUCGCCAACUCCUUUUUUUAUAAGGGUACAGAUGAUAAGUUUGCUGACUACUAAAGUAAAGUGGAAUUUGUCCAUGUUAUGCAAGUAAAUUAAGGUGAUUGUUUAUCAUACGGGUAAGGUUGGAUGAAGGCUGGUAGGAACAAAUGCUCUGCCUAGAGCAUGUGUGUGUGAGAUGGAGUCUUAGUGUGUGUGUGGGGUGUGUGUGUGUGUGAGAGAGAGAGAGAGAGAUGGAGUCUUAGUGUGUGUGUGUGUGUGAGAGAGAGAGAGAUGGAGUCUUAGUGUGUGUGGGGGGUGCGUGCGUGCGUGUGUGUGUGUGUGUGUUUGUGUGUGUGNNNNNNNNNNNNNNNNNNNNNNNNNNNNNNNNNNNNNNNNNNNNNNNNNNNNNNNNNNNNNNNNNNNNNNNNNNNNNNNNNNNNNNNNNNNNNNNNNNNNNNNNNNNNNNNNNNNNNNNNNNNNNNNNNNNNNNNNNNNNNNNNNNNNNNNNNNNNNNNNNNNNNNNNNNNNNNNNNNNNNNNNNNNNNNNNNNNNNNNNNNNNNNNNNNNNNNNNNNNNNNNNNNNNNNNNNNNNNNNNNNNNNNNNNNNNNNNNNNNNNNNNNNNNNNNNNNNNNNNNNNNNNNNNNNNNNNNNNNNNNNNNNNNNNNNNNNNNNNNNNNNNNNNNNNNNNNNUGUGUGUGUGUGUCACGGGGUCCUUUGUGGCGGAUGUAAUUUAAGUGUGCAUGGCUUCAUCAUAGAGAGGUGAUGUGUAUGGCACAGGCCACCAGCGAUGGGGUGCGAGAGAGAAAAUUCCCGUAGAGAGGGAAGAGAAGGUGUGUGCGCGUGAGAGGAGUCGACAUCGAGAGAACGUGUUUAUUCAAGAGACACCGAGGAAGACUACUAUAUAUCGAUGGUGCAUGUAGGUGGGAAUUAAACAAAGGGAUGGUCUUAUUGGUUUCGGGGAUAUAGUGGAAGAGUGAGAGGCGGGGGCGGGGGUAGCUAGAAGAAGAUUGUUAAGUGUGAGUGUGUGUUUUACCCAUCCAGGCGGAAGUUAUGUGCACACAAGAGGAGAACUAUUCGAUGUGGUGUUAGGAUUGAGGGUAAUUAACUACAUAUCGAGACAUAGAGACCUUGAACGUGCAUGUGUGAGAGGUAUACAUGUAUACGUGGGAUGUGUGUGUGUGUGCGCGCGCGCAUGAUCGAGAUAAAAGAAAGAAGACAUAAGUCAUAAGAUCAACGACAUGGGAGAUACGGAUCGCUAUGACAAUAUGCAUGCAUGCGAGAAUGCACGAAAGAAGGGCCGAUAAUUGAGCAUGUAUUUUUGUCUUUAAGAGAUAGUGGCGUGGUCUGGAGCAUGCAUCUAUGGCGAGCAGAGGGAGUGAGGCACAAUGAUUGUGCAAAAGAGAUCAACCUAUAAAUGCAUAUGUAUGGAGAGACAUAUAUAGUGUGGGUGAUAGGAAGCAAGACUCCGUGCGAGAAAGAAAUGUUGAAACUACAGAUAGAUAUAGAGAUGGAGAUGCUAGCUAGAGGGACAUCCACUAGUUUGGGUGUUGGAGAUGACCGCCGGGUGGUUCAGAGGGUGAAGUUUUAUAUGUGUGUGAGAGGUCACUUGACUGCAUGUAGAGAGAAACAUAUGUAAUGUGCGUGAUAGGAAUCAAGAGUGAGGGCGAGAAAGAAGGUUGAUGGAGAAACAGAUAAAUAGAAAGAUCAAGAUGCUAGCUAGUGUGCAUUAGAGAUAGGAGUCGAGUGGAUCAAAAGGCUGAGUUAUGUGUGUGGGUGUGAGAGAGAUAGAGAGAGGGUGCAUGUGAUUCACAUACAAACAGAUAUCAGAGAGAAAUGAGAUCCCGAGAGACGGAGUUUUGUGUCUUCGAGAGAGAAAGAUAUUUCACAACGAGAGUGAUAGUUAGAGAGACAUAUGAGGGAACGCAAGAUAUCUCUAGAAAGAGAGUGUGUGUGAGCGACAUACAAGAGAACAAUGGAAAAAUAUGAGACCCGGAGAGACAGAGUUUAUGUUUGUGUGUGAGAAAGAGGUACUUAAGAGGAAGAGUCGUAGGUUCUCAUAUCUAAGGAGCGAAAGACAUCUCUGUAUGAGGGGUGUGUGAGUGGCACACAUGGGAAUAGUAGAGAGAAAUGAGACCCCGGAAGACAAAGUUUUGUGUUUGUGUGAGAGAAAGAGAUUCCACAUGGAGAAUCAUAGUUGGAGACACAUAGUAGAGAGUGAGAUAUACUUAGAGAGAGAUAGAGUGAUGAAGGUCGAGGGAGAGAGUACCGUCAGUGUGCUACGAAGAUAAAAGAUCAUUGUCGACAUAUAGAUAGCACGAGAGAUACCUGAGAGACGAUGAACGCGUAUAGGUCCAGAGAGAUAGUCCUAUAUAAGCAUGAGUGCUAGCUAUAUCAGAUGAAUAUCUGGAUUAAAAGGGAUUCAAAUAUUUAAACUAGAGACCACGACAUCGAUAAUAUCAUAAUGCAAAUUGGUGUAUCAAACAUGCAUAUUCAUUUGAAUUUGGGCACACGUAUAAUGUUAUAUAGUUUAUCAAUAUUGGUGAUCCAUAGAUUCUUUAAUUACAAACAAUGCAUGAUUUAUAUACAAUUAAUGUCUAAACGGGAUUACACUAUAUGUUGCGUGUGUGAAACACAUUAUACAUAUUUGAGAAGUAAAAAAACCCGCAUGAAACACACAUUAAUUGGAGACAGUUAGCGAGGAAUGCAUACAUUGAAUUUCAACAUAAAGUGGUUUCAAAUAUUUGAAAUCCAAAUUGAUGGAUACAACCUUAUGAAUCUGAGAUCAUGCCAUUUGUAAACCAUAUUUAUGUAUAAAUGGUGUUGUGCUUUUGAAAAUCAUGUAUAUAGAAUUUAAUUCCAAUUAAAAAUGGAUCCCACCCAAAAAAAUAGAAUACAAACAAGAUUCGAAUUGAGUUGGCACGGUCAACGUGCACUCUACAAAAUUUAAACGAAGCGAGAAAAGUCGCAGUAACCGCCCGAAACCAAAAUCUGUGAGAUGGAAAUUACUACUGCCUAUCCCUGCCACGCAAAACCUAUCUGUCGGAUUUCUAUAGGUUUCGAUAGAGGUAGGUUUGUAAUUUCACCCAAACGUGACGUAACCGCUUCUCACCCGGAUUCAUACACGGUGGGCGCCAAAACACAGUGUGUCCUCGACCGAAAUCGACUCCCUCCCCUAUUCGCCCCGCCGCCACCGUCUACCCUCCUAGAUCUGCUUCCACGCCGCCGACAGCCAUCGCUAUCGCAACACCGUCAAAUUCUCAGCAGAUGCGUACACGGCGCCGCACCAGAGGCGAUACUCUUUCGUAUCUGCUCAACUUAUUUAUUGCAGCAAGAAAAUAGAUUGCCGCUGCUUUACUUUGAUUUCUUGUCUUGGUUGCGAAGUUGCCUUUGUCUGGUUUGCACCUUCAGAUCCGCCAUGGCACACUCAACACUAUACUCCCAAUACAUAUGGUUUUCGCCUUUUAUAUUCCACACUAGUUAAAUCACAGUAGAUUAAAUUUCAAAAUUGGGUCAGUCGAUUUUUUAGAGCUCGGCGGAGUUUGCCAGUGCGAACGAAGGGGCUCGGGUGGUUGUGGGGCCUCGUUGAACGAAGAAAACUCGACGCGGGUGGGGGUUGGGGCGGGGGUGGGGGUGGGGGUGGCGGAGGAACACAAGCGGUGGGGGCCGGUGGUCCGGCCGGCGGUCCGUGCGGUGUUCUGUAUGGGAAGAAUCAGAGACGAGGAGAAGAAGGGUUAGGAUAUGUAGGAUCUUCAUCCAACCGCCUGAAAUGAUCGAGAGAUAGCUGGGAGUUGCAUUCUUAAUGCGCUCUGGUUCAUCAUGUGUGGGCACUGGGCAACCAACAUUUUAUUAUCCAAAAUCUGCUUACUCUUCUUUACCAUGUUCCUUUUCCGUUCUUCUUUAAUAUAUACUCUCUCCGUUCCUAAAUACAAGUCUUUGUAUAGAUUCCACCAUGGAAUACAUAUCGAGCAAAAUGAGUGAAUCUACACUCUAAAAUGUAUCUGGAUACAUGUGUAUGUGAUUCAUAGUGGAAAUCUCUACCAAGACUUAUAUUUUGAAAUGGAGGGAGUAUGAUAGUAGUAUGCUACGUCUUGAGCUUGCGUUGGUUUUCCUUGAAGAGGAAAGGGUGAUGCAGCAAUAGUAGCGUAAGUAUUUGCCUUAGUUUUUGUCAAAUUUUGGGUUCCGGCAGACCCUUGAGGUUCGAACUCUAGGGUGCGCACGAAGAUCUUUCCCCUACCAACUCACGUCUUGAAGCCUCGCAAGGAAUCUAGGCUAGAAAUAAGAACACACAAGGGACACGAGAUUUAUACUGAUUCAGGCCACCAUUAUGGUGUAAUACCCUACUCCAGUGUGUGGUGUGAUGGAUUGCCCUAGGGGCUGAUGAACAAUACAGAGGAAGAACAGCCUCGUGAGAGGUGUUCUUGAGCUGGUGCGAUGAACUGCUUGGGUGAGUUCAGUCGCCUCUUUCUCUCUAGUCUACCCAAAAUCUCUCCCCCUUACUCUGUGGUGGCUAGCUCUAUUUAUAGAGGGAGGUCCUGGGCCUCUUCCCAAAUAAUGAGCAGAAAGGGCGUCAACAAUUGGCCAUUUUGAAGGGGAACAUCUAGUACACUUAUCCUGACUAAAGUUGGUCUUCGACUGUCAAAGACUCUGACGGUGACGUCGUUCUGGGCUCCACGGUGACCUCCAUCCUGCCGUCCCACUGAUCUUGGUCUUGUUGCACCGAAACAGUAACCUUUGCCUGAUGCCUUGGCCUGUGCUUCCCCCCUUUGCACCAAAGGGGAAACAAGGACACUGCACAAGCCGGCGCCCGCCUGGCGCCCUCCUGGUCUCGAUCGUCAUGGCUUGCGUCACGAGCACCUCGCGAGGUACUCUGCCUUGAUCUCUCCGCCUCCUCGUGAGCCCGCCUAAUGAGGGUGCUCCUGAGGAAGCUUCCUAUCGUCCGCCCCGCGAGUUUUGGCCCCUCACGAGGGUCUUGCGCUUGAGCUGAUGAAGCUCGGCUGCACUGUGCCUCCGCUUGAGCCACGUCGCAGGCCGCAGGCAGGCAAGUCUGGGGACCCCCGUUCCCAGAAUGCCGACAGUAGCCCCGGGGCCCAAGGUGCGCCUGGACUUGGCUUAGCAGAGAAGCGAAGGGUCUGAAGCGCCGCGGGCCCCAAUAGCCUGCGGCCUUGGGCGCCGUGUGGCGAUUGAUUGGACAUGGGCAUUUCCGCUUCCCCAUGAUGCCUCAUUACGCGCCCAGCUAGGCGGACCCGUGGUUGCAUACAACUAUUCCCCUUUCGCCGUUCGCGCGCUUCCUGCCCUUCCUCCUUCCUCGAGCUCCAACCCCCGCCUCCAAUCCAACUCGAACUCUCCCCCCUUCCCAUCGUCAUGGCGCCAACGAAGAAGGAAAUGGGAAAGAAGCCCGCGCCUUCACCCCGCUCGUCUCCGGUGGCGGCCCCCGCCGUUGAUCGGUCAAUCAUACUCAACCCUGAAGCCUUGGACAAGGUCCGUUCUGCUCUUGCCUCCAUCUUCAACGAGUGCGGCAGGACCACAGUCUGGCCUGCGUCCCAUGCCUCCUUUGAUAGGAUCGUCACGGAGGUCCGGUUCUUCGCCGAUGCCCUGUGGGCGGGUCUGGUUCCUCCCUUUUCCGCUUUCUUUAAUGCGGUGCUCUCCCAUUCUCAGAUUCACAUGAUGCACUCGGGGCCUGAGUCCAUUACCCUUCUGGCUGUUUUCGCCUUUGUUUGCGAGGCAAUGAUGGGCAUUCCUCCUUCUGUUGCCCUCCCGCGCCACUUCUUCUCCCCACUCAAUGCUCGGGGUGUGUGAGCUUCCUCGCCGUGCCAGAGACGGCUGCUUCGGGGAUCAAUUUCGGCCUUCCUUCUUUAGUUGUUUGCUUAAAUCGUAUCUCAGCCGACGUACUUUCCAUCUUGCAAUCUCGUCCUCAAACCAUUUUUGAUAAAUCACCAUGUUAUAUCUUUCCCUUAUUACAUGGAAUAUGCUUCUUUUUUGUCGGUGUAUGUGUCUUCAACUCGUGUUAUUGGGCAAUAAUUGUUUCCUUUCAACCUCCUUUUGCAAACAGGGCUAUCCAUUUUCACCUCGUUGGUAUUGCGACCUUUUGGUAAACUGCACAAAUCACUUUUUUCUUAAGAGUGUUUUAUGCAGUUCCAUCAAAAUGUCACAUGAGCAACGUUUUUACAUUUCUGUGGGACUGCGGAAAGGGAGAUUGGUUUUGCUAUCCUCCUCAUCCAACUCCGUGCCUAAUCUUCUCCAACAAAGAAGUUAGUCCUAAAGAAAGAUCGUAGAGGUGAUCGGCUUCUAUUUGUGUGUGUUAUGUUUCAUCAUCUAGUUCCACUAUUAUUGUAAUCACACUGACUGGAUAUCUUUGCAAACAGGGAUGGUCCGCUCGAUUUUUGUGGAGCUGCACAAAAUGAUCGGAUUGUGGUUUCCUCCAUACACCUCUUUUUUUGCUACAGAGCUGGGUGAAACAAGCUGCCAAGCAAUGAACGCUGUGCCAAGGAAAUGGAGCCAUGCCUACGAACAACAUCGAUCAAUUUCUUUUUUUUAUUUGUACACCUUCUCACAACUUUAUCUUCAGUUGUGAUGUGAAUAUUGACGCUGAUCUACGAACCAUUGAGAUGCAUUAGCCAUGGUAGCUGUGACGUCCCGUUACGUCCAACAGAGUCAGGCGUAACGGAAGCCGUCACUUCAGAGUUGCAUCAGGAUCAGUUAAGAAAAACAGUAUCAUGUACAAGACGAAGCAGCUGCCAUGAGUAGGCAAGCUUUUAUUACAUAGACACCUCAAGUGUCGACUAAGCCUAAGCGACCAUGACGAUAGAUUGUCACCCAUUUCUAGUGCGAGCCUUCUAGACCAACCAUGGAGGGCAUCUACUCUUCAUAGACUUGAUUGCCAACAUCCUCAUAAUCAUACUCCACUUCAGAAUAACCAGAGUCGUCAAGAUCACCAGACUCAUCAUAAGUACCAUUCUCUAGUGCCUCAGAGUUCUCAUAACUCCCUUGUUCUGAAAAAAACAUAAGUGCAGCUGAGUACGUAUAAAAUACGUAAUCCGCAAGUCGCAGGGAAAAGUGGAUGUAUGAGUUUUUUUAAAGAGGAAAAACUUUAUCGGCCAUGGCUACCACCACCGAGCCAUUAGCUCAAAAUACUUUGUAGGUAAAAAAAAUAUAUUUUCCCUUAACCUAUUAUGUUGAAAAUUAAUUUUAUUUAUAAAAUCUACUAGCGAUAGAGCGAUGUGGGAUCUUACAUCCUGUGUUACAGGAAAACCCACACGACGCACUUCCAACCCCGAAAGCUGGGAGUGAUAUCACAUUUAUUCUGAUCAGAGAUGUACUGCUUUGCCCAUAGCAUCACUAGGUCCAAGUCGUCCAUGCGCUACUCGUGCGCACGAUUAGACCAAGGAACCAGAACCUUUAACCAGCCCGUAGACUACCUCUGCUUUUCCACCUUGCCUUACUAUAGGCCCGCGGGUCUAGACCCCUGACCGGCGGUCCCACCCUAGGGUGACUGUACCUACCCGGGUACAACCACCUUCUCACUCAUGCAGAGGUAGCUACUUGGCAUGGGUAGUCGGUUCAGCCCGUCCCAUUCCAGGUCUAUGGUCAGUAUGGUUUGUGCCGCUUUUGACGUAAGCGCUAGUUGGUUGUGUCCUAAUGUAAUAUCCUAUAUAGAGGAGUCUGCCAUCCAAGCCAACCCUAAACGGAUUGCCUUCACCAACAUGAGCUCCCCUACCCACCAAAUUUUUAUUUAUAAUGUAAUCCUGCCCGAGUCACGACUACUUAAUAUAGAUACUUCACCUGAUCUGGUCCAAUUGCCAAAUCAGUGGAUCCACCUGAUCCAAAUUUCAUUUUAUUUAUGAAAAGUAUUUAUUUUUAGUUCUUAUGCAAAAUUUUGGAAAUGACCCAUAGCCCGGAAAACAUUUAUCAAGACAUGAUCAAGGAGAUGACGACUUGCCGGGUAGCGCUCCGACCAACUCGGAACCACCAGAUGUGGGUCCUAUGCCUGAUAAUUAUUUCACAAAGAAGUUUAUAUUUUUCCCUAAUCAAGAUCCAAGCAUCAAGCAACACUUCCAUACGGUGCAAUCCAUUUUAAUUAAAGAGGUAAUGAUACAUGCUAGUGUGUAAUUAGAAGCAAAAUGCAUACAGCACAUCAAGAAGUACUCCCUCCGUUCCAAAAUAAUUGUCUUUCUAGCCAUCUCAAAUGGACUACAACAUACGGAUGUAUGUAGACAUGUUUUAGAGUAUAGAUUCACUUAUUUUGCUUCGUAUGUAGUCACUUAUUGAAAUCUCUAGAAAAACAAUUACUUCGGAACGGAGGGAGUAGUACGCACGUGCACAUCACAAAGAGCAAGCAAGCAAGCUCAAAAGGAAAAAACGUGUUUAGCUGGUCGAACCCAACCCCGGCAGAAAUAUCAUUUCUUUUUUCUCCAACUAGUCAUCUUCCCCAGCUCUCUACCUCUCUCUCUCUCACUAUCACUGGUAUGCUCAGCCACGAACAGAACCAACUCCAUCUCUCUCUCCCUAACUACAGAGCAGGUCGCCGCCGGCUCGAUCUGCCACUUCCGGACAUCUCCGGCGACACCGUGGACACCCACAGAAUCCCCUCGACUCCCUCUACCAUAUCCCCCCAUUUAUUUGAUCCGCCGCCGCCAAAAUCGCCGCCACCCUCAAACCCCAGCGUCGUCUGCAUCGGGUCCGAUGGGUUCACCACGGGCCGCAGUAGCAAUGGCAUAUCCCUGCCUACAACCUCCUCCAGCAGAGCUGCACGCACGAGGCAUGCAACUACGGCCGUCGGGAGCGAGCAUCUUAACCGGCGCGGCUCCGGCAACAUGGCCGCUACCGGCGCCUGGCUCGCCUUUGUCUACUGCUACUAGUGUAAGUGUCAGUCCAAAUUUCUCUCUGUGCAGUGUUCUUACCUCUACUGCUAGUGUUUGUGCUAUGACUCCCCUUACUGCCAUGCUUCUUGUUAAUAUCAAGACCAAGGAAUUAAUCAAGCUUUACUCGAUGGUGUGGACGUGGUCUCCAGAUUUAUUCUAUAUUGUUUAUUCAAUUUUUAGCUCUACUACACUAUCCUCGCACUACUAUGAUUCUUUUUUAAUUAAGCUCAUAACUAGGAAUUAACCAGUGAAUUCCUACUAUUACCGACUUGAUCAAAAAGCGACAAGUUAAUUGCUUCUGAUAGUUAGGUGCUGCCACAAACUAAAUCUAAAUGUUGCUUCUACUGUGUGUGCGCGUGCACUCAUUUCUGGACCCUACAAUAGUCAAGUGAACAUUGACAUUGAUCACUCAAAACAUACUUAGAAAGGGGAUCAGGAAAGGGAAAAUAAAAGGAUAACAGGAAUUUAUUUGUACAAGAUUUGCACAAAGUAUGUUUAUUUAUUUUUCUGUUUUCAGAAUGAGGCAUGUGCAAAUGAGACAUGGCAAACAUUAGCCAAACAGUGUUCAAUACAACUAGGAAGGGAUCAUUAAGAUGAGUAGCAUACACAGGAAGCUUGAGCUAUUAGCUGUACAUGUAAAUCUUAGCAAGUUAAUAUUUGGGAUUUAAUUCUCAGCAUGACAUGUCUAUUAUAUACAUAGAUCUAGUACAAGACAGAGAUGGACAUGCAUAUUACACAUGCAUCACUAAACCACCAUGUACCAAUUUGUCUUCAUCUAAUUUAUGUGCUUUCUUUUUCUAACCAUCAUUCUUCUUUUUACAAAGUAACUAGAGUCCAAAAGAUCAGGUGUUCAUGUUCUAAGCAAAGGUGAAGAUGGAUCAAGCAAACAAAGCUGCAAAAGCAAGGCACUUGAAUAGUACCUGAUGGCAACUCAGCAUCCGACCAAAAGAGUGGAUGGGGAUGGUGGGGAGAGCUUGGUUCUCUCUUGUGCGUGUUGUGUGCAGUAGAGGAAGUCAAAGGUGAAAGGAGGAGGCUGCUAUUUAUAGUAGUGUAGGGUGCUAGGUCGGUUUGGUAAAAGAGAGAUGUGGCUGACAUGCAUGGUUGCAUGAGCAUGCAAGCCUCCACAAGUAAUCAUGUGAGUUGUACAACGGACAAGUGUAUAGUGCAUGGUUCGACACGAGAUGGCAUAUAAUUUGUGUGUAAGGAAUGAGACAAGGGACUAAUUAUAAAUCUGCAAACAAUAAGGGAGUUGGAGAAGAACCAUUGUACAUGGCUAAAUACUAACUUUUUUGGUUGCAAUAAAUUUUUGAUAUUAGUGUUGUGGUUAAUUAUAAUUAUUCAACUAACUAUGCCUUGUGACACUGGUGUAACAUAGCGCCGUCAAAAAUAUUGUUAUCUAAUUUUGAGGGUUUUUACAUCCCUUCCCCCUUCGAAAAAUUUCGUCCUCGAAAUUUGAGUUGUGACUCGUAUAGGCUGGCCCAAGUCUAACCCUCUCAGUCUAAUCAUGUAUAGGCUAGCAUUAAAGAUUAUACACUCAAUGCAUAUGGGAUUGUUGUGGAAGACAUGCUCAACAAUUAUUGGGCCUCCGAGUGAGUCUACUUCUAUGAGUUUGGCUAGGGAGGUUCGGUCCAAACUACAUGUCUCAGCAAAGUGUCGGGAUAUGAAAGGAUAUGUUGCCCUUGAUGUAAUAAAAUAAAUAAUAAUAAUACUAAGACUACUUCAAGAGGGAUUUGUAGGUUACUGAUGACCCACAAGUGUAGGGAAUCUAUCGUAGUCCUUUCGAUAAGUAAGAGUGUCGAAUCCAAUGAGGAGCAGAAGGAAAUGAUAAGCGGUUUUCAGUAAGGUUUUCUCUGCAAGCACUGAAACUGUAGGUGAUAGAUAGUUUUGUGAUAAGAUAAAUAGUAACGAGUAACAAGUAAAUAAAGUAAAUAAAGUGCAGCAAGGUGGCCCAAUUCUUUAUGUAGCAAAGGAUAAGCCUGGACAAUUUCUAAUAGUGAUAAAGGAGCUCCCGAGGAAACAUUGAGAAUUAUCGUCAAGCUAGUUUACAUCACGUUCAUAUGAUUCGUGUUCGGUACUUUGAUAACUUGAUAUGUGGGUGGACCGGUACUUGGUUACUGCCCUAACUUGGACAAGCAUCCCACUUAUGAUUAACCCCUAUUGCAAGCAUCCGCAACUACAAAAGAAGUAUUAAGGUAAACCUAACCACAACAUUAAACAUAUGGAUCCAUAUAAGCCCCUAACGAAGCAACGCAUAAACUACGGUUUAAUCUUCUGUCACUCUAGCAACCCAUCAUCUAUUUAUUACUUCCCCAUGCCUUCCUCUAGGCCCAAAUAAUGGUGAAGUGUCAUAUAGUUGACGUUCACAUAACACCACUAGAGGAAAAGACAACAUACAUCUCAUCAAAAUAUCGAAUGAAUACCAAAUUCACGUGACUACUAAUAGCAAGACUUCACCCAUGUCCUCAAAAACAAACGUAACUACUCACAAAGCAUAUUCAUGUUCAUAAUCAGAGGAGUAAUAAUAUGCAUAAAGGAUCUGAACAUAUGAUCUUCCACCAAGUAAACCAAUUAGCAUCAACUACAAGGAGUAAUCAACACUACUAGCAACCCACGGGUACCAAUUUGUGGUUUUGAUACAAGAUUGGAUACAAGAGAUGAACUAGGGUUUUGGAAGGAGAUGGUGCUGGUGAAGAUGUUGAUGGAGAUUGACCCCCUCCCGAUGAGAGGAUCAUUGGUGGUGACGUUGGUGAUGAUUUCCCCCUCCCGGAGGGAAGUGUCCCCGGCAGAAUAGCUCUGCCAGAGCCCUAGAUUGAUUCCGCCAAGAUUCCACCUCAUGGCGGCGGAGUUUCGUCCCGUAAGCUUGCCCACAAUUUUUUCCAGGGUAAAAGUGAUGAUAUGGCAGAAGAUGGACGUCAGAGGCCCACCAGGGGGCCCAGGAGAUAGGGGGGCGCGUCCCCUGUCUCCUGGACAGGGUGUGGGCUCCCUGGCAUAUUUCAGGACUUUUGGAGCUGUGCAGAAUAGGUUUCCAACGUUUGCUCCUUUUCUAGCCAGAAUUUCAGCUGCCGGCAUUCCCCCUCUUCAUGGUAAACCUUGUAAAAUAAGAGAGAAUAGCCAUAAGUAUUGAGAUAUAAUGUGUAAUAACAGCCCAUGAUGCAAUAAAUAUUGAUAUAAAAGCAUGAUGCAAAAUGGACGUAUCAACUCCCCCAAGCUUAGACCUCGCUUGUCCUCAAGCGGAAGCCGAAAUUGAAAAAUAUGUCCACAUGUUUAGAGAUAGAGGUGUCGAUAAAAAUAAAAUACGGACAUGAGGGCAUCAUGAUCAUUCUAAUAACAACUACAUACAUAAAUUUUGUCAUAUGAUUCUCUAUGCUCAAGCUACAAGCAAUUCAUAAUGUCAAGUAUGGUUCAAAAACUUCAUUGGGAACUAACAAACUAUGAUCUCAGUCAUUGAAGCAAUUGCAAUUUAUCGUAACAUCAGAAAGAGUCAAUAAUGGAGCUUUUCAGCAAGCUCACAUACUCAACUAUCUCUUAGUCUUCUACAAUUGCUAACACUCACACAGUACUUGUGGUUAUAGACUUUCAGCCGGACACUGAGAAAGAUAGGGACUUAUUGUGUUGCCUCCCAACGUAUUCACCUUUAGGUGAUGUCAACAAUAUUAGCCCAUGCUAACUUACAUCCAAUUGGAUAUAUAUAUCAUGAUCUUUCAAACACGAGGAGCUUGCCAAAGGAUAAAAUGAAAAAGGGACAGGUGAGGAUCACCUUGACUCAAGCAUAAAGUAAAAACAUAAAGUAAAAGAUAGGCCCUUCGCAGAGGGAAGCAGAGGUUGUCAUGUGCAUUUAGGGUUGAUGCACAAAAUCUUAAUGCAAAAGAACGUCACUUUAUAUUGCCCCUUGUAUGUGGACCUUUAUUAUGCAGUCCGUCGCUUUUAUUACUUCCACAACAAGUUCGUACAAAGCUUAUUUUCUCUGCACUAAUAAGUCAUACAUAUUUAGGUAGCAAUUUUAUCGCUUGCAACAUGACAACUUACUUGAAGGAUCUUACUCAAUCCAUAGGUAGGUAUGGUGGACUCUCAUGGCAAAACUGGGUUUAAGGGUAUUUGGAAGCACAAGUAGUAUCUCUACUUGGUGCAAGGAAUUUGGCUAGCAUGAGGGGGAAAGGCAAGCUCAAUAUGUUCGGAAGGUCAAUGACAAUAUACUUUAACUGAGAUGUCGGAAAACAUAGACCAUUACGUUGUCUUCCUUGUCCAACAUCAACUAUUUUAGCAUGUCAUACUUAAUGAGUGCUUCACAAUCAUAAAAGAUGUCCAAGAUAAUAUAUUUAUAUGUGAACCCCUCUUUCCUUAUCACUUCCUAUUAAUUGCAACGAUGACCAAGGCUACGUUCAUCAACUCUCAACAAUUUUUAUGCCUCAUACGUUCUAUGUGUGAAGUUAUCACUAUCCAUAAGAUCAAUAUGAACUUCAUUAUUCUUUCUACUUUCUCAAGAUCAUAGCAACAUAGCAAGGCCCUUGACUCGACACUAAUCUUUAUUAUAGAUAACUCACGGACUCGAUUACAAAAAGAGAUCACAAAGCAAAACUCGAAACUACUUGAUACCUAAAUUUCAAUCUACUAGAUCAAGAUACUACUAAAAGGAUCGAACUAAAUAAAACGGUAAAGAUAGGAGUGUGAUGGUGAUACGAUACCGGGGCACCUCCCCCCAAGCUUGGCAGUUGCCAAGGGGAGUGCCCAUAUCCAUGUGAUUAUGUCCUCAGAGGUGGUGAAGUAGGAGUUGUUGAUGAUGUAGGCUUGUCGUCCGUCUUCCAAGGCAUAGGCUCUCCAUCAUAAAAGGAUGAACGAGUCUUCGGGAUCCUUAAAUCUGCAGCCAAACUCAUUCGCUUGAAUCUAUAUUCAUACUCACAGUUCUGGUUUUGUAGGUCAUAGAUCUGGGAUUGGAGGUGCUCGAUUUUCUCUUGAAGCUUGAAGAUGGUCUCCCAAAUGACUUUAGCAUCUAGCUUGUGGUUGUUGGUGAACUCCGUGAUCAUCAUCUAGUUGGCGUUGAGUCCACGCUCCACCAUCCCUUGGCACUUGAAAACUUCCUGUUCCAUGGCUUCGAGCUUUGUCUCCAUGCUCCCGGUAUGCCUUGGUCCCUCCACAUCGCGGAUGUGCAGCACCCCCUCACGCAUCUCAAUGGUUUGAGGAUGAUGCAGCACCUCCGCGAGAUAGGGGUUGAUAACCCUCUCGAAAAACUUGUCCUUGGGAGCGCUUGGAGACGCCAUGAUGCUCUAGAUCUGAAACAGUAACAACUCGAAACGAAAACAGUGGAUAUUUGCGUGAUACGGUGGUCAAAACCUUCGGGAGUAUAUAUAAUGAAUUUUUAUCAACCAAAAUACAUAACGUGCAAGAAAACGGAGUCCGGGAGGCACACGAGGUGCCCACGAGACAGGGGGCGCACCCUACAAGGGGGGGUGCCCUCCACUCUCGUGCGGGCCUCGUGUCCCUUUCGGACUACUUCUUUCUUCCUAAAAUUCUUAAAUAAUCCAAAACUGAUAAAAAUUGCCAUUAGAGUUGUUUUGGAGUCGGUUUACUUACCGUACCACAUACCGAUACCUUUUCGGAGUCUGGAACGUUCUGGAAAGUGUCCCUUAUGUAUUCCUCGGGGGUUACUUUUUCAAUAAUAUUAGUUUCAACAUUGAUAGGAUUACCUGAAAUAUAAUGUUUAUUUCUUUGACCGUUUACCACCCUCGGAUUUGUGCCUUCGAAGUUGUUGAUUUUUAUAGCACCAGAAUGAUAGACCUCCUCGAUAACGUAGGGACCUUCCCAUUUUGAGAGAAGUUUUCCUGCAAAAAAAAUUAAACGAGAGUUGAAUAAUAACACAUAAUCUCCUACAUUAAACUCGCGCUUUUGUAUCCUCUUAUCAUGCCAGCGUUUGACUUUUUCUUUGAAUAGCUUGGCAUUCUCAUAUGCUUGGGUUCUCCAUUCAUCAAGUGAGCUAAUAUAAAACAACCUCUUCUCACCGGCAAGUUUGAAGUCAUAAUUGAGCUCUUUAAUAGCCCAAUAUGCCUUAUGUUCAAGUUCAAGAGGUAAAUGACACGCUUUUCCAUAAACCAUCUUAUAUGGAGACAUACCCAUAGGAUUUUUGUAUGCAGUUCUAUAGGCCCAUAAUGCAUCAUCAAGUUUUUUGGACCAAUUCUUUCUAGAUCUAUUCACAGUCUUUUGUAAAAUUAAUUUGAGCUCUCUAUUGCUCAACUCUACAUGACCACUAGACUGCGGAUGAUAAGGAGAUGCUAUUCUAUGAUUGACAUCAUACUUAGCAAGCAUCUUACGGAAAGCACCAUGAAUAAAAUGUGAACCACCAUCAGUCAUAAGAUAUCUAGGGACUCCAAACCUCGGAAAAAUAACUUCUUUAAGCAUUUUAAUAGAAGUGUUAUGAUCAACACUACUAGUUGGAAUAACUUCUACCCACUUAGUAACGUAAUCAACAACAACUAAAAUAUGUGUAUAACCAUUAGAGGCAGGAAAAGGUCCCAUAUAAUCAAAGCCCCAAACAUCAAACAAUUCAAUAACAAGAGAAUAAUUCUUAGGCAUUUCUUGACGUCUACUAAUGUUACCUAUUCUUUGACAUUCAUCACAAGAUAAGACAAACUUACAAGCAUCUUUAAAGAGAGUAGGCCAAUAAAAACCAAAUUGUAGUACCUCGUGUGCAGUUCUAUCUCCAGCGUGGUGUCCCCCAUAAGAUUCAGAGUGACACUUGCGUAGAAUCUGUUCCUGUUCAUGCUCAGGCACCCAACGUCUAAUAACACCAUCUACUCCUUUAUAAAGGUGUGGAUCAUCCCAGAAGUAAUGUCUUAAAUCAUAGAAGAACUUUUUCUUUUGCUGGUAUGUGAAACUAGGCGGUAUAUAUUUAGCAACAAUGUAACUAGCAUAAUCAGCAUACCAAGGAGCAGUACGAGAAGCAUUGACGACCGCUAAUUGUUCAUCAGGAAAGCUAUCAUUAAUAAGCAGUGGGUCAUCAAGAACAUUCUCUAACCUAGACAAGUUGUCUGCAACGGGGUUCUCAGCUCCCUUUCUAUCGAUAAUAUGCAAGUCAAAUUCUUGGAACAAGAGAACACAUCUAAUGAGUCUAGGCUUAGCAUCUUUAUUUUCCAUAAGAUAUUUAAUAGCAGCAUGAUCAGUGUGAAUAGUAACUUUGGAAUCAACAAUAUAAGGUCUAAACUUAUCACAUGCAAACACAACUGCUAAGAACUCUUUUUUAGUAGUAGCAUAAUUUCUCUGGGAAGUAUCAAGAGUCUUACUAGCAUACUGGAUAGCAUUCAAUUACUUAUCGACUCUUUGCCCUAAAACAACACCUACAUCAUAAUCACUAGCAUCGCACAUAAUUUCAAAAGGUAAAUUCCAAUCAGGCAGCUGAACAAUAGGUGCAGUGAUCAAAGCUUUCUUAAGUACUUCAAAUUCUUCUACACAAUCAUCACCAAAGAAAAGGAAUAUCUUUUUGCAAUAAAUUAGCCAGAGGCCUAGAGAUUUUAGAAAAGUCCUGAGUGAACCUCCUAUAAAAACCGGGGUGACCAAGGAAACUUCUUAUACCUUUUAUGUCCUUGGGACAUGGCAUCUUUUCAAUAGCAUCAUUGGCCUUAUCAACUUCGAUACUUCUCUCAGAGAUCUUGUGCCCCAAGACAAUGCCUUCAUUAACCAUAAAGUGACACUUUUCCCAAUUCAAGACGAGACUAGUGUCUUCGCAUCUCUGCAAAACUCGAUCAAGAUUGCUCAAACAAUCAUCAAAAGAGGAUCCAUAGACUGAGAAGUCAUCCAUGAAUACCUCACAAAUCUUUUCACAAAAAUCAGAGAAUAUAGCCAUCAUGCCUCUUUGAAAGGUUGCAGGUGUAUUACAUAAACCAAAAGGCAUAUGUCUAUAAGCAAAAGUACCAAAAGGGCAAGUAAAAGUAGUUUUAGAUUGAUCCUUCGCUGAUACAGGUAUCUGAGAGAAACCAGAAUAACCAUCUAGAAAGCAGAAAUGUGCGUGUUUGGAUAGUCUUUCUAGCAUUUGAUCAAUAAAAUGUAAAGCAUAAUGAUCUUUCUUAGUAGCUUUAUUUAACUUAAGGAAAUCAAUUACCAUCCUAUAACCUGUAAUAAUUCUUUGCGGGAUCAAUUCAUCUUUAUCAUUAGGAACAACGGUAAUACCUCCCUUUUUAGGAACACAAUGUACAGGGCUUACCCAUUCAGUAUUAGCAACGGGAUAAAUAAUACCUGCCUCAAGGAGUUUUAGUAUCUCCUUUCUUACCACUUCUUUCAUCUUGCGAUUUAAUCGUCUUUGAGGAUCUCUAACUGGUUUGGCAUCUUUCUCCACUGAAAUUUGGUGUUGACAUAAUGUGGGACUAAUGCCCUUAAGAUCAUCCAGAGUAUAGUCAAUAGUUGCUUGGUGCUUCUUCAGAGUUUUCAAUAAUCUUUCUUCUUCUUUCUCUGAAAUGUUAGCACUAAUAAUAACAGGAUAUAUUUCUUUUUCAUCAAGAUAAGCAUACUUAUGAUUAUCAAGUAAGGGUUUAAGUUCAAACACGGGAUCACCCUUGGGUGGAGGGGGAUCCCCAAGAAUUUCAACGGGAAGGUUAUGUUUCAGCAUAGGUUCCUGUUUAAGGAACACUUCAUCUAUUUCCUCCCUUUCCUUCAUAAACAUAUCGUUUUCAUGGUCUAGCAAAUAUUGUUCUAAAGGAUCAGUUGGAGGAACAGCAAUGGAAGCAAGACCAAUAAUUUCAUCCUUACUAGGUGGUUCCCUUUCACGAGGUUGUCUACUAAACUUAGCGAAAUUAAACUCAUGAGACAUACCAUCAAUGCCAACAGUGACAAUAUUCUUUUCACAAUUGAUCUUAGCACUAGCAGUAUUCAAGAAGGGUCAACCAAAAAUAAUGGGACAAAAAUCAUCUUGUGGGGAACCAAGAACAAGAAAACCAGCAGGGUAUUUAACCUUCCCACACAAAACUUCAACAUCUCUAACAAUCCCAAUAGGUUUAAUGGUAUCCCUAUUAGCAAGCUUAAUAGUAACAUCAAUGUCUUCUAAUUCAACAGGUGCAAUGUCAUGCAUAAUUUCUUUAUAUAAAUCAUAAGGUAUCGCACUAGCACUAGCACUCAUAUCACAUAAGCCAUGAUAACAAUGGUCUCCUAUUUUAACAGAAAUAACAGGCAUGCCUACGACAGGUCUACGUGUCUUAGUAUCAGGUCUAGCAAUAUUGGCAGUCUCACCCAAGAAAGAAAUAACAUGCCCAUCUAAAUCCUCAUCCAAGAGAUCUUUAACCAUAGGAAUACUAGGUUCAACAUUAAUUUGCUCAGGAGGUGUAUAAGUCCUAGUAUUACUCUUAUGAACAACAGUCGAAGCAUUAGCAUGAUCUUUUAUCCUAACAGGAAAAGGAGGUUUUUCAACAUAUGCGGUAGGAACAAUAGAAUCACUAUAGGUAAUAGUCUUUUCUUCGACUGUAAUAGGUGCAACUACUUUCACUUCAACAGGAGGAUUAUAUUUAAACCACUUCUCUUUAGGGAGAUCAACGUGAGUAGCAAAAGAUUAACAGAAAGUAGCUACUAUCUCAGAGUCAAGUCCAUACUUAGCGCUAAAUCCACGGAAAGCAUCGGUAUCCAUAAAGAUUUAACACAAUCAAACUUAGGUGGCAUACCUGACUCCUUACCAUCGUCGGAACCCCAAUCUUUAGAGUUGCGUUUAAUUCUUUCCAAUAAGUCCCAUUUGAAAUCAGUAGUCUUCAGCAUAUAAGAACUAGCACAGGAAGUAUCGAGCAGGUUGCGAUUAUCAAGAGAAAGCCGAGCAUAAAGGUUCUGAAUAAUCAUUUCCUGAGAGAGCUCAUGAUUGGGGCAUGAAUAUAACAUUGACUUAAGCCUCCCCCAAGCUUUAGCGAUGCUUUCUCCUUCGCGAGGCAAGAAAUUAUAUAUGUAAUUACGAUCAUGAUGAACAAGAUGCAUAGGAUAGAACUUUUGGUGAAAUUCCAACUUCAAUCGCUUAUAAUGCCAAGAUCCCAUAUCAUCACAUAGCCUAUACCAUGUCAAUGCAUCUCCCUUCAAAGAUAAAGGGAAGACCUUCCUUUUGACAACAUCAUCGGGAAUACCUGCAAGCUUAAAUAAUCCACAAACUUCAUCCACAAAGAUAAGGUGUAAAUCGGGAUGCAAUGUUCCGUCUCCUGCAAAUGGAUUAGCUAGCAGUUUUCUAUCAUACCCGAAGGAAUCUCAAAGUAAAUAUUUUCAUAAAGUUCAGUAGGUUGAGAAGCAACUCUUUGCUCUUCUGGUUGGGGUGAAGAUACCCCAAACAAGCCCCUCAAAGGAUUAGUUUCCAUAGUGACAAGUAACAGAAAAUCUCAGCACACUAUAUAAAUGUUUCUUUACCAAGUUCCACUCACCAAAAGCGCUACACUCCCCGGCAAUGGCGCCAGAAAAGAGUCUUGAUGACCCACAAGUGUAGGGGAUCUAUCGUAUUCCUUUCGAUAACUAAGAGUGUCGAACCCAACGAGGAGCAGAAGGAAAUGAUAAGCGGUUUUCAGUAAGGUUUUCUCUGCAAGCACUGAAACUGUAGGUGAUAGAUAGUUUUGUGAUAAGAUAAAUAGUAAAGAGUAACAAGUAAAUAAAGUAAAUAAAGUGCAGCAAUGUGGCCCAAUCCUUUAUGUAGCAAAGGAUAAGCCUGGACAAUUUCUAAUAGUGAUAAAGGAGCUCCCGAUGACACAUUGAGAAUUAUCGCCAAGCUAGUUUUCAUCACGUUCAUAUGAUUCGCGUUCGGUACUUUGAUAAUUUGAUAUGUGGGUGGACCGGUACUUGGGUACUGCCCUAACUUGGACAAGCAUCCCACUUAUGAUUAACCCUUAUUGCAAGCAUCUGCAACUACAAAAGAAGUAUUAAGGUAAACCUAACCACAACAUUAAACAUAUGGAUCCAUAUAAACCCCUAACGAAGCAACACAUAAACUAGGGUUUAAGCUUCUGUCACUCUAGCAACCCAUCAUCUACUUAUUACUUCCCCAUGCCUUCCUCUAGGCCCAAAUAAUGCCGAACUGUCAUGCAGUCGACGUUCACAUAACACCACUAGAGGAAAAGACAACAUACAUCUCAUCAAAAUAUCAAACGAAUACCAAAUUCACAUGACUACUAAUAGCAAGACUUCACCCAUGUCCUCAGGAACAAAUGUAACUACUCACAAAGCAUAUUCAUGUUCAUAAUCAGAGGAGUAAUAAUAUGCAUAAAGGAUCUGAACAUAUGAUCUUCCACCAAGUAAACCAAUUAGCAUCAACUACAAGGAGUAAUCAACACUACUAGCAACCCACAGGUACCAAUUUGUGGUUUUGAUACAAGAUUGGAUAUAAGAGAUGAACUAGGGUUUUGGGAGGAGAUGGUGCUGGUGAAGAUGUUGAUGGAGAUUGACUCCCUCCCGAUGAGAGGAUCGUUGGUGAUGACGUUGGUGAUGAUUUCCCCCUCCCGGAGGGAAGUGUCCCCGGCAGAACAGCUCUACCAGAGCCCUAGAUUGAUUCCGCCAAGGUUCCGCCUCGUGGCGGCGGAGUUUUGUCCCGUAAGAUUGCCCACGAUUUUUUCCAGGGUAAAAUUGAUGAUAUAGCAGAAGAUAGAUGCCGGAGGCCCAAUAGGGGGCCCAGAAGAUAGGAGGUGCGCCCUAUAGGGGGGGCGCCCCCCUAUCUCCUGGACAGGGUGUGGCCCCCCUGGCAUAUUUCUUUCGCUCAGAAAUUCUUAUUAAUUCCAAAAAGUUGUUUCGUGGAGUUUCAGGACUUUUGGAGCUGUGCAGAAUAGGUUUCCAAUGUUUGCUCCUUUUCCAGCCAGAAUUCCAACUGUCGGCAUUCCCCCUCUUCAUGGUAAACCUUGUAAAAUAAGAGAGAAUAGCCAUUAGUAUUGAGAUAUAAUAUGUAAUAACAGCCCAUAAUGCAAUAAAUAUUGAUAUAAAAGCAUGAUGCAAAAUGGACGUAUCAGUUACCCGUGACCACGUCCGAAUCUGCAUUCACUUGUGUCGCAUCCAUGUGUUUCAGGUGGUAUGGUACACGUGCUAGACCACUAGGACCACGUCCGCGGCUAGCCACAGGCGCAUUCGCACGUACUUGUGCUGAAUUAGCCUGAUGCUUGUUUUGAGGUGGGACAGUUCCACUCGUGCCAGGUUGUGGUUGACUCUUACUCAGGCAUUUGUUUUGUAGUGACCCUUUUGUCCACAACCAAAAUAGACAACACUCGCCUUUGGGCAAUCUCGAGCGAUGUGUGGUCCACCACACACAUGACACUUGAUAGGGGCUUUAGGAGGCAUAAAGGGUGGUCUAGGGGCUUGAGGGAGAGGAGGACAGAUGGGUCCGGCCAUUGGUGGGCGGACUAGGCCAACAGAGUUGUAUCCACUCCUCAUGAGGAACCUCUGGUCCAUUCUAGAUUUCUUUCUCCAUUCUUCCUCUAUGGCUAAUUGCCGAUUCUCAAUAAUAAUGACUCGAUCUACUAGCUCCCGAAACUUAGUUAUAUUUAUAGGGGCUAUGAUCAGCUGUAUGGAUGGCUUCAAUCCUUCUAUGAACUGGUACACCCUUUUGGUCUCAGUGUUUGUGUCUUCUGAUGCAUAGCGGGAUAGUGAGUUAAACUCAUCUAGGUACUCUGCGAUGGUUUUAGACCCUUGUUUAAGGCUUAGGAAUUCCUUACUUUUUAGUUCCAUCGCACUUUGCGGGACAUAGUUAUCUCGGAAUCUCCUCUUAAAUUCCUCCCAAGUAACUAUGUGGUUUUCGGGUAUGAUAAUUUGGACAUUUCUCCACCAUGUGGCAGCAGGACCAAUUAACCGAUGGGAUGCAUACCGAACUUUUUCUUGAUCCGUGCAUCCCACAGUGUUAAGUUUCAGCUCUAUGUCCAUCAACCAAUCCUCUGCGGCUAAUGGAUUGUGGCGGUUGAAAAGGUUGGUGGUCUAGUCUUUUGGAAGUCUCCAAUCGUGACACCUUGUUCUGGGUUUUUAGUCAGUUGGCCUCUCGUCAUACUGAACAUCUGCUCCAUGAACUUAUUCUGGUGUUCUAGAGAGUCUCGAUGAGACUGCUCCAUCCACUGAUACAUUAGAGCAAGUUGAUCGGAUCCAGGGGCAUGAUGGGGUAAUGGUGGAGGUGGAGGUAACGUCACUCUAGAUAGCAAAUCUGCCAUGUUCCUUAGCCACUCGGGUGCUAAAUCUGAUGGGUUCCCAUUGUCUUCGAAUGACUGACUACCAGAUGCCAUCGCUACCGAUCUGGUGGGCAAGGCAUAGGUUAUAACGAUAGCUACUACAUGUGAAAACAUUUUAUUUAUUUGAUUAGAGGUGAGAUUUUAGCCCACACAGUACACUUCACGCUUCCUUUUUUGGAGCAUCUAUUUAAACAGUGCACUUAACAGCGACAUACUAGAAAAUUUUGCGAAACAUUUUUUUACUUGUUGUUGGCCGAAGAAUAAAAGCAGUCAAACAAAGUGAUUCUUUUUAUCAUGACAGAGGCAAGAGAUUAAUCACAAUUCAAAAAUAGAGCCACUUGCACAUGCACAUGCACACACAAGUUCUCCACGUACCGGAUUAAAAGCAUUCAAUCAUCAAGUGUGUGACAUACAUCAAUUGAACUCAUGAAGUGCUAGGAAAAAUGUAGCAGCAUCAGCACAUAAUAUAUAUACUAGCCCAACACGUGAUGUACCAAGGCAUGGACUUGAAUGAAGAGAUCACCCGAAAAAAUCUACCAUACAUCAGACGCCAUUAUGAAGCAUUGGCAACAACAUGGCAACAACAUCACAUACAGUAUUCCAUCAUACAGAGCAAGGAGCAUAAAAAGAACCAGAAUUUAAAAUGACAUGGCAUAUGCGUCACACAAGAUCACCUAGUAGUAGAAUAUCAGUACAUCCAUAAGUCCACCAGUCCACAUGAAUACAUCACAUAACAUAAUCGCAACACCACACAUGACUAUUUGUCGUACCAUCAGGUUACCAUCACUAUCUAUAUAUGUACCUAGAAAAAAAGUAUAUACGUCUCCCUAUCUGCCUGUCGGGACCAAUCUGGGUAAAUAUGGCUGUGUAAACUCUAGAAGGGUAGCUAUGUCUACAAGACCUUUCUAAUUAUGUACAAAAUCCAAAAGGAUAGCCUCCAUGCAUCUGCCUAAACAUCUAAUAAGUGGUGGAACUAACUCUGCGAGGAGUAACUAUCUAGCAUGAUGCCACAACCUUGCUAGAAAACUAACUACUACUACUAAUAGUACGAAGUCAAUCCUCCCUGAUGAGAAGACUAGGUGAAAUGGUGAGGAGCAAGUCGGGGUUGAGGACAGAAGUCGGUGAAGGUAUAGACUGACUGGGUGUGGUGCCUCUGAAGAGUGCCUACUUGGUCUAACAGGUCCUGAACAAGCUGAGGUGUAGGUGGACACCCGUACGGUGUAGAGGGACGAGACACUGCUCGAGCGGGGGAACCCCUAAAAACUCUAGGAGUUGGGCAGUCUGCACGAGUGGGUGGAACUGCUGGGUACAAAUGAGGAAGAGCGGCAGUCAGAGUUAGUGGUGGUAAAAACGUGAGAGGUAAAACAGGAGGAUGUGGUGGAAGUGGAAGGAAAGCAGAAGUGGACGCAAAAAGGUGAAGGAGCGACAGUGGGUGGAGGUGCUGACGAAUUCCCUGAUUACUCUUAUUGAUGAGCCAAUUGCCUCUACCACGCAAACAAGGAGAAGGUGGCAGGCAUAGAAAAUAUGUAAAGUGGCAUUCCAUGCCGCACCCUAAAGUGCUGAAGCAAAGUUGUAUUGUGCGACACUAUGCCUAGAUGGGACAUCUAAGCCCUCGGGUAUGUGCACUGUGACUAAGUACCCUGUGGAAUGAUACGUCUCUAAAGUAUCUAUAAUUUUUGAUUGUUCCAUGCUAUUACAUUACCCCUUUUGGAUGUUUAUGGGCUUUAUUUUACACAUUUAUAUCAUUUUUUGGGACUAACCUACUAACCGGAGGCCCAUCCCAUAUUGCUGUUUUUUGCCUAUUUCAGUAUUUCGAAGAAAAGGAAUAUCAAACGGAGUCCAAACGGAAUGAAACCUUCGGCAACAUGAUUUUUUGGAAGAAUAUGAUCCUGGAGACUUCGAGUCCAUGUCAGAAGAUCCUCGAGGGGGCCACGAGAUAGGAGGUCGCGCCCCCCUUGCAGGGUGGUGGCCUCCUGUCUCGUGGGCCCCUUGAGCACCUCCCGACCGACUUCUUUUGCCUAUAUAAGCCUACGUACCCUAAAACCAUCAAAAAUCAAGAUAGAUUGGGAGUUCCGCCGCCGCAAGCCUCUGUAGCCACCAAAAACCUCUCGGGAGCCUAUUCCGGCACCCUGCCGGAGGGGGAAUCCAUCACCGGUGGCCAUCUUUAACAUCCCAGCGCUCUCCAUGACGAGGAGGGAGUAGUUCACCCUCGGGGCUGAGGGUAUGUACCAGUAGCUAUGUGUUUGAUCUCUCUCUCUCGUGUUCCCUCUAUGGCACGAUCUUGAUGUAUCCCGAGCUUUGCUAUUGUAGUUGGAUCUUAUGAUGUUUCUCCCCCUCUACUCUCUUGUGAUGAAUUGAGUUUCCCUCUUGAAGUUAUCUUAUCGGAUUGAGUCAUUUAUUUGAGAACACUUGAUGUAUGUAUUGCCGUGUUUAUCUGUGAUGGCAAUGGGAUAUCACGUGCCUCUUGAUGUAUGUUUUGGUGACCAACUUGCGGGUUCCGCCCAUGAACCUAUGCAUAGGGGUUGGCACACGUUCUUGACUCUCCGGUAGAAACUUUGGGGCACUCUUUGAAGUACUUUGUGUUGGUUGAAUUGAUGAAUCUGAGAUUGUGUGAUGCAUAUCGUAUAAUCAUGCCCACGGAUACUUGAGGUGACAAUGGAGUAUCUAGGUGACAUUAGGGUUUUGGUUGAUUUGUGUCUUAAGGUGUUAUUCUAGUAUGAACUCUUGAAUAGAUUGAUCUGAAAGAAUAACUUUGAGGUGGUUUCGUACCCUACCAUAAUCUCUUUGUUUGUUCUGCGCUAUUAGUGGCUUUGGAGUGACUCUUUGUUGCAUGUUGAGGGAUUUUUAUAUGAUCUAUCUAUGUUAUUAUUGUUGAGAGAACUUGCACUAGUGAAAGUAUGAACCCUAGGCCUUGUUUUCUAUCAUUGCAAUACCGUUUACACUCACUUUUAUCAUUAGUUACCUUGCUGUUUUUAUAUUUUCAGAUUAGAAAUACCUAUAUCUACCAUCCAUAUUGCACUUGUAUCACCAUCUCUUCGCCGAACUAGUGCACCUAUACAAUCUACCAUUGUAUUCAGUGUGUUGGGGACACAAGAGACUCUUUAUUAUUUGGUUGCAGGGUUGUUUGAAAGAGACCAUAUUCAUCCUACGCCUCCUACGGAUUGAUAAAUCUUAGGUCAUCCACUUGAGGAAAAUUUUCUACUGUCCUACAAACCUGUGCACUUGCAGGCCCAACAACGUCUACAAGAAGAAGGUUGUGUAGUAGACAUCAAGCUCUUUUCUGGCGCCGUUGCCAGGGAGGUUAGCGCUUGAAGGUAUAUCUUUAGAUCUUACAAUCGAAUCUUUUUGUUUCUUGUUUUAUCACUAGUUUAGUUUAUAAAAGAAAACUACAAAAAAAUGGAGUUAAGUUUGUCUCAUAUUAUCUUUUUAAUAUCUUUCGUGAGCAUGAUGGAAAGGAAAAUUGUGCUCAAGUGCUAGAAGAAGAAUGCAUUAAAAUGCUUGGUAGUAAAUCUUUGAAUGAUGAGCAUGAUUGCAAUGUUGUUAGUAUGAAUUCCUUGAAUAUCCAUGAUGCUAAUGAUAUGUAAAGCCACAAGCUUGGGGAAGAUAUGUUUGAUGAAUAUGAUAUAUUUUGUCCCCCAAGCUUUGAUGAGCAAAUUUAUUUUGAUGAUAGCAUGCCUCCUAUUUAUGAUGAUUAUAUUGAUGAAAGUGGGUUUGGAAGAGUGUCAACUUUAGGAAGUAGUGAUCCCACUAUUUUGGAGGAUGUUGAAUCUUAUUAUGAUGAACAUGAAAGUGGAUUUGGAAGAGUGUAAACUUUAUUUAGUGAUGAAUCCACUAUUUCGGAAGAGGUUCCAAUUGAUUAUGAGAAUAAAGUUGCUAUCUAUGAUGAUUAUUGUGAUAACUUGUUGUCAGGACCCCGACUCAAUGCCACAUCGAUCUAGCAUGUAACACCUCAUAUCACUUUGCGGCCUCACGCACGGUAUUCCCACGGGUGUCGCCUUACCUUUGCCCGGGACCGUUUGCGCCUUUUGGCACACGUAUAUGACAGUGUCGCUAGCAUCCAUAUGAUAAGGAGCCCGGGCUGACAUGGCUAGUCGUAAACCCAAAGUGGCACAAACUUACAGGGACAGGCAUCCAUGACCCAGCAUCGAACGUGUUGGUCAUCAGCGAGUGAAUCCAGGCUGUAGCACUGGGCUAGCAGGACUCUGGUGAACCGGGCUGUAGCGGGCUAACAGGACUCCGGUAUUCAUCGCGUGACAUUUCCCCGAAGGGACAGACACAGGAACGAAGAAGGACACAUGCCGGCCAGCCUAAGUGUUCCGGAGCAGUAGCAAGCUACCAUGGCUUGGUGGAAACACUAGGAGACAUUUCCCGGUAAGAGAGGCUACUAAAGAUAAACAACUAGAUAGUCAGAUCCCACACAUACCAAGCAUUUCAAUAACAUACACACAAUAUGCUCGAUAUGUGCAAUACAACAUGGCAUCACGAAAUGACUCUACGACUCAGUAGUUUUUAUUCAAUAGGCUCCGAGGAGCGAGAUAUUACAAUCAUGGGUCUCAUGACCCAACAAUCAGAGCAUACAAGUCAAAGCACAAGCGGAAGCUCAACAUGUCUGAGUACAGACAUCUACAAAUGGAAAAGGCUGAGAAGCCUGACUAUCUACCAGAUCCUGCCGAGGGCACAAGAUCGUAGCUGAGGUAACAAGCUAAACGCCGAAGUCCACGUGGAACUACUAGUGAGACUGAAGUCUCUCUGCAAAAACAUAAAUUAAGCAACGUGAGUACAAAUGUACCCAGCAAGACUUACAUCAGAUCUAUCUACAUAUGCAUCAUUAUCAACAAAGGGGAUGGUGGGGUUUAACUGCAGCAAGCCAGCUUUGACUCGGUGGCUAUCCUGAACUACAACUGCAAUGUAACUCUUUUGAGGUGGCGCACACGAGUCCACAUAUUCACCAUAUCAAUACACCACUAUGGAUCCGCUCCCAUCUCCCUACGAGAACGCCAUCCAUAGCACUCACGCUUAUCUUGCGUAUUUUAGAGCAUCCACUUUCACUUGUCUAUGAACUAUGCAAGGGGUCCAAGUUUCCAUAUCCGAGGAAUCCGGCUAUUCGAAUAGAUAAUGAUAACCCUGCAGGGGUGUACUUCUUCACACACGCUCCCGCCACUUACCGCCCUGUACACAUCAUGUACCUCGGCAACCUUCAAGCGGAAGCCGGGCGAGGGAGUCGGCCACGACCUGACUAACCGAACAAGUCUCUAGUCCAGGUUUAUCGCCUAUUCGGGUUCCAUCCGCAAGGAGAUCCGGCCGGGGUGUCGCUUACGGCCCCAAACGAUGUGUGCAGGGUUCCCAAGCCCACCAACCGGGUGCCACUUGGUACACCGGGCCACUGUGCCUAGUCUGUCCCAAGCCCACCUGUACCGGGUGCCACUUGGUAGACUACUAACACUACCUACAAACACCAGAAACUAGUUGCAACUCCUGGACAGAGAUCAAGUUGAUUAAUAAGCCGAGAGGGGCACUUAAGCAUUCCAAUGUGUGGUAGUAGCUGGUCAUGGAUCACAAACACAGAACUCAGUUCCUGAGGACGGCUGCAAUGAGACAACCCACCAUGUACUCCUACAUGGCCUCUCACCGCUACCUUUACCAAAUCGUGUUCACACACUUAGCUCACACACAGCAGGACAUGUUCACACGCCUCUGAUUCAUCCCCGAUGAAUCAGACCUGACUCAACUCUAAGCAGUAGCAGGCAUGACAAACAAGCAUGAAUGAGUAGGCACAUCAGGGCUCAAACAACUCCUACUCAUGCUGGUGGGUUUCAUCUAUUUACUGUGGCAAUGACAGGUCAUGCAAAGGAUAAAGGGUUCAGCUACCGCAGCAAGUAUCAAAUAUGUCGUUGUUGUCCUAAUGCAGUAAAAGAGAGCAGGAGCGAGAGAGUGGGAUUUUAUCGGAAUGAACAAGGGGGUUUUGCUUGCCUGGCACUUCUGAAGAUAACAUUGAGUCUUCAUCAGUGUCAACGAUCACGUCAUCGGUAAUUAAUCUACCAAACCAUAGUAUACCUUGCACAUGCAUGACUGACUUGGGACGAUUCCACAGGAAGAAAAACUAACUUUCUCGAACCCACGGCGGCAACUUACGUCAAAUGCACGUGAAUCAAAGAAAGUCACUUCUCUCAUCCAGCAUAUACUUCAUGAACGGGGCAUGAAGAAAUUGCCUAUAAAAGUUUCCAACACUAGGUUGAUGUUCAACAUGAAUCAUGGGGGAGACAAAAUGCUGCUGAUGGCCUCAACAACAACUCAUCGGAAUUUCCAUAUCACUGGACUUCCACCAUCAUGUGAACACGGUGAUAGCAUUGGUCAGACCCAAAAGAUAUAACGGUGUAUGCUCGAGGGAUCAACCACGAGUAGGACAACAUUACGAACAUCGUUGGUUCUAUCUUGAUUUGACGAUAGCCCACACUCAAAUCAAAGGAUUGAUAAGACAAUAGGUCCAGCAACUGAUCACAGGGACCAAUCGAUGAAGAUAUCAUCUUUCUUCAACACACACUACACAAGAAUAUCCCUUUGGAACGAACUAAGUCAGACAAGCUUUUAUCUUCCAACUCUCCAAGUUGUUGUCUAGCUUAACCAACUAGCUCAGGGAUAUCUAACACCGAUUCUUGGAGAGAAGGUGGUUCAUAAGAAACCAAUUGAUCACGAGCUCAACAUAACGGUCAGGUGACGACCUGGUGAUACUUCCGAGAAGACAUUCAGAAAAUCACGAACCACCGGUAUGUUACUAAGCUCGAGAACAAUCUCGCUUUUGAGGGCAAGACGAUAUGAUCAAAUGAGUAAGGAUUGGCACUAUCCUAACUCACUGAUCGGAGAGUGCACCAGAAAUAAGGACUAGGUAGCACAAUCAACCUUAGGGUGACGAUUCAAUAAUCAACACGCUAAGAAUGAGGUUAUCGUCCAUUUAACUACCAAGCAAUGGAGUUGCUAGCAGUAUUGAUUUCACACGCCAUGAUUCAUUUGUCGGCAUUCCGGUUACAAUAACACGGAAACCAAGAAAUUAUCAAUGAUGAUCAGAAGUAUUACUGCGUCAAGAAUUCAUAAGAUGGUGUGCAAUUCCCAUGAUAUUUCUGAUAUAAAGAUGGUAAUACUUCAAGGUAGAACAGACCAGAAGCUAGAUUGGCAUUUUGAUCUGCGGAGCACAACUUCUUUGACCCAAUCCUGGAUAUGGAAGAGGUACUAGAGUUUGUUUCUCCUAGUCAUUCUGCGAUAGAAUGGCUUGACGGACCACAAGAGUAAUAGGCAUCGAUAGACGAACGCACGCAUACUCUUGACAAUCAAUUGAUAGACGAGGGUCAGAAUGCAACUAAAGAGAGCAACUCAAAGGAACAUGCGAUUUUCUGAGUUGUGGAUGCAUGGUUUAGCAUGUCGAACGAAUUCCACAUAUUUCUUCCGGAUAACCCAUGCAGAAAGGUAGAACUGGCAGAGUCACAAUGUAGAAUCGAGAACCCAUCGAGAGCACUCUGAAUGUGAUCUUUCGAUCAGCGAGGAACAUCUGCCAUAAGCGGUUCAUAGUAUUUGGAAGAAAAGAAUACCACGAACAUCGAGGACUAAUGCAAAAGGUUACCAAUAUCCUGAAGGAACUAGCAAAUACUAUCAACAUGAAGUAAAUAGGGUGAAUCUCGGGUUCAAGAACCCAGGGAUAGAAUACCUACUACUAAGUAGCAUCACGGGAUGCUUUCGAGAAUGAUGGCCAGAAUCAUCACACUGGGAACACAAAUCAUGGCUAAAUUACUAGAUGACUCCCUAAAUACCUAGGGUCAUAAUAGUAACUCCAACAUAAAUGUCAAGGCAACAGAGUACCUCAACUCACUGAUUAGUGUGGUUAAUCUGGCCCAAAGGAACAUUGAAACGGAAGGAAAGAAUCUACAAGUGCAUCAGACUGUUUAGAAACCUGGAAUGACUCGGACAGCAUAACGGCUGUAAAUGCUCAGAAAAGAUUUGAGACAUUCACAAAAAUGGUGGCAUAACCACUCAGAAGCACAAUAUCAAGGUUUCGAGACCAACAAUUAACAUACAGAAGUAGUAAGAACUGAACUGAGACUUAAAUCCAACAAUCUAUAAGUCUACGGAUUAGUAACACGUGAUCCUGAUAGAAAGAAAAGAUAGCCUAGUUCUUAAUCCCCGCAGGAAAGAUAAGAUGACUCAGAUCAGAAGGCAUAAGGUAUAGGCAGUAAAAAGAGCCUUACGUUCCAUCCCACAAUCAAUUCCCUUAUAUAACUAAAGAAUUUCUAGACUCAACUUCGACCAGUUUGGCUUGGUAAACCUACAGGCAGUCAAGCUCUGAUACCAACGCUGUCAGGACCCCGACUCGAUGUCACAUCGAUCUAGCCGGUAACACCUCAUAUCACUUUGCGGCCUCACGCACGGUAUCCCCACGGUGUCGCCUUACCUUUGCCCGGGACCGUUUGCGCCUUUUGGCUCACGUAUAUGAUAGUGUCGCUAGCAUCCAUAUGAUAAGGAGCCCGGGCUGACAUGACUAGUCGUAAACCCAAAGUGGCACAGACUUACAGGGACAUGCAUUCAUGACCCAGCUUCGAACGUGUCGGUCAUCAGCAAGUGGGUCCGGGCUGUAGCACUGGGCUAGCAGGACUCCAGUAAACCGGGCUGUAGCGGGCUAACAGGACUCCGGUACUCAAAGCGUGACAUUUCCCCGAAGGGACAGACACAGGAACGAAGAAGGACACAUGCCGGCCAGCCUAAGUGUUCCAGAGCAGUAGCAAGCUACCAUGGCUCAGCGGUAACACUAGGAGACAUUUCCCGGUAAGAGAGGCUACUAAAGAUAAACAACUAGAUAGUCAGAUCCCACACAUACCAAGCAUUUCAACAACAUACACACAAUAUGCUCGAUAUGUGCAGAUACAACAUGGCAUCACAACAUGACUCUACAACUCAAGUAAUUUAAUCAAUAGGCUCCGAGGAGCGAGAUAUACAAACAUGGGUCUCAUGACCCAACAAUCAGAGCAUACAAGUCAAAGCACAAGCGGAAGCUAUCAUGUCUGGGUACAGACAUCUAUAAAUGAAAAAAGGCCGAGAAGCCUGACUAUCUAUCAGAUCCUGCCGAGGGCACAAGAUCGUAGCUGAGGUAACAAGCUAAACGUCGAAGUCCAAGCGGAACUACUAGUGAGACUGAAGUCUCUCUGCAAAAACAUAAAAUAGGCAAACGUGAGUACAAAUGUACCCAGCAAGACUUACAUCAGAUCUAUCUACAUAUGCAUCAUUAUCAACAAGGGGGUGGUGGAGUUUAACUGCAGCAAGCCAGCUUUGACUCGGUGGCUAUCCUGAACUACGACUGCAAGUAACUCUUUUGAGGUGGCGCACACGAGUCCACAUAUUCACCAUAUCAAUACACCACUAUGGAUCCGCUCCCGUCUCCCUACGAGAACGCCAUCCAUAGCACUCACGCUUAUCUUGCGUAUUUUAGAGUAUCCACUUACACUUGUCUAUGAACUAUGCAAGGGGUCCAAGUUUCCAUAUCCGAGGAAUCCGGCUAUUCGAAUAGAUGAUGUUAACCCUGCAGGGGUGUACUUCUUCACACACGCUCUCGCCACUUACCGCCCUGUACACGUCAUGUACCUCGGCAACCUUCAAGCGGAAGCCGGGCGAGGGAGUCGGCCACGACCUGACUAACCGAACAAGUCUCUAGUCCAGGUUUAUCGCCUAUUCGGGUUCCAUCCGCAAGGAGAUCCGGCCGGGGUGUCGCUCACGGCCCCAAACGAUGUGAGCAGGGUUCCCAAGCCCACCAUCCGGGUGCCACUUGGUACACCGUGCCAUUGUGCCUAGUCUGUCCCAAGCCCACCUGUACCGGGUGCCACUUGGUAGACUACUAACACUACCUACAAACACCAGAAACUAGUUGCAACUCCUGGACAGAGAUCAUGUUGAUUAAUAAGUCGAGAGGGGUCGAGUUACCGGAACCCAAUGUGUGGUAGUAACUGGUCAUGGAUCACAAACACAGAACUCAGUUCCUGAGGACGGCUGCAAUGAGACAACCCACCAUGUACUCCUACAUGGCCUCUCACCGCUACCUUUACCAAAUCGUGUUCACACACUUAGCUCUCAACGGUAGGACAUGUUCACACACCUCUGGUUCAUCCCCGAUGAAUCAGACCCGACUCAACUCUAAGCAGUAGCAGGCAUGACAAACAAACAUGAAUGAGUAGGCACAACAGGGCUCAAACAACUCCUACUCAUGCUAGUGGGUUUCAUCUAUUUACUGUGGCAAUGACAGGUCAUGCAAAGGAUAAAGGGGUUCAGCUACCGCAACAAGUAACAUAUGAAUUGUUGUUGUCCUAAUGCAGUAAAAGAGAGCAGGAGCGAGAGAGUGGGAUUUUAUCGGAAUGAACAAGGGGGUUUUGCUUGCCUGGCACUUCUGAAGAUAAUAUAGCUCUUCAUCAGUGUCAACGAUCACAUCAUCGGUACAUCGUCUACCGAGGGGGAACAACACCGGCAAACAUAGAAGAAACACGAUCAAUGCAAUGCACAAUAUGAUGCAUGCUAUGACAUGGCAAUAUGAAUGUGUUUUGGGCUAAUGCAUCUAGCAACAGGUUAAAUGAAGUUGGUUUGAAUACAAGAUUCAAAUUCAAACUCCAUAUGUAAUUAUUCAAAUGCCAUUUAAUUGAUUUGUGCUAAACAGCAGCUAUAAGUUGUUCUAACAUGCAUGGAAAUGGUACAGAUGGAUUCCUUGAAUUUUUCUGAUAAUUUUUCAUAUAUAAAUUAUUUAAUUUGGAGUUACGGUUAAUUUUCUAUGAUUUAUUGUUAGCUAUUUCUGGAAUUUCCUGAUUUUUAUAAAAUAAACUAAAUUCCAGAAAAGGAAUAUUGCGUCAGCAUGACCUCACCCUGACGUCAUCAGGUCAACAGGGCGGGUCCAGGUCAAACCUGACGUGUGGGGGCCACACGUCAGUGUCACAGGGCUGCUUAGCUCACUGACAGGUGGGACCAAGUCAACGGCCACGUCAGCUUGGUCAAAGCUGACGUGUGGGCCCACGGUGGUUAGGUUAAAACUUAACAGAAAAUAAUGAAAAUUAAAUAAGGGCGUGGGGCCCAUACGUCAGUGACCCAGAGGGUUGGUUAGUGGUGUGUUUAGGCCCUAAUCACGACCACGUUAGCGGUCGACGCCGGCGACCAAAAGCACGGCGGUGGCUCGCCGGAGAUGCUCGGGGACGGAGCUACGGAGCAUCGUUUCGCUCGUGGUUUGCAGCUAUGGGACGCUGGCAGUGAGGCGCAUCCGGUGGUGGCCGCAUGGUGUGCUGGGGGUGUGUGUAACAGCGGCGGCGGCGAGCCGGGCGGCCGCCGGAGUUCGGGAAUCCAGGCUUUGGGCGUUACGGGGCACGGCGGGCGCGGCCGAUGGGCUCUACGGGUUGCUGGGGUCACCAGGAACACUCGGAGGCAACGAGCGCAGGUGGAGGAGCUCGGGAGCACGAAGCUCACCGUCCAUGGCGGCGGCCGGAGCUCGGGUUCGGCGGGGCAGCUAGCUAGGGGACGAAAUCAAGUGCGCGGAGUGAGGGGAAGAGAGGAGGAGCUCACGGGGAGUCGGACGAGAUGCUAAGUGGGCUCGGGGACGUCCUGUCGGCGGCGAAUCGACGUCGGCGGCGACCGGCUUCUGAGAAGGAAAAAGAUGAGGCCGUCGGCGAUGCAGGCCGUCCCAGCGCUUGGGGCCAGGUUGGGGCGAAGCGGCGAUCGAUGGCGGGGCUUCGGGUCAUGUAGGAGAGGCGAGGGGGAGAUGGUGGCCGUGGUGGAGCUCGUCGGUGGUGGCGGCUCCGUUCGGGUGAGCUCAGGGAAGAGAGCCAGGGGAGGAGAGAGGGAGCAGCGAGAGAGGAAGAGGAGCGAGGGGACACGGGGCGUCGUCGUGGCGUCGUUAGGGAGGCCGGGGGAAGCAGGAGGUGGCCGAGGCGGCGUCGGCGCUCGCCACCGAGCUGCUUCGGUGCGAGGGGAGGAAGACGACAGGGGGUUAGCGGUGGCGGGCUGGGCCGCCAGCUGGAGUUGGGCCAGGCAGGUAAGUCAGGUAAGUGGCUGGGCUUCUCUUUUUUUUAAAUUUCUGUUCUGUUUUGUUUUUCAAUUUAUUUUGCCACUGUUUUGAAUUUAAAAAUAAUUCAAACAAUGCCAAAAUCUCCUCUGAAUAUUUUUAUUUUGCUAGAUGGACUUUUCCAAAAGCUCAUAAAAUAUUUCAGGGAUAUUUGAAAUUAUAUUCUAAUUAUAUGAAUAUAAUUCAAAUUCAAAUAGCUAAUGAAUUAAAUUCAAAGUCCCAAAAAUAAAUCCUUAAAAAUGUUCAAUAUUUUGGUUGGGACCAGAACCCUUGCCAAAAAUUAUCAAACAUUUAAGAAGAGCAUUUUGGAACAAUGAAUGAGAUUUUUAGGGUUUUUGCCCUUCUUUUAAUUAAGUUUUUGAGGCUUUCAAAAUUCCUCAAUUCAAGUUUCAAAAAUAUAGACAUGAUGCACAGAUGGAAGCAAGCCUAGGUCAGGCCAGGACUAGGGAUGUGACAACUCACCCCCACUAAACAAGAAUCUCGUCUCGAGAUUCAAGCGUAGGGUAAGAUGAAGGGGAAACACAAACUAGUAUAAUCUUCACGAUCCAGGUUGCACUUCAAAUGAACGUUGAUUCGUUCACCAUCAUUGUCUUGAUGUCUUGCUCCGAGAAUUCCAGCUAACAUGACGAGAAGAGGAAAGGAAAACCUAGAAGAAUCUAUCUUCUCGAAGAUCAAUCAACUUAGGAUCAGCUCACAAAGUGAGUCAUAGCAACAUCUCUUGAGCUGAGACACGAAGCAUACAUCUGAGGAAAUGGAGUGAGACAGAUGACGAGGGCUCACUAAGUAGACAACAAUUUCACACCUAAAAAGGUGGUAAACGAUUGUCAACGUAGCGAGGAGUUGAGUUGCCAUGAUACCACAACGAACACCUUAGGAACCGUGACUCGUAGAUAUAUCCCCUUAAGUGGCAAAAAGAAUUACCUUUGAUAUAGAGAUCAUUGAGACUCUCUAUAUCAGCCUAAGGCAAAUCACAGCAAUCGAUUGGCGGGGGUCGGUAGAAUGGCAUACUCGGACUUGGAUGAUGUGGAUUACCUUGUUGAAGACAACGUAAUGGAUGAAUUUGCUUACCACCGGAAAUGGAAGAGACCCAUGGUAGAAUGGCACAUUGGCGGUGCAAGCUGGGAACAAAAUGCAAAUGCUGGGAAUGAUUCUGGUAACUGGGGAAGAACCCAACAAUAGAGAGUGCAUUCACUGUUUGAAAAGGUCAUAGCAUAACCGAGGAAGCUGAGAGCAAACCCAGUUAGUGCCGAUGAUAACACCUAGCGCUUGCGCGUGCUCUCAAGAACUUGAGCCUUUCCACAAUCAUCAAGUUUUUAUCAACAUCCGUGUCAAGGGUGCUGACAACACAACAUACUACCAUGAUGGCUAAUGAUGGAUGAUGCAGAUGCAAAGGAAGAUAACACUUUCUCAGAUUUCACCUUAGCGAGGCCAAGGAACCAAAAUCUGCAUGAUCGACCAAGAGACAUUUAGCACUCGGCUUCUAAUGUUCUCCUUGACGUGCUAGUGUAUCCCAUUCAUAGAUAUGGUUUGAUAACUAGAACAUCAAGUAAAGGUCAGACUUCGGGAGCAAUAGAAUCCAUAAGGAACAGUUAUGGAGGUAAAUCCUACGAAAUCCUUAUGGGGAGGUGGCCAACUUCUUCAAUCAAGAUACUACCAUAAUAGGUCUUCCGGCUGGGUGUGUUAGCCACGACAUCCACUUUACCGGUUAUCGAGGGACCAAUAUUAUAGUUCUUGGGAAAUGUUCCAACCAUCAUAUCUGCCUGAGGUUCAGAUCUGGUUGGUGUCAGGAUAUUCCAGACUCAUCGAGUCUAGGAAGAAAAACGAAAGUUUGCAACACAAAUCGAUGAGAUGACGUUGCGAGAUUCUCGGGAAAUGAACUACGAUAGCAAGCUCCAAAACAUGAGCUGGUUCUGCUACACAUGUGUGAACAUGCUGUCUCAGACAAGCAUGACCACAUGGUAGCCUUAUAAUAAAAUACUACCGAGUUCUGGUUGGGAACCAUCAUCGAGGAUAUCAAAGUUCUUGAUUAAGCCCGGGUUAGCUCUUAAAAAGAACUCCUUCUCCUGGAACAAAUCAGUCAGUGGCUUGGUGUGCUACAUAAUUCAUAUGGAACGAAGAUGAUCAGUCUAACAGACCACAGAAUACUUUGCACGUGCAUGGCUGACUUGGGAUGAUUCUAGAGGAAGCAAAAAUAGACUUUCUCGAAUUCACGGCGGCAACUUACAUCAAAUGCACGUGAAUCAAAGGAAGUCACUUCUUUCAUCCAAACAUAUACUUCAUGAACGGGGCAUGAAGAAAAUGCUUACACAAGUUUCCAACACUAGGUUGAUGUUCAACAUGAAUCAUGGGGGAGACAAAAUGCUGCUGAUGGGCUCAACCGUAACUCAUCGGAAUUUCCAUAUCACUGGACUUCCGCCAUCAUGUGAACACGGUGAUAGUAUUGGUCAGACCAAAAGAUGUAAUGGUAUAUGCUCGAGGGAUCAACCACGAGUAAGACAACAUUACGAGCAUCGUUGGUACUGAUUUGAUUGAUGAUAGCCCAUACUUACAUCAAAGGUUUGGGUAAGAUAAUAGAUCCAACAAUUGUUCACAAGGGCCAAUCGAUGAAGAUAUCAUAUUUCUUCAACACACACUACACAAGAAUAUCCCUUUGGAACGAACUAAGUUAGGCAAGCUUUUAUCUUCCAACUCUCCAAGUUGUUGUCUAGCUUAACCAACUAGCUCAGGGAUAUCUAACACCGAUCUUGGAGAGAGGGUGGUUCACAAGAAACCAACUUGAUCACGAGCUCAACAUAACAGUCAGGGGACAACCUGGUAAUACUUCCGAGAAGAUAUUCGGAAAAUCACGAACCACCGGUAUGUUACUAAGAUCGAGAGCAAUCUUUCUUUUCAGGGCAAGAUGAUAUGAUCAAAUGAGCGAGGACUUGACAAAAUCCUAACUCAUCAAUCAAAGAGUGCACUAGGAAAUAAGGACUAGGUAGCACAAUCAACCUUAGGGCGAUGAUUCAAAAAUCAACAUGCUAAGAAUGAGGUUAUUGUCCAUUAACUACCAAGCAACAAGGUUGCUAGGAGUAUUGAAUUCACACAUCACGAUUCACUUGUCGGCAUUCCGGUUGCGACAACACGGAACCGAGGGAUGAAUAAUGAUGGCGAGAAGUAUCACUACAUCAAGAAUUCACAAGAGCCGGUGCAAUCCUCAUGAAAAUCCUGACAUAAAGACGGUAAUACUUCAGGGUAGAAUAGAAUCAAAAGCUGGGCUGGCAUUUUGAUCUGCGGAGCAUGACUGCUUUGACCCAGUCCUGGAAAUGGACAAGGUACUGGAGUUUGUUUCUCCAAGUCAUUCAGGACAGAAUGGCUUGACGGACCACAAGAGUAAUAGGCAUCGAUAAACGGACGCACGCAUACUCUUGACUAUCAAUUGAUAGACGAGGGCCAGAAAACAACUAAAGAGGGACAACUCAAAGGAACAUAUGAUUUUCCAAGUUGUGGAUGCAUGGACUAGCAUGUCGAACGAAUUCAACAUAUUUCUUCCGGAUAACCCAUGUAGAAAGGUAGAACUGGCAGAGUCACAAUAUAGAAUCGAGAACCCAUCGAGAGCACUCUGAUUGUGAUCUUUCGAUCAGCGAGGAACAUCUGCCAUAAACGGUUCAUAGUAUUUGGAAGAAGGAAAUACCACGAACAUUGAGGACUAAUGCAAGGGUUACUAAUAACCUAAAGGAACGAGCAAAACUAUCGACAUGAAGUAAGUAGAGUGAAUCUCGGGUUCAAGAACCCAGGAAUAGAAUACCUACUCCUAAGUAGCAUCACGGGACGCUUUCGGGAAUGAUGGCCAGAAUCAUCACACUGGGAUCACAAAACAUGGCUAGACUACUAGAUGAUCACCUGAGACACCUAGGGUCAUAAUAAUAACUCCAACAUAAUUGUCGAGGCAAUAGAGUACCUCAACUCACCGAUUAGUGUGGUUAAUCUGGCCCAAAGGAACAUCGAAACGAGAGGAAGGAAUUGCAAAUUGCUUCAAACUAUUUAGAAACCUGGGAUGACUCGGACAGCAUAACGGCUGUAAAUGCUCAGAAAAGAUUUGAGACAUUCACAAAAGGGUGGCAUAACCACUCAGAAGCACAAUAUCAAGGUUUGGAGAUCAACAGUUAACAUACGGAAAUAGUAGGAACUGAACUGAGACUUAAAUCCAACAAUCUAUAAGUCUACGGAUUAAUAACACGUGAUCCUGAUAGAAAGAGGAGAAAGCCUAGUUCCUUAACCCCGUAGGAAAGAUAAGAUGACUCAGAUCAGAAGGGCAUGAGGUAAAGGAGUAAAAAGAGCCUUACGUUUCAUCCCACAAUCAAUUCCCUUAUAUAACUAAAGAAUUUCUAGACUCAACUUCGACCAGUUUGGCUUGGUAAUCCUACAGGCAGUCAAGCUCUGAUACCAGCGCUGUCAGGACACCGACUCAAUGCCACAUCGAUCUAGCAUGUAACACCUCAUAUCACUUUGCGGCCUCACGCACGGUAUUCCCAUGGGUGUCGCCUUACCUUUGCCCGGGACCGUUUGCGCCUUUUGGCACACGUAUAUGACAGUGUCGCUAGCAUCCAUAUGAUAAGGAGCCCGGGCUGACAUGGCUAGUCGUAAACCCAAAGUGGCACAAACUUACAGGGACAGGCAUCCAUGACCCAGCAUCGAAUGUGUCGGUCAUCAGCGAGUGAAUCCAGGCUGUAGCACUGGGCUAGCAGGACUCCGGUGAACCAGGCUGUAGCGGGCUAACAGGACUCCGGUAUUCAUCGAGUGACAUUUCCUCGAAGGGACAGACACAGGAACGAAGAAGGACACAUGCCGGCCAGCCUAAGUGUUCCGGAGCAGUAGCAAGCUACCAUGGCUUGGUGGAAACACUAGGAGACAUUUCCCGGUAAGAGAGGAUACUAAAGAUAAACAACUAGAUAGUCAGAUCCCACACAUACCAAGCAUUUCAAUAACAUACACACAAUAUGCUCGAUAUGUGCAAUACAACAUGGCAUCACGAAAUGACUCUACGACUCAGUAGUUUUUAUUCAAUAGGCUCCGAGGAGCGAGAUAUUACAAUCAUGGGUCUCAUGACCCAACAAUCAGAGCAUACAAGUCAAAGCACAAGCGGAAGCUCAACAUGUCUGAGUACAGACAUCUACAAAUGGAAAAGGCUGAGAAGCCUGACUAUCUACCAGAUCCUGCCGAGGGCACAAGAUCAUAGCUGAGGUAACAAGCUAAACGUCGAAGUCCACGUGGAACUACUAGUGAGACUGAAGUCUCUCUGCAAAAACAUAAAUUAAGCAAUGUGAGUACAAAUGUACCCAGCAAGACUUGCAUCAGAUCUAUCUACAUAUGCAUCAUUAUCAACAAAGGGGAUGGUGGGGUUUAACUGCAGCAAGCCAGCUUUGACUCGGUGGCUAUCCUGAACUACGACUGCAAUGUAACUCUUUUGAGGUGGCGCACACGAGUCCACAUAUUCACCAUAUCAAUACACCACUAUGGAUCCGCUCCCGUCUCCCUACGAGAACGCCAUCCAUAGCACUCACGCUUAUCUUGCGUAUUUUAGAGCAUCCACUUUCACUUGUCUAUGAACUAUGCAAGGGGUCCAAGUUUCCAUAUCCGAGGAAUCCGGCUAUUCGAAUAGAUAAUGAUAACCCUGCAGGGGUGUACUUCUUCACACACGCUCCCGCCACUUACCGCCCUAUACACGUCAUGUACCUCGGCAACCUUCAAGCGGAAGCCGGGCGAGGGAGUCGGCCACGACCUGACUAACCGAACAAGUCUCUAGUCCAGGUUUAUCGCCUAUUCAGGUUCCAUCCGCAAGGAGAUCCGGCCGGAGUGUCGCUUACGGCCCCAAACGAUGUGUGCAGGGUUCCCAAGCCCACCAACCGGGUGCCACUUGGUACACCGGGCCACUGUGCCUAGUCUGUCCCAAGCCCACCUGUACCGGGUGCCACUUGGUAGACUACUAACACUACCUACAAACACCAGAAACUAGUUGCAACUCCUGGACAGAGAUCAUGUUGAUUAAUAAGUCGAGAGGGGUCGAGUUACCGGAACCCAAUGUGUGGUAGUAACUGGUCAUGGAUCACAAACACAAAACUCAGUUCCUGAGGACGGCUGCAAUGAGACAACCCACCAUGUACUCCUACAUGGCCUCUCACCGCUACCUUUACCAAAUUGUGUUCACACACUUAGCUCUCAACGGUAGGACAUGUUCACACACCUCUGGUUCAUCCCCGAUGAAUCAGACCCGACUCAACUCUAAGCAGUAGCAGGCAUGACAAACAAACAUGAAUGAGUAGGCACAACAGGGCUCAAACAACUCCUACUCAUGCUAGUGGGUUUCAUCUAUUUACUGUGGCAAUGACAGGUCAUGCAAAGGAUAAAGGGGUUCAGCUACCGCAACAAGUAACAGAUGAAUCGUUGUUGUCCUAAUGCAGUAAAAGAGAGCAGGAGCGAGAGAGUGGGAUUUUAUCGGAAUGAACAAGGGGGUUUUGCUUGCCUGGCACUUCUGAAGAUAAUAUAGCUCUUCAUCAGUGUCAACGAUCACAUCAUCGGUACAGCGUCUACCGAGGGGGAACAACACCGGCAAACACAGAAGAAACACGAUCAAUGCAAUGCACAAUAUGAUGCAUGCUAUGACAUGGCAAUAUGAAUGUGUUUUGGGCUAAUGCAUCUAGCAACAGGUUAAAUGAAGUUGGUUUGAAUACAAGAUUCAAAUUCAAACUUCAUAUGUAAUUAUUCAAAUGCCAUUUAAUUGAUUUGUGCUAAACAGCAGCUAUAAGUUGUUCUAACAUGCAUGAAAAUGGUACAGAUGGAUUCCUUGAAUUUUUCUGAUAAUUUUUCAUAUAUAAAUUAUUUAAUUUGGAGUUACGGUAAAUUUUCUAUGAUUUAUUGAAGUUUUAGCUAUUUCUGGAAUUUCCUGAUUUUUAUAAAAUAAACUAAAUUCCAGAAAAGGAAUAUUGCGUCAGCAUGACCUCACCCUGACGUCAUCAGGUCAACAGGGCGGGUCCAGGUCAAACCUGACGUGUGGGGGCCACACGUCAGUGUCACAGGGCUGCUUAGCUCACUGACAGGUGGGACCAAGUCAAUGGCCACGUCAGCUUGGUCAAAGCUCACGUGUGGGCCCACGGUGGUUAGGUUAAAACUUAACAGAAAAUAAUGAAGAUUAAAUAAGGGCAUGGGGCCCAUACAUCAGUGACCCAGAGGGUUGGUUAGUGGUGUGUUUAGGCCCUAAUCACGGCCACGUCAGCGGUCGACGCCGGCGACCAAAAGCACGGCGGUGGCUCGCUGGAGAUGCUCGGGGACGGAGCUACGGAGCAUCGUUUCGCUCGUGGUUUGCAGCUACGGGACGCUGGCAGUGAGGCGCAUCCGGUGGUGGCCGCGUGGUGUGCUGGGGGUGUGUGUAACAGCGGCGGCGGCGAGCCGGGCGGCCGCCGGAGUUCGGGAAUCCAGGCUUUGGGCGUUACGGGGCACGGCGGGCGCGGCCGAUGGGCUCUACGGGUUGCUGGGGUCACCAGGAACACUCGGAGGCAACGAGCGCAGGUGGAGGAGCUCGGGAGCACGAAGCUCACCGUCCAUGGCGGCGGCCGGAGCUCGGGUUCGGCGGGGCAGCUAGCUAGGGGACGAAAUCAAGUGCGCGGAGUGAGGGGAAGAGAAGAGGAGCUCACGGGGAGUCGGACGAGACGCUAAGUGGGCUCGGGGACGUCCUGUCGGCGGCGAAUCGACGUCGGCGGCGACCGGCUUCUGAGAAGGAAAAAGAUGAGGCCGUCGGCGAUGCAGGCCGUCCCAGUGCUUGGGGCCAGGUUGGGGCGAAGCGGCGAUCGAUGGCGGGGCUUCGGGGCAUGUAGGAGAGGCGAGGGGGAGACGGUGGCCGUGGUGGAGCUCGUCGGUGGCGGCGGCUCCGUUCGGGUGAGCUCAGGGAAGAGAGCCAGGGGAGGAGAGAGGGAGAAGCGAGAGAGGAAGAGGAGCGAGGGGACACGGGGCGUCGUCGUGGCGUCGUUAGGGAGGCCGGGGGAAGCAGGAGGUGGCCGAGGAGGCGUCGGCGCUCGCCACCGAGUUGCUUCGGUGCGAGGGGAGGAAGACGACAGGGGGUUAGCGGUGGCGGGCUGGGCCGCCAGCUGGAGUUGGGCCAGGCAGGUAAGUCAGGUAAGUGGCUCGGCUUCUCUUUUUUUUAAAUUUCUGUUCUGUUUUGUUUUUCAAUUUAUUUUGCCACUGUUUUGAAUUUAAAAAUAAUUCAAACAAUGCCAAAAGCUCCUCUGAAUAUUUUUAUUUUGCUAGAUGGACUUUUCUAAAAGCUCAUAAAAUAUUUCAGGGAUAUUUGAAAUUAUAUUCUAAUUAUAUGAAUAUAAUUCAAAUUCAAAUAGCUAAUGAAUUAAAUUCAAAGUCCCAAAAAUAAAUCCUUAAAAAUGUUCAAUAUUUUGGUUGGGACGAGAACCCUUGCCAAAAAUUAUCAAACAUUUAAGAAGAGCAUUUUGGAACAAUGAAUGGGAUUUUUAGGGUUUUUGCCCUUCUUUUAAUUAAGUUUUUGAGGCUUUCAAAAUUCCUCAAUUCAAGUUUCAAAAAUAUAGACAUGAUGCACAGAUGGAAGCAAGCCUAGGUCAGGCCAGGACUAGGGAUGUGACACUUGUAUGCUAUUAGGAAUAAUGAUAACCAUGAAACUUGUCAUCAUGAUUUUAGUUUUGAAUUGGAUUAUGCCUCACAUGAUAAUUAUUUUGUUGAGUUUGCUCCCACUAUUAUUCGUGAGAAGAAAUUUUCUUAUGUGGAGGGUAGUAAAUUUUAUAUGCUUGUAGAUCAUGAAAAGAAUGCUUUAGAUGCUGGUUAUAUUGUUGAAUUCAUUCAUGAUGCUACUGAAAAUUAUUAUGAGGGAGGAACAUAUGCUUGUAGGAAUUGCAAUAACGUCAAGUUUCCUCUCUAUGUGCUUACAUUUUUGAAGCUAUGCUUGUUUUACCUUCCUAUGGUAGUUGAUUAUUGUUCCCAUAAGUUGUUUGCUCACAAAAUCCCUAUGCAUAGGAAGUGGGUUAGGCUUAAAUGUGCUAGUCAUAUGCUUCAUGAUGCUUCCGUUAUGUUUCAAUUCUUAUCUUUUUGUGAGCAUCAUUGUCAUCAUCAUGCCUAGCUAGAAAAGCAUUAAAGAAAAGCGCUUGUUGGGAGACAACCCAAUAUUUAUCCUUACUGUUUUUGUGUGUCCACAUGAUUAUGCUACUGUAGUAAUCAUGUUUUAUAGCUUUUGUUUCAAUAAAGUGUCAAGCAAGACCUUUAGGAUAGCUUAUGGUGAUAGUUGUGUUGAUCCUGCUGAAAAUCAGAAACUUUUUCACCCAGUAAUUUAGUUUUUUUUAAUUCACAGAAACGUUCUUCUGGUCUGAUUCUUUUUUCUCUGGAUUGGUACACAAAUUUCUUAGGACUUAUGGUGAUAGUUGAGUUCCAGAAGUAUACGUUUGAUACAGAUUACUACAGAUUGUUCUAUUUUUGACAGAUUCUAUUUUCUAUGUGUUGUUUGCUUAUUUUGAUGAAUCUAUGAGUAGUAUCGUAGGAUAUGAACCAUAGAUAAGUUGGAGUACAGUAGAUAUUACACCAAUAUGAAUUUAGAAUGAGUUCAUUACAUUACCUAAAUGGUGGUUUUAGUUUCUUGUACUAAAGGAGCUUACGAGUUUUCUGUUGAGUUUUGUGUUGUGGAGUUUUCAAGUUUUGGGUAAAGAUUCGAUGGACUAUGGAAUAAGGAGUGGCAAGAGCCUAAGCUUGGGGAUGCCCAAGGCACCCCAAGUUAAUAUUCGAGAAUAGCGAAAAGCCUAAGCUUGGGGAUUCCCCAGAAGGCAUCCCCUCUUUCGUCUUCGUUCAUCGGUAACUUUACUUGGAGCUAUAUUUUAUAUUCACCACAUGAUAUGUGUUUUGCUUGGAGCAUAAUUUUCUUUUCUUAGUAUUUUCUUGCUGUUAUUUAGAAUAAUGUUUUGCAUCUUUAGUUUCAAUAAAAAAGUCAAGGAUAGCCUUUGCCAUGCUUAUUUUGCUAGUAUACAUGUUGCUGUUUGAAAACAGAAAGUUUAUCGCUGUUGCAAAAAUUCCCUAGAAAAGUCAGAGAAUGGUAUAAUGUUGAAACCUUUUGCAUGAUGAGAUCUGAUAAAUUUACUACAGUGGGAAUUUUAUUUCAUAAUUGUUGGAGUUAGUGAAGUAUGGAUACUCUUGCAUUUUUUACAGACUGUACUGUUUUGGCAGAUUGCUGUUAUGUUUGCAUUGUUUGCAUAUGUUUGCUUGUUUAAUAAUUCUAUUUGAGGAUAGGAAUAUUAAAUAUGCAGAGGCAUUUAGUAUGAAAUGUUGAACAAUAAUUUUAUUGAUUUGUUAUAGUAGAAUAUGAUAAGGUUUUGCAUUGGUUUGUACUAACCUAUCUCACGAGUUUUUGUUGAGUUUGUUGUGAAUGAAGCUUUUGAGAAAUAGAGAAUUCAUGAUAUGAGAGAAAUUAAGGAGACACAAAAGUUCAAGAUUAGGGAUGCCCAAGGCACUCCAACAUAAUAUUCAAGAAGUCUCAAGCAUCUAAGCUUGGGGAUGCCCCGGUAGGCAUCCCACCUUUCUUCUUCAACAACUAUCGGUUAGUAUCGGUUGAGCCUAAGUUUUUGCUUCUUCACAUGAGUUGUGCUAUCCUUACAAUGUAAUUUUAUUUUAUUUUGUUUUCUAUUUGAAUAAGAUACCAAGAUCUAAAAUUUCUUAAUGUUAGAAAGUCUUCACAUAGUUGCACAAUUAUUCGACUACUCAUUGAUCUUCACUUAUAUCUUUCGGAGUAGUUUGUCAUUUGCUCUAGUGCAUCACUUAUAUCAUUUAGAGCACGGAGGUGGUUAUAUUUUGUAGAAAUUUUUAGUCUCUCAUGCUUUACUUAUAUCUUUUUGAGAGUCUUUUAGAGCAGCAUGGUAUUUGCUAUGGUUACAAAGUUGGUCCUAGAAUGAUGAGCAUCCAAGUUGGAUAUAAUAAAAACUAUCAUAGAAAGUGAAUUGGAUGCUAUGAUCAACUUGAUGCUUGAUAAUUGUUUUGAGAUGUGGAGGAAGUGAUAUUAAAGGCAUGCUAGUUGGGUGAUUAUGAAUUUAAAGAAUGCUUGUGUUGAAGUUUGUGAUUCCCGUAGCAUGCACGUAUGGUGAACCACUUUGUGAUGAAGUUGGAGCAAAAUUUUAUUUAUUGAUUGUCUUCCUUAUGAGUGGUUGUCGGGGACGAGUGAUGGCCUUUUCUUACCAAUCUAUCCCCCUAGGAGCAUGCGCGAAGUGCUUUGGUUUUUGAUGACUUCUAAAUUUUUGCAACAACUAUAUGAGUUCUUUUGAUUAAUGUUGAGUCCAUGGAUUAUACGCACUCCUUCACCCUUCCACCAUUGCUAGCCUCUCUUGUACCGUGCAACUUUUGCUGGUACCAUACACCCAUCAUAGUCCUUCCUCAAAACAGCUACCAUACCUACCUAUUAUGGCAUUUCCAUAGUCAUUCUGAGAUAUAUUGCCAUGCAACUUUCCACCGUUCCGUCCAUAUAACACACAUUACUUUUGUCAUAUUGCUUUUUGCAUGAUCAUGUAGUUGAUAUUGUAUUUGUGGCAAGGCCACCUUCAUAAUUUUCAUACAUGUCGCUCUUGAUUCAUUGCAUAUCCCGGUACACCGCCGGAUGCAUUCAUAUAGAGUCAUAUCUUAUUCUAUCUUUGAGUUGUAAAUCCAUAAAAGUGUGAUGAUCUUCAUUAUUAGAGCAUUGUCCUAGUGAGGAAAGGAUGAUGAAGACUAUGAUUCCCCCACAAGUCGGGAUGAGACUUCGGACUUUACAAAAAGAAAAAAAAAGGAAAAAAAGAGAAAGGCCAAAAAGAAAAAAAAAAGAGAAGGCCAAAGAAAAAAAAAGAAGAAAAAAAAGAGAGAAAGGACAAUGCUACUAUCUCUUUUUCCACACUUGUGCUUCAAAAUAGCACCAUGAUCUUCAUGUUAGAGAGUCUCAUAUGUUGUCACUUUCAUAUACUAGUGGGAAUUUUUCAUUAUAGAACUUGGUUUGUAUAUUUCAAUGAUGGGCUUCCUCAAAAGUGCCCUAGGUCUUCGUGAGCAAGCUAGUUGGAUGCACCCCACUUAGUUUCUUUUGUUGAACUUUCAUACAUUUAUAGCUCUAGUGCAUCUGUUGCAUGGCAAUCCCUACUCACUCACAUUGAUAUCUAUUAAUGGGCAUCUCCAUAGCCCGUUGAUACGCCUAGUUGAUGUGAUACAAUCUUCUCCCUUUUUUGUCUUCUCCAUAACCACCAUUCUAUUCCACAUAUAGUGCUAUGUCCAUGGCUCACGCUCAUGUAUUGCGUGAAAGUUGAAAAAGUUUGAGAUUAUUAAAGUGUGAAACAAUUCCUUGGCUUGUCAUCGGGGUUGUGCAUGAUUAAAUACUUUGUGUGAUGAAGAUAGAGCAACAGCCAGAUUAUAUGAUUUUGUAGGGAUAACUUUCUUUAGCCAUGUUAUUUUGAGAAGACAUGAUUACUUUGAUUAGUAUGCUUGAAGUAUUACUAUUUCUUAUGUCAAUAUGAACUUUUAUUUUGUAUCUUUUGGAUCUGAACAUUCAUGCCACAAUAAAAAAUUACAUUGAGAAUUAUGCUAGAUAGCAUUCCACAUCAAAAAAUCUGUUUUUAUCAUUUACCUACUCGAGGACGAGUAGGAAUUAAGCUUGGGGAUGCUUGAUACGUCUCUAACGUAUCUAUAAAUUUUGAUUGUUCCAUGCUAUUAUAUUACCCCUUUUGGAUGUUUAUGGGCUUUAUUUUACACAUUUAUAUCAUUUUUGGAACUAACCUACUAACCGGAGGCCCAGCCCAUAUUGCUGUUUUUUUUUGCCUAUUUCAGUAUUUCGAAGAAAAGGAAUAUCAAACGGAGUCCAAACGGAAUGAAACCUUCGGCAACGUGAUUGUUUGGAAGAAUAUGAUCCUGGAGACUUGGAGUACACGUCAGAAGAUCCUCGAGGAGGCCACGAGAUAGGAGGCCGCGUCCCCCUUACAGGGUGGUGGCCCCCUGUCUCGUGGGCCCCUCGAGCACCUCCCGACCAACUUCUUUCACCUAUAUAAGCCUACGUAUCCUAAAACCAUCAAAAAUCAAGAUAGAUCAGGAGUCCCGCUGCCUCAAGCCUCUAUAGCCACAAAAACCUCUCGGGAGCCCGUUCCGGCACCCUGCCGGAGGGGGAAUCCAUCACCAGUGGCCAUCUUCAUCAUCCCGGCGCUUUCCAUGAUGAAGAGGGAGUAGUUCACCCUCGGGGCUGAGGGUAUGUACCAGUAGCCAUGUGUUUGAUCUCUCUCUCUCGUGUUCUCUCUCGUGUUCCCUCUAUGGCACGAUCUUGAUGUAUCCCGAGCUUUGCUAUUGUAGUUGGAUCUUAUGAUGUUUCUCCCCCUCUACUCUCUUGUGAUGAAUUGAGUUUCCCUCUUGAAGUUAUCUUAUCGGUUGAGUCUUUUAUUUGAGAACACUUGAUGUAUGUAUUGCCCUGUUUAUCUGUGGUUACAAUGGGAUAUCACGUGCCUCUUGAUGUAUGUUUUGGUGACCAACUUGCGGGUUCCGCCCAUGAACCUAUGCAUAGGGGUUGGCACACGUUCUUGACUCUCCGGUAGAAACUUUGGGGCACUCUUUGAAGUACUUUGUGUUGGUUGAAUUGAUGAAUCUGAGAUUGUGUGAUGCAUAUCGUAUAAUCAUGCCCACGGAUACUUGAGGUGACAAUGGAGUAUCUAGGUGACAUUAGGGUUUUGGUUUUGGUUGACAAUGCCGCACCCUAAAGUGCUGAAGCAAAGUUGUAUUGUGCGACACUAUGCCUAGAUGGGACAUCUAAGCCCUCGGGUAUGUGCACUGUGACUAAGUACCCUGUGGAAUGAUACGUCUCUAAAGUAUCUAUAAUUUUUGAUUGUUCCAUGCUAUUACAUUACCCCUUUUGGAUGUUUAUGGGCUUUAUUUUACACAUUUAUAUCAUUUUUUGGGACUAACCUACUAACCGGAGGCCCAUCCCAUAUUGCUGUUUUUUGCCUAUUUCAGUAUUUCGAAGAAAAGGAAUAUCAAACGGAGUCCAAACGGAAUGAAACCUUCGGCAACAUGAUUUUUUGGAAGAAUAUGAUCCUGGAGACUUCGAGUCCAUGUCAGAAGAUCCUCGAGGGGGCCACGAGAUAGGAGGUCGCGCCCCCCUUACAGGGUGGUGGCCUCCUGUCUCGUGGGCCCCUUGAGCACCUCCCGACCGACUUCUUUUGCCUAUAUAAGCCUACGUACCCUAAAACCAUCAAAAAUCAAGAUAGAUUGGGAGUUCCGCCGCCGCAAGCUUCUGUAGCCACCAAAAACCUCUCGGGAGCCUAUUCCGGCACCCUGCCGGAGGGGGAAUCCAUCACCGGUGGCCAUCUUUAACAUCCCAGCGCUCUCCAUGACGAGGAGGGAGUAGUUCACCCUCGGGGCUGAGGGUAUGUACCAGUAGCUAUGUGUUUGAUCUCUCUCUCUCGUGUUCCCUCUAUGGCACGAUCUUGAUGUAUCCCGAGCUUUGCUAUUGUAGUUGGAUCUUAUGAUGUUUCUCCCCCUCUACUCUCUUGUGAUGAAUUGAGUUUCCCUCUUGAAGUUAUCUUAUCGGAUUGAGUCAUUUAUUUGAGAACACUUGAUGUAUGUAUUGCCGUGUUUAUCUGUGAUGGCAAUGGGAUAUCACGUGCCUCUUGAUGUAUGUUUUGGUGACCAACUUGCGGGUUCCGCCCAUGAACCUAUGCAUAGGGGUUGGCACACGUUCUUGACUCUCCGGUAGAAACUUUGGGGCACUCUUUGAAGUACUUUGUGUUGGUUGAAUUGAUGAAUCUGAGAUUGUGUGAUGCAUAUCGUAUAAUCAUGCCCACGGAUACUUGAGGUGACAAUGGAGUAUCUAGGUGACAUUAGGGUUUUGGUUGAUUUGUGUCUUAAGGUUUUAUUCUAGUACGAACUCUUGAAUAGAUUGAUCCGAAAGAAUAACUUUGAGGUGGUUUUAUACCCUAGCAUAAUCUCUUCAUUUGUUCUCCGUUAUUAGUGGAUUUGGAAUGACUCUUUGUUGCAUGUUGAGGGAUUGUUAUAUGAUCUAUCUAUGUUAUUAUUGUUGAGAGAACUUGCACUAGUGAAAGUAUGAAUCCUAGGCCUUGUUUCCUAUCAUUGCAAUACCGUUUACGCUCACUUUUAUCAUUAGUUACCUUGCUGUUUUUAUAUUUUCAGAUUAUAAAUACCUAUAUCUACCAUCCAUACUGCACUUGUAUCACCAUCUCUUCGCCGAACUAGUGCACCUAUAUAAUCUACCAUUGUAUUGGGUGUGUUUGAGACACAAAAGACUCUUUGUUAUUUGGUUGCAGGGUUGUUUGAGAUAGACCAUCUUCAUCCUACGCCUCCUACGGAUUGAUAAAACUUAGGUCAUCCACUUGAGGGAAAUUUUCUACUGUCCUACAAACCUGUGCACUUGCAGGCCCAACAACGUCUACAAAAAAAAGUUGUGCAGUAGACAUCAUGGAACACGGGUCAUGAAACACUUUGUAGUACGGUGCAAGCAACACAACAAGAAUACGAAGAAGCACAAUCAAGAAUAGAGCAAAACCACAGUACUCGGCACCCGUACGACACAAUCUACCACUCAACAUCCUACAUUAAGAAAUUAAGAAUUUAGUACUGAUCUAGGACAAAAUAAGUACGUAUAUUCUGAACACAUUUUACUUGCAUAAUUCUAAGUAUGAGGUUUAAUUUAUUUAAUCUACUCUUGACUUGAGUCACUUUUUUUCAAAGAGUAUAUAUAGGAGACGUAGAACUUGAGAUGACAAGAGAUGGAUUUUUUUGAGAAACUUCUAUUUUCUUUAGGUAAGGAGGGAACCUGUCUUUCUUAAGGCUUAACAGACUCUAACUAAGUACAUGACUCUUUCCUUAACGAUGCUCUGAUACCACCUCUUCUGUGACGUCCUGUUACAUCCAACAGAGUCAGGCGUAACGGAAGCCGUCACUUCAGAGUUGCGCCAGGAUCAUUUACGGAAAACAGUAUCAUGUACAAGACGGAGCAACUGCCAUGAGUAGGCAAGCUUUUAUUACAUAGACACCUCAAGUGUCGACUAAGCCUAAGCGACCAUGACAAUAGAUCGUCACCCGCUUCUAGUGCGAGCCUUCUAGACCAACCAUGGAGGACAUCUACUCUUCAUAGACUUGAUUGCCAACAUCCUCAUGAUCAUACUUCACUUCAGAAUAACCAUAGUCGUCAAGAUGACCAGACUCAUCAUAAGUACCAUUCUCUAGUGCCUUAGAGUUCUCAUAACUCCCUUGUUCUGAAAAACAACAUAAGUGCAGCUGAGUACGUAUAAAAUACGUACUCCGCAAAUCGCCGGGAAAAGUGGAUGCAUGAGUAUUUUUAAGAGGAAAAACUUUAUCGGCCACGGCUACCACCACCGAGCCAUUAGCUCAAAAUACUUUGUAGGUAAAAAAAAUUAUUUUCCCUUAACCCAUUUUGUUGAAAAUCAAAUUUUAUUUAUAAAAUCUACUGGCGACAGAGCGAUGUGGGAUCUUACAUCCUGUGUUAGAGGAAAACCCACACGACGCACUUCCAAACCCGGAAGCUGGGAGUGAUAUCACAUUUAUUCUGAUCAGAGGUGUACUGCUUUGCCCAUAGCAUCACUUGGUCCAAGUCGUCCAUGCGCUACCCGUGCGCACGACUAGACCAAGGAACCAGAACCUUUAACCAGCUCGUAGACUACCUCUGCUUUUCCACCUUGCCUUACUAUAGGCCCGCGGGCCGAGACCCCUGACCGGCGGUCCCGCCCUAGGGUGACUGUACCUACCCGGCUACAGCCACCUUCUCACCCAUGCAGAGGCAACUACUUGGCAUCGGUAGUCGGUUCAGCCCGUCCCAUUCCAGGCCUAUGGUCAGUACGGUUUGCGCCGCUUUUGACGUAAGCGCCAGUUAGUUGUGUCCUAAUGUGAUACCCUAUGUAGAGGAGUCUGCCAUCCAAGCCAACCCUACAUGGGUCGUCUUCACCAACAUGAGCUCCCAUACCCACCAAAUUUUUAGUUAUAAUGUAACCCUGCCCGGGUCACGACUACUUAAUACAGAUACUUCACCUGAUCUGGUCCAAUUGCCAAAUCAGUGGAUCCACCUGAUCCAAAUAUCAUUUUAUUUAUGAAAAGUAUUUAUUUUUAAUUCUUAUGCAAAAUUUUGGAAAUGACUCAUAGCCCGGAAAACAUUUAUGAAGACAUGAUCAAGGAGAUGACGACUUGCCGGGUAGCGCCCCGACCAACUCGAAACCACCAGAUGGGGGUCCUAUGGGUCUGAGAUCGACUCCUGAUAAUUAUUUCACAAAGAAGUUUAUAUUUUCCCUAAUCAAGAUCCAAGCAUCAAGAAACAAUUCCAUACGGUGCAAUCCAUUUUAAUUAAAGAGGCAAUGAUACAUGCUAGUGUGUAAUUAGAAGCAAAAUGCAUACAACACAUCAAGAAGUAGUACGCACACGCACAUCACAAAGAGCAAGCAAGCAAGCUCAAAAGGAAAAAUGUGUUUAGCUGGUCGAACCCAACCCCGGCAGAAAUAUCAUUUCUUUUUUCUCCAACUAGUCAUCUUACCCAGCUCUCUUCCUCUCUCUCACUGUCACUGGUAUGCAAAGCCACGAACAUAUCCAUCUCUCUCUCCGUAACUACAGAGCAGGCCGCCGCCGGCUCGAUCUGCCACUUCCGGCCAUCUCCGGCGACACCGCGGACACCCACAGAAUCCCCUCAACUCCCUCUACCAUAUACCCCCAUUUAUUUGAUCCGCCGCCGCCAAAAUCGCCGCCACCCUCAAACCCCAGCGCCGUCUGCAUCGGGUCCGAUGGGUUCACCACGGGCCGCAGCAGCAAUGGCAUCUCCCUACCUACAAACUCCUCCUGCAGAGCUGCACGCACGAGGCGUGCGACUAUGGCCGUCAGGCGUGACCAUCUUAACCGGUGCGGCUCUGGCAACAUGGCCGCUACAGACGCCCGGCUCGCCUUUGUCUACUGCUACUAGGGUAAGUGCCAGUCCAAAUUUCUCUCUGUGCAGUGUUCUUACCUUUGCUGCAAGUGUUUGUGCUAUGACUCCCCUUACUGCCAUGCUUCUUGUUAAUCUCAAGACCAAGGAAUUAAUCAAGCUUUACUCUAUGGUGUGGACGUGGUCUCCAGAUUUAUUCUAUAUUGUUUAUUCAAUUUUUAGCUCUACUACACUAUCCUCGCACUACUAUGAUUCUUUUUUAAUUAAGCUCAUAACUAGGAAUUAACCAGUGAAUUCCUACUGUCACCGACUUGAUUAAAAAGCGACAAGUUAAUUUCUUGUGAUGGUUAGGUGCUGCCACAAACUAAAUCUAAAUGUUGCUUCUACUGUGUGUGCGCGUGCACUCAUUUCUGCACCCUACAACAGUCAAGUGAACAUCGACAUUGAUCACUCAAAACAUUCUUAGAAAGGGGAUCAUGAAAGGGAAAAUAAGAGGAUGUCAGGAAUUUAUUUGUACAAGAUUUGCACAAAGUAUGUUUAUUUUUUUUUUCUGUUUUCAGAAUGAUGCAUGUGCAAAUGAGACAAGGCAAACAUUAGCCAAACAGUGUUCAAUACAACUAGGAAGGGAUCAUUAAGAUGAGUAGCAUACACAGGAAGCUUGAGCUAUUAGCUGUACAUGUAAAUCUUAGCAAGUUAAUAUUUGGGAUUUAAUUCUCAGCAUGACAUGUCUAUUAUAUACAUAGAUCUAGUACAAGACAGAGAUGGACAUGCACAGUACACAUGCAUCACUUAACCACCAUGUACUAAUUUGUCUUCAUCUAAUAUAUGUGCUUUCUUUUUCUAACCAUCAUUCUUCUUUUUACAGAGUAACUAGAGUCCAAAAGAGCAGGUGUUCAUGUUCUAAGCAAAGGUGAAGAUGGAUCAAGCAAACAAAGCUGCAAAAGCAAGGCACUUGAAUAGUACCUGAUGGCAACUCAGCAUCCGACCAAAAGAGUGGAUGGGGAUGGUGGGGAGAGCUUGGUUCUCUCUUGUGCGUGUUGUGUGCUGUAGAGGAAGUCAAAGGUGAAAGGAGGAGGCUGCUAUUUAUAGUAGUGUAGGGUGCUAGGUCGGUUUGGUAAAAGAGAGAUGUGGCUGACAUGCCUGGUUGCAUGAGCAUGCAAGCCUCCACAUGUAAUCAUGUGAGUUGUACAACGGACAAGUGUAUAGUGCAUGGUUGGACACGAGUUGGCAUAUACUUUGUGUGUAAGGAAUGAGACAAGGGCCUAAUUGUAAAUCUGCAAACUAUAAGGGAGUUGGAGAAGAACCAAUGUACAUGGCUAAAUACUAACUUUUUUUGUUGCAAUAAAUUUUUGAUAUUAGUGUUGUGGUUAAUUAUAAUUAUUCAACUAACUAUGCCUUCUGACACUGGUGUAACAUAGCGCCGUCAAAAAUAUCGUUAUCUAAUUUUAAGGGUUUUUACAGUAGCCAUGAUAGUUUCAUUUAUAUUUGAUGGAAUGUUGUAACGAGAUAAUUUUGAGGCAAGACACAUGAAUCAUAAGUUGAAACCUUUUUUUUCCUGCAGGAACCAAAGUGGAAACCUUCGUAGCUUCACAGUACAAUUUCAUUAAAAUUAUGCGUACAUAUAAACAAAUCCUGAAGGAUUGAUAGUAAUGCCAGAAACAAUUCAACUUCGUUUCGCCGACAUGUUGGACAUCCUUCAAUCGCCUUCACCUGCCAUGCAGCAAUAUUGAGUGCACAACACAACUGCAGGGAAAGAUUCACCCCGGUCGUUGCGCCGCAGUAGUAAUGACUAGUGAGCAGUCAAAUCAUAGAGCCCCACCUUCGCCAUAGUAAGUUGCUCGGAUGAAGCAACCAUCAUUUCUCUGUUCCUUGAAUCCACUGGUACUCCCAUAUUCCCACGGUAAUAAGUUGCUCGGGCGAAUCAACAAUCACUUCACCUUUCCCUCAGUAAGUACUAGUACCUCCUUUUUUUACUCUAGAAACAACCACAAGCGAAUAUUGGACGGUAGCAGCACGACAACUGAAUAAAAAAUUCUAUAGUAUGAGAAUAACUUUGAACGUAAGCCAUUGAUUCACUCUAUCCAAUGGUCAUAGUUGGAAAAUCUAAACAAAACCAAGCAUUGGAUCAACUCUUUUAGCACUCAGAUUGUUGCCGCCUACUCAACUGCCUGCCCACCUAUAUAUCCACUGACGUGUGAUGACCACAUGAGCUAUCCAUUCAGAUCGUAUGUUAAAAAAUAAAGGUCGAUAACUAAUGCAACACCUUGGGCCAACGCGGCCAUAUCGCAUUUUGCACGAGAAAUUACGCACCAUGUUUCGUUGACAUGUGGUCCUGUUCCAACAUGUCAGUGAGACGAUGGCAAGUCCUUUUCUACUAGUAUUUCCGAACAGACGUGUAGGCCGGGGCGCCUCUUAGUGUACCGUGGCAAACUGGCAACCGUCCACCGACUCUUCGCCUUUCCCUCUCGAUUUGGAACUACUGUCGCACGCUCUUCCUACCUCCUCCAUUUGCCUUGACCCUUCCUUCUGCCAUUGUUUGAUCGUCUUCUCCAUGGAGAGAACAGGGCCAAAACGACCCCGUUAUUCUUGCCUCGAUCUGAAAGAUGACAUGGUGGAGGAACUCAUUGAUCAGUGUGACGUCAUCACCUCGGCUAGCAUGGCAGGUUCGUUCAAAACCAUUCUCGACUCAACUAAUAACAUCAUUAAAAGGAACCCAAGGGUCCAGGAGCGGUUUGAUCUCCCCUAUCUUCUUCGCUGUGACCCUGAUGACUGGCGCGGGACGACGGAGGCCUCACCUUGUGUAAGUUGAUGCCGCUUGAUAAUGAUACGUAUGAUGUUAAGAUGCCAUCGCUUGAGGGCAAGGAUUGGGCAGGCGCAAAUAGAGAUUGGGUUGUUUAUAUUGGGUACAACUGCGAGUGGGAACUUGUGAAUGUGUACACUCAUCACCGGGUUCCACUUUGAAAAAUCUCAGCAGACUUCCCAAAGGUUGAGCACAUCGGUAUUCUACGCACGUUCAAAUACGAUCAUGGUGACUGUCUUCUACGGAAGAUAGCAAUUCGUCGAGUUCCCAACCGCUCUUGGAAUUACAAGAACUAUGAAGUUGUUGUUAUCUUCGACAAGCUUGUUGCCAUCCUUUGUGGUUCGACUCAAUGGAUAUUGCUCAAAAAUCAGUUUCUAUACAAGGAUGUGUACUGUGAUGCAAUUCAAUACGAGGGUUCUGUGUUUUUGCAUGGGAUACUCGUAGUUUCGAUACGUUUUUCUUCCGCCGUAAUUAUAAUUGUUUCAUCCACAUGCAUGCAGGUUUGCAAGUCUCCCUUUACUAAUUAACCUUCUUCUUGUGUUUCCAAGGUCCUGUGAACAUUCCACCACCUAUACUUGAAAUUUUUUAUAACCAAGGGGGAGAUGAUGAUGGUGAUGAUCACGAGCAUGAGGAUGAGCAGAACUUAUAUACUUAGUGGCGCCUAGCAACUAAUUCCGAUGGAUCACCUCUUCUUGUCUGUAUAUAGCGCACUGAGUUUGUGACUACUGAGGGAGCAUGUGUUGUCUCCCAUGGUCGCACUCUCCAGACCUAUUCCAACACUCGUUGCAUGGUAUUCAGGAUGGAUACUAGUGUGCUAGCGCCAACACCUUCUCCCUGAUACAGUAUUGAUAGUCUUGGAGAAAACUUGCUCUUCCUUGGACAAAACUAUCCGAUGAUGGUGAAAGGCGAUCCAACUGUCGUUGACACAAUGUUACUACCAUUUAUGAGAAGCAAUUGUAUCUAUACCUCGGACGUUUGGGUGGUUCCCUACCCUGGUACUGAUAUAGUAGGCCGCUUCAGCCUGGAUGAUCACUCCUGCGUUGGUCUCGAGAUUGACAAUAGAUGGCCCGUCCUAGAGAAUCACUUGUGGUUCAAAGCAAGUGUUUCCAACGCCGAGGAUUGGUUGAGUUGAAGUUCAUUUCAUUGCUUGUUAUUUGUUGUGUGAUGAAAACUUUAGUAUUUAUAAUGUAUCCUCAUUGUCGUUGUGGGUUGAUGACCUUCUGUAUGUAAUAAAAUGAUAUGCCUGUGAUAAACUUACUAAAUUUAUGAAAGGCAUUCGAGUCGCUUCUCUGAGUGAGUGCUGCGAUGAGGGAAAAAAUAUUUUCCGAAUACAUAGUUGUACGUGCAUUGCAAUAGGUUAUCAGAUGAGGCCAAUCAAUAAUAGUAGUACACUAUUUGUACUAGCUUCACAUGCUUUGCGCACCAAGCGGGUGGUUCUACUAUAGCUGCGAAUCCCAUCAUCCUAGGUUCUCGGAUGAGUCCAGUAGAAAUUGCAUUCUGAUGUUUGGGUUCAAACUUUCAGAACUGCUGCACUAUCUCUACGUCUACGUACACGUAUUACAACAAGUUUUAAACUUGAGACCAGCCACCCACCCGCACAAAGAACACUUUUUAACCUAGCACAGACUCCAGGAAAUUUGGCCAUAGUGUGAGGUGGGCCAUAUGUUAAUGUGUUCGCUGUACAUAACCAACACCUCGAAUCAUCGAUACUACUACUAUAUAAGUAGUAGGAGUAGUAGGGUGACAUGGGCCAGAACAAACAUUCACGUCCAGGAGUACGACACACGCCACCAGCACGACUUCCAUCUGACACCAUAUUUCUUGGAGUCCGUGCCACAACAAUCUCUUCAACCUCGUCGUUUCUCUAACUCAGCCAUCGCGCGUCAGGCGAGGUGCGGGUUUGCCGAUAGUCAGUUUUCUCAACUGCGGUCCCACUUGUAAGGCCAACUCCAACGCACAACCCCAAGCGGACCUCCGUUUUGCUCGGAUUCUGACCGUUUGGGUAGGGCAAUGGGGUUGUGUUCGGGCCAUUUUUAGGAUGUGGUGGCCACGCGCCGAACGCGCGGAUGCAUCCCGGCCGCGUACAUUUUUCUUGGCAAACACAUAUCUUUUUUUCAUCAUUGAUUUUUUGGUACAUGGAAAUACAUCACCAAAAUUUUGACUAGAAAAGCAAGACCAAAGAAAACAAGAGCCACAAGAAUACAUUUUAGAAGAUAUCCAACUUCCAUAACUGCUCCUGUAAGUUGGAUUAGUGCCUUCUCAAUGCAUUCAUUGUUGAUCUACAGAGGCUCGAUCUUGCGUCCUGCUUUCUUCUUUGAGUGUAAAGAAGUAGACAUUGCUUCCUCGCAUCUAGUCUCAUGUCUAGCCUCUAUUCUAUCAACAAGUGCACUAGUCUCAUCUCUAGCCUCUAUGCUAGCUAAAAUUGCUAGAACAUCUACUAAAUUGCGCUCUAUCAAUAUAUCGAUGUACUCUUCUUCCCAAUACCAAAACUUGCAUCCAUUCUACACAACAAAAUUUUAAGUUAGCACAACUAGUCUAAUCCGAGAGCACAACCGAGGAUUUGGUCGAGUUCUUCCUCCUUUUGCCGACACGUGGGACAUCCAGCAUCCAGGUCGUGUCAUGCAAGAAAAUAGAGUGGUAGUUUUAGCCACGUGAUGUGCAUUUGGGUUAAAAUGUAAAUAGAAUCUUACUACUCUUGAGUAACUCCAAAAGCGACAACCGAAGAUCUUUAUUGGAUUUGUUUUUCAUCAUCAGCACAUCGAGGUGAAAGAUGUGCAGGUUCAGUGGGUCCUCUUGCGUUUUCACUGACAUGUGGGACCACAUAUGAGCAAACAGACGAUGGGCUCCGCACGUCUGCUGGCUGGCUGAGAAGAAAGAUAGAGGAGGGCUGAGCACAGACUCUAGAAAAUUUGUUCUACAUAACCAGCACCUCGAUAUUUGUGUGUGGUUGUUUCUAGAAUAAAAAAAGAAGGUACUCCUAUUUAUGUUACUUCCACUACGCCUAGCCUAAGGUUAGUAGGUGACCUUGCGCUUGGCUCUUCGCCUCUUCCAGAAGUCGAACGUUCUACAGUAGUACUUCUGGCAAUCUGACACCAAAUGAACUGCUGCACGUCCACCGCUUGUAAGUAAAAGUUUCUCCUCGUGCUGCGAGCCACCACACAUCUAAAUGUUGCUUCUACUGUGUGUGCGCGUGCACUCAUUUCUGCACCCUACAACAGUCAAGUGAACAUCGACAUUGAUCACUCAAAACAUUCUUAGAAAGGGGAUCAUGAAAGGGAAAAUAAGAGGAUGUCAGGAAUUUAUUUGUACAAGAUUUGCACAAAGUAUGUUUAUUUAUUUUUUCUGUUUUCAGAAUGAUGCAUGUGCAAAUGAGACAAGGCAAACAUUAGCCAAACAGUGUUCAAUACAACUAGGAAGGGAUCAUUAAGAUGAGUAGCAUACACAGGAAGCUUGAGCUAUUAGCUGUACAUGUAAAUCUUAGCAAGUUAAUAUUUGGGAUUUAAUUCUCAGCAUGACAUGUCUAUUAUAUACAUAGAUCUAGUACAAGACAGAGAUGGACAUGCACAGUACACAUGCAUCACUUAACCACCAUGUACUAAUUUGUCUUCAUCUAAUAUAUGUGCUUUCUUUUUCUAACCAUCAUUCUUCUUUUUACAGAGUAACUAGAGUCCAAAAGAGAAGGUGUUCAUGUUCUAAGCAAAGGUGAAGAUGGAUCAAGCAAACAAAGCUGCAAAAGCAAGGCACUUGAAUAGUACCUGAUGGCAACUCAGCAUCCGACCAAAAGAGUGGAUGGGGAUGGUGGGGAGAGCUUGGUUCUCUCUUGUGCGUGUUGUGUGCAGUAGAGGAAGUCAAAGGUGAAAGGAGGAGGCUGCUAUUUAUAGUAGUGUAGGGUGCUAGGUCGGUUUGGUAAAAGAGAGAUGUGGCUGACAUGCCUGGUUGCAUGAGCAUGCAAGCCUCCACAUGUAAUCAUGUGAGUUGUACAACGGACAAGUGUAUAGUGCAUGGUUGGACACGAGUUGGCAUAUACUUUGUGUGUAAGGAAUGAGACAAGGGCCUAAUUGUAAAUCUGCAAACUAUAAGGGAGUUGGAGAAGAACCAAUGUACAUGGCUAAAUACUAACUUUUUUUGUUGCAAUAAAUUUUUGAUAUUAGUGUUGUGGUUAAUUAUAAUUAUUCAAC